Molecule: long non-coding RNA, 94093 nt
Filed under: Solanum tuberosum (potato)
Lineage: Eukaryota; Viridiplantae; Streptophyta; Magnoliopsida; Solanales; Solanaceae
Description: long non-coding RNA (STUB_LNC006668)
Source: RNAcentral
UUUCCUUUUCCUGUGAAGAUAACUCAUUGGGGAUGAUCAUCUCAAAGUCAUUUGGAUAUUGAGAUUCAUAAUGAUGGGGAUUGGAGAAAGGAGGUGUUCUUCUAAUGACUCUCUCGAAGUUUUACCUUUUAAUUAAACAGAAGAAGUUGUAGUGAACACUGGUUUAAAAUCCAUUUAGGUAAUAGUUGGAACCACAAUGAUACAUGUUUUAGGGGAUGAACUAAUCCACUUACUUAUUUAUAAGUACUUAAGAACAUAUUAUCCAAACUAUCAUUACAAUCUAGGUAAUGUUUCCGUGAAAGCCACUAAAUAUUAUUUAAAACAUGAACUAGUUAACAUCAAAAGUGGGUUAGAAUACUUUAAGAGAUGAUAUAACCUAUAAAAACAACUUUUAACUCCUCUUUGUAGAUGUCCUUUAUUAAGGAUCAAUUGUGAACCUUUAUAAGCUGAUAAUUAGUGAAGGAAUUAGAACAUUUUAAGAGCCCUAAAGAAAUAAAAGUUUUGCAAAGUGAAAAUAUGGAAAUUGGGUGAAAAUAGAAAAUUGUGUUAACAUUCUCUAUCUGCCCACUUUGUUCCUAUCAACUUUCUUGUCGCGUUGUACUUAACAUCAAAAGUUCUUUUAUGAUAUCAUUUAUGCUAAAUGACUUACUGAAUGCAUAGCUAUCUUCAAAGCUACCAAGUUCAAAACAAAAUUGCAUAACAAUCAAAUUUUUUCUUAAAAAAAUGACUCGGUGAAUGCUGUAGACCUUAAUUAGCUAGCUGAAUAACUGGACAGAGGUCCAGGCUUUUGAUAGAGCUUAAAGUCAAAUUGUCCAUAAAGAUCUAUUCAAUUUAGUCCUGAGGCCCGUCUUGAUCUUUUUACGCAUCAAUAUAGUCUUGCAUUAUUAUGGGGUAGCCACUUUAUGGGGGUCUCAUGUCUUCCUUUCAACAAUUUUGCACUCCCCUACAACACAAUGUUUGCAGUUCUGCUAAAUCCAUGUUUCAUUCUAUUAUAACUAUAUAAGAAUAAUUUUGUUUUCACAUCAGAUGCAGCGCUAGACCAGCAAAAGAGACUAUCAUAAUUUCUAUAGGCCUAAAGGAGAUCAAGUUUUGUACUUUAUGGUAUUCUGACUUAUUUAAUUGAAUCGAUUUAAUUUCUGGCUUGGUGUGCGUCAAGCUUAAAGAUAGUAAAGGGUGUUGUGCUGAAUGCUAAUUUGCUUUGAAAUCAAUACCUAGAAUUAAUAACUUCUUAAUGAAAAUGUGGGGAUUUUAUGAGGAGUACCAAUACAGAGUACUAAGAAAGUACAAACGAAGAGUACAACAGAACAAGUGUUUUCCUUCUAGAUGUUGAAAGAAUACAAUAGAUUUAACAGUGUAACUUUAUCAGAUACAACAUUUUCCCUACACUGCUACACCACAAAGAUAAAUUCCUCAAACAUCUAGAUUUUACAUAAGAGAUGCUCCGUUUUACCCGAAAAACAUCUAUUGUUUCUCUCUAGCCAGAUAUUCCCAGAAAAUGCAACUGGUACUGCAUUCCAGUAGAGACUCCUUCCCAUAUUUGAUGUCUGAUUGUGGCGACUGUUUAAGGCCUGUUUGGCAUGAUUAGUUGAAUCCCAAAAAUUCCAGGAAACACAUAUCAUAAACUGUCUGGAGAAAUUACAAUGGAGAAGUAGGUGAUCAACUGAUUCACAAGUUUCUUCAUGUAGUAAGCAUCAACUGCUAAUAAUAAAACCCAAGUAAAGCAAGCAUCAUGGAUUGUCAUGAGUAACACAAGCACCAAGGAUUGCAAUCUAAGUAAAGCAGGCAACUCUAGUUUCCAGAUUAUCUUUCAUGGCCAGUUUUCAGGAUUUCGUACCAUUUUCAGCAUUGAACUUUAUAACAUACCUUGACCCAAAAUUCUGUACCUCUCCAUAGCUAAGAAUCAGACAGCUGCUCAUCAAUCUUGACAGAUUCUAGCUUUUGAAUUAUUUAAUUAAUAUAUUUUAGAAGCUAUUAACUACUAACUAAGAAAAUGGUUAAUUAUCAGUUUUGCUUAGCUCCUUUAACUUUUGCGCCUGGAUUUUAAAGUUCUCAAUGUUUGUGAUUAUUUGUGGAAGCAUGGAUUCCAGGAUUUAAAUGUGUGAAUGUCAUUACUGAUUGGUGACUUCGAUUUGUGGUUCCUAAUGGUUUCUUAAUUGUCAUUUGUAGCUUAUAUUUCUAAAUUCUCAAAUUUGGGUACACCUAAUAAGAAAAAAGUCUUAUUUGAUUGUCCAUGGAUCUAUAGCUGAAUCAAAUAUCAACUAUUUUCUAACUAUCAGUUACUUUAUGGACUCACCAUGGCAGUUCAAGUGCUCUUUCAAAGUUGCAUAACAUUAAAUGGGUCAUGUCCCAUGCUUUACCACUGUUUAUGACCUUUCUCUGACCACAUGGUAGUUUUGAAAUGAAUUCCACUUAGAAUGUUGAAUUUUGUUGGGGCUAUCUUAUUGUAACUUUUUGCUCCGCUAAUCAAUUUCAAUGGUUAUAAACCUGGUUGCAACAGAGCAGAAGUUGUCUUGGAUGCUGUAUGAAUUCUCCUCAUGUUGUUUCAGUGGAUAAGCCAUCUAAAGGACUGAAAGUUCCGAGCAAACGAUUGAGGAAAACUAGUUUAAGAGACGACUUUUGGAGCAGUAGUGCAUGCGAGAUGGAGAAUAGCACAUUUCCCUCCCAGAGAAGCAUCUCAUCAAUUAGCACAUCUAAUCCGGCCCUUGAUCCUCACAGUAAUUCUGGCACCACGAGCAGCACUUCGGAAUUUGUAAAUCAUGGCAAGUGCAUACUUUUGUCUCCUUUUAUUUUGAUGUAAAUCAUCCUAAUUGUUUACUAGUAGCAAGUAAACUUGCAUGGGGAUCAGCAACGUCUUAGUAUUUGUACACAAAUACAGCGACAUGAUUCAUGAUGACGAAUGGGUAAGGUAGAUCAGUGUUCAGGGAAGCGUGACGCGGAAAAAAGCAAUAAGGCCCCGCUUCACGCUUUAAGCGAUGAAGCGCUCACAUACUCAUUCUAGUCUGUGAAGCGUAGAAGGCUCUCAUCGCUUCGCUUCAUCGCUUUAAGCGUUGAAGCGCUCGCUUUCCUGAACACUGAGGUAGAUAAACCUUACUUUUCUGGGAACACUACCAAAAAUGGUUAAAUAAUUAUCUGAUAGUUUCUCAACUUCAAUUACUUGCUUUCUAGGGUCACCCUUGAACUUUGGCCUGUCUAGAGGCCCCAAACUGCCUCAUUUUUUUGGUCAUGCCACUGCCUCAUUUGGAUGGCCAAAAAAGGUCCCUUGUAUUAGGAUUUUAUUGCAAACGUUCCCAUUUCAUCGAAUUUUUACAAAGGGUCGACCCAAAAUUUCAUAAACACUUGGAAUUUCUGUUAUUUUCAAAGGGGGUGGGUAUCUUGAUUAACUUCCAUUUUUCUAUAAAUGGCUUAUGGCUUUACUUAUCCAGGGGAAAGAAUGGCUUAUGGGCUUUGCAGAAAUCCCAUGCACAAUUUGAGGCAUAAACUGGAGAGACCAUAUACAAACUUGAAAGCAUGAUCUUGUGGUGUUCUUUUCAUUUUAGCUCAGUUUAAAACUCCUUUCUGUAUUUUGUUUAUCGUAUCAUUGAAUUAAACAUUACCUGGAACAGGUUUACUUCUUUGGAAUCAAACGAGGCAACAAUGGUGUGGAAAUAAAACACCGCAGAAGCGUGCCUCAGUUCGAGAACCCAAAUUAAGGUAAGUUUCUCACAUCUUUGGAAGUGUAAGCAUGAAUGGUUCUUUGAGUAAAGGGAAAAAUUAACUGAUGGAAGAAAGACAAAGGAAAAGGCAUGCAGGCCAUAGUUUUGAUACUGUGUCUCGACUUGGGUGAUUUUUGCUGGCAACUGUUUUUUAGGAAUUCCUUCGACACAAUCCUGAAACAAUUUGGUUUUUGAAUUAGUAAUAUCGUGUUACUGCUUUCAACUAUCGCGCACUAUACUGGAUUACAUACAUUUUUGACAAGUUUAUUCUACCACCAUAAAUUGCAGUGCAGAUACAAGUUAUGAAACGUUGCUAGGGACCAAUAAGCUUUUCCCUCAGCCAAUCCCUCUACCGGUAAGUUAUCGAAUUAGCUAAGAUAGUUUUUCUUUACAUAUUACAUGUAGCUAGUUGCUGACUGUCGUGCAAUUUAUAUAUCAGGAAAUGGUAGACUUUCUUGUUGAUGUGUGGGAGCAGGAGGGGCUUUAUGAUUAAGCAGCCACAUAACUCAUCAUUCUCAGCAACUGCAAAUUGUGUUCUGCAAGUUUUUAUCACAUUAAUUUGAUAUUUUAUAAGGACUUCUAAAAUAAUAAAAUAAAAAAUGAUAUCCAAAAGUUAAAUGAAUUUUUUUUUAUUUUUAUUAGUUUAUAUAUUAAAUUUUUAAAAAGAAAAUCAAAUAAAUGCAUGGAUAAAAGCUUUUCUAAUUUCUAUUCGAACCUAAAGAUUGGGAAUUGUUCAUACAUUGGGAAUGAGUCUCAAAGCUGUGAGUCAACAUUGCUCGAACCUAAAGCUUGUUGUAUUAAAAAAGUGUCUACUCAUUGGGGAUCAAGGAAUUGCGAAUCUCUUUCGUUCAGCUGCUCAUGUUUUAACAAAGUUAAAUCUCAAAGAUAUUAAACAUCAUCGACACCUCUCUAGAUAUUAUUUCACAUUAUGGAUCUGCACUGACAAAUCUAGCUUUUGGUGGUCUUGAAGAAGUAAAAGAGAAGGGUUUCUGGGUCCAGGGAUCUGGUCAGCAUCUGCAUGACCUUAAAUCUGAAGCUGUUUUGCAUCUGAAAAAGUAAUGUCCUUUCAGAUAAUGGAUUGAUUGCUUGUGUCAAAGCUUCAGGUUCACUUAACGAACUCGAUGUUUCCAAGUGCAGAAUCACCGAUUAUGGGAUCACAACUUUGGUCUGUUCUACACAGCUUCAUUUGUGGAUCCUCUCAUUGUCCGAUUGCCUUUUGUUGUCGGACAAAUCAGUUUCAACCAUAGUUGAGAGCUGCACUGGGAAUCUCUGAAGUCUCUGAUCGUAGAUGGUUGCAGGCAUGUUACUGAUGCAACCUUAGUAAAAAUUUCAAACUAUUUAUGGUUGCUUAAUGAACCCGAUGUUUCCAAUUGUGGAAUCACUGAUCAUCCAGUUGCCCUUUGGUGUCGGACAACAACUUACCCUUCUUGCUAAAUUUGGUGUUGGGUUCGAAAGUGAUUAGGGCGUAAUGCGGAAGCUUACAAUUGUAUAUCAUAUGGUUGAUAAGUCAGAUGAUAAACUUAUACUAAAAAUUAAAACAUUAUUAUAUGAUUUGACCAAUUGACCUAUAUAUUUAAAAACUAAUACUCCCUCCGUUUCACAAAAAAUGACCUGGUUUGACUUGGCACGGAGUUUAAGUAAAUAAAGAAGACUUUUGAAUCUUGUGGUCCUAAAUUAAAGUUAUGUCAAAUGUACAAAAUUGUCCUUAAUCUUGUGGUCUUAAACAUGUCACGUGGAAAUCAAAAAGUAAAAUGUUACCAAAAAAGGAAAGAUGUCAUUCUUUUUUGAAACUGACUAAAAAGGAAAGGAGGUCAUUCUUUGUGAAAUGGAGGGAGUAAAAAGACAUUAAAAAUAUAGAGAGUAAAAUUUCCCAUAAACAAAACUCUUUAGUGACUACAAUGUGGAUACUAUUGUGUAUUUUGAUAUGAGAAGAGGAGUCUUCAAUUUAUAGGAUUCCAAACAUUUCCCCUAAGGAAGGAAUAACCCAAAUAUGGAAGAAAAAUAUAUUUUUUUUUCAGGAAAAGUAAAAACAUUUAUGAUAAUGUUUUGUCUUUAAUUAUAGGAAAAAAAAAACUUCAAAUGAGGUAAGAAAAUCAGGGCAAAACCCUAACAAAUAUUCCCUUUUGGCUGGAUUAAUUUUCUUGACAAAAUUUGAUCCACCUUCUUCACUGCAUGAUAAUUUUUGUUCUUCACAUAGUCUUCAUCACUGUUGUUUCCAUGGUUAAAAAUAAGAUUUAAAAUAUAUGGGUUAAAAAUAGUGUAAAAAUAUUUCAAUUUUAUUUUUAAAAAUUGUAGCAAUAAGAAUGUUGAAAAUAUGAUUUAAAACUUCUUCUCCACAUGUAGCUAGAUAAAAAAUUUCAUUAUCAUCAAAUUGAUUACAAUUGAUUUGAAACAAUCUUGAGCCUGUCUUCAACCUCAAUGAACCAUAGGACCAUCGGACCAUGGAAUCUUUGGAUCAUGUGCUCUGAUGCCACUUGUUGAGUUUAAAAGUGAUUAGGGCAUAAUGCGAAAACUUACAAUUGCAUAUCAUAUGAUUGAUAAAUCAGAUGACAAAAAUUUAUACUAAAAAUCAAAAUAUUAUUAUAUGAUUUGACUAAUUGGCCUACAUAUUUAAAAACUAAUAAAAAGACAUUAAAAAUGUAGAGAGUAAAAUCUCUCAUAAACAAAACUCUUUAUUGAAUACAUUGUGGAUGCUAUUGUGUUUUUUGAUAGGAGAAGGGGGAACUUCAAUUUAUAGGAUUCCAAACAUUUCCCCUAAGGAAGGAAUAACCCAAAUAUGAAAGAAAAAUAUAUUUCCUUUCAAGAAAAGUAAAAACAUUUAUGAUAAUGUUUUGUCUUUUCUUAUAGGAAAAAAUAAACUUCAAAUAAGGUAAGAAAAUCAGGGCAAAACCCUAAUAUUUGGUUCAAGACCUUGAGAGCUUGAACAUACAACAUUGUCCCGGAAUCAUCUCUACUACUGUUGAUGCACUUGUAGAGAAACACCCUGGCUAUGAUAUCCUUUUCUAAGUAGGUUGUGGCUUAGACCCCGUGCAAUUUACAAGUUGGUCACUGUGAAAUUUUCUUGUGGUUACAUGUUGUUUUUGGGUCUAGCAACUUGAGUUUUCUUCUGUUCAGUAUUUUUUCGACGAAUGUGGCUUGGUUCUUUAUACAAUUAUGGGAUAACUGAUUCCUAUUCUUGAAUGACUAUUAAUGUGUCACUAUUCCUAAUCCAAUCCCUUCAAGACCGUUUAGGCUCAUUCAAUAGCAUUGAGUACCACAUAUUGACAAUUGAAUGAUAUUCUUCAUGAUCAUAACCCCUAUUUUAUUACCUAACAAUCAUUGUAGUAUUCUUCUUUUGAGAGAGGAGAUUAAGAGAAAUUCCCCCUUUUGUAUUCUUAUAUAUCCUAGUAUGUUGGGUUUUCUUUGGGUGUAUCUUCAUUAGUUUCUGGUUCUUAGUUUUAUAGUAGAAGAACUUGUUGAAUCCUAGGAAUACACCUAUAUUUAGUGAAAUAUCCUUAAUGAUAGUUUUUGACACGCCUCAAGCUAUGAUGAUUUCCUACAAAAGUUUGUGGUGAAGAAUUAUCAAUGAGAAUGUCAAACACUUUAUUGGUAGCUUCUUGAAUGAAGGUGUUAUUAGGAUUUUUGUCAUAAUUCUCUGAGAAUACACAUGCUGGGUUUUUUGGAUGGGAGAGACUUAUGUAUGAUUCUAGCUCCUUUUGUUUAUAGUUUUUAGCUUCUAUUAUUGCAACAAAAAUGCAACAUCCUUUAUUAUAUACAAUAAAAAAGAAAAAGAAAGCAACAAAAAAUGAAAUCUAAGUGAAAAUUGCAAAUGAAAUAAUAGAUAUAUGAAUUAUAGACCUUUAAUUAGAAAGAUACAUACAAGCACCAAAACGAAAUAUAAGUCUGCUAUCUGAAGGUAUUGUAAUAUAUGGCAAGAGAUGAAAAUAAGAGAGAGUUGAGGAUGAUGAUGAUUUAACUUGAUAUAUAAUACUAUCAAAUUAAAAUAUUUAAUAAUGUAUCGAUGACAAUUCAAUAAACCUUUUGAUUUUCAGUGAAAAUUUAACGCUUCUUGUAGUUGGUUUCUAUACAAUCCUUUUAAUACUAAAUCAUGCAAUUUACUCCAACUUCCCAUAUAUAUAUAUAUAAAAAUAAAAUUGUAAAUUUUACAACAUUUUGAUUUAGUGUAGGAGUAAAAUGCUAAUUCAAUUUUGCAUUUUGGAGCUCCACACUUUUAAUAUAAAAUGAUAUGAUAUGUGAAUGCUGAAAUAAUGUAUAAGUGAAUUUUUUUGUGUGUGUUGAGUUCAAUAAUUGAAUUGAAUCAUGUUAAUUUUAUUAAUUUUAUUUGGUCCAUGUUAAGUUCUGACCCAAAUUAAUAAUAACAAAUAAAUUUAUAGUUAUUAUUUAAAAAAAAUAUGUUUUCUUUUUAUAACAUCAAUUUGACAUUUUGUAAGGACUUAAAUACAAAAUGAUAUCUGAAAGUCGGUAACUAAUGUAUAAUGAAAAAUAAAUUUGUAUGUUAGAUUGGUUACUUGAUGCACAUUCAAUAAUAAGUCCCAACCCGGCCCUUAUAAAUUGGUCCUCCUUCUUCCCCCCUAGGGUUUUCAUAUAUUUCUCCAAAACUUUCCGCCGCCGCCGAUUGUGGUAACAUAAGGCUAAGAUAAGGAGGUAGAAAUCUAUUUUCAGCGAAUGCUUCUUCUCUCUUCACGAUAAUGUCUUCAGGUAUGUUACGUUUCUAUAACUUCAAUUUGAAUUAAGAAGAUGAGAAAAUUCAUGUAAAGACUAAAAAAAUUGAUAUCCUUCCUUAUAUAUAUCUAGUAGCAAUAAUAAGAAAAAAAUUAUUAUUUUCCAAAGUUGUGAUUCUAAUCGAUCCAUCUCAUAACUGAUAAUAAAUCACGCUUUAUUAUAUAAAAAUGAUUAUUCUUUUAAUGAGCAUGAGAUAAUUUAUUAUGAUUAAUGCCGGUUUAACAUUAUCAAAUAAUUCAGUUCAUGCUCGUGAUAAAAAAAAAGGUUCAAGAACAAGAAUGUAACUUCAAAGUUUAAGUUUUUGAAUGAUUCCUAAAUUUGUCAAGAUAUGAACAAAUAGUUUAUCUAUAGGAAUAAGCAUUUAGAAAUCACUUAUGUGAGGGUGAAGUGUAAGCUGCUUCAAGGAUAAUGAUAUACAUACCGAUUCUUUACGCACUCAUGAUUUUAGGAGGUGUUCACGACUGAAACAAACUCAACCUUGAGAACUGUAGACGAUUAAGGGUUAGUUGCGUGACUUGUAUUAUCUAGGUAUACAACAAAGUUUGACGGUUCAAAUAUAUCACAUCUACCAAUAAAUCGAGUGCAUCCGGUAUGAGUUCACUACUGAAAGUUCAAAGGAAACCUACGUAUCCAAAUGCAAUUAAUCUUUGCUUGUAAUCAUACACUUGUCCAUAUUCCUAUUUCAUAUAGUCAUUCCCCAUUAAUGUGGGGAAUUGCUCAGUUUUAAAAAGUGUGAAUGAGAAAUGAAGUGACUUUUUCGAAAGGUUGUGACUUUUUUGAUAAGGCACAAUUAUAAACACUACUAUCAUUUUAUUCUUAACAGAGGGGUUUCCUUUCAUUUUUUAACUACAAUUUUUUUGAUUUUCUACUUUUUUUAUUCUUCAUAAAAACUCAAGUGUGAUUUACAUUUGUUGAGUGAGUAGUUUGACGUCCAACAAAAUUUGAGGUAUCACUAUUCUGGUGAACUAAAUCGUUAUAUCCUAUGGGAUAUAUUCCAUAACCUAGAAUGGUUGAGGGAAAUAAUUUUCUUUAGAAUACACUGUGAAUUUAGUAGGCUUGAUUUUUCAAUAUUUUUCGUUCUUUCUAUCUUUUAUUAUUUCGUUAAUAGUGUUUAAUGUUCAUAUUAUAUUGAAUACAGAUUUGAGCCAAAUAACAGGGAGAGCAAGAAAGAGAGAAAAUCGAACUGAAAAUGAGGAAGAAGUGAUAGAAGGUAUUUUCAAUGUCUUUCUUUCAAAGAUUUUUUUUUAUAUAUUCUUAAUUCAUAGGUAGUAUGAAAGGAAUAUUGUGAUAGGUUGAACACUAGAAACAUUGAAAAUAUAAGUUGUGCAUUUGUUUCUUUACAAUUACGGGUUCAUAUUGAAUUUACUAUAGGAAUGAAUUACAAAGUCAUGCCAAUUGAAUUUGAAGAAACCUUACCCCUAGAACAAGAACCAAGUUCUUGUAUAUUUGCCUAUGACAGAACACUUUAACAGCCACACAAUACUUUUUGUUAAAACCUUCCUCACUCAAGGAAGGAAAAACCUUAUUUUAUUAUUUAACAACUAUGUCACGAUUACAGCUCAAUAAUCAAUAACCUCAAAAAAACUCUCGACUAACUAUAGUCGACUAACUCUACUCUCCAAGAGGCCAAACCCACCUCUUGUUACAAACCUCUCAAUAACUCAACUCUACAAGAAGCCAAACCCACUUCUUGUACAAAAGAUCUAUGACAAUGAUUCUAACUAUGAAUCAAAAACACUUUUCUCACACAAGAAAUUCUAACUAUAGAACUUCUUGAAUUCUAUUCCUAAGAACUCUCAAUUUAGUAGGCUUUUGCGUAUUUUCUCACUCUUUCUUCCUCUUGUUUAUCGAUUCUGCAAAAGACAAUUUGUCCCGUCUGCUUUGACAUCUUUUUAUAGAGUUGGAAGAUUAGUGUCUGAUGUGUACAAGGAAACGAAAUAAAGUUGUGUACGAAAAGGAUUUAUUUUGACCUUUUAUUACAAAUCCUGUUAGUACACAACUUCCUCUUUUAUUUGUUCCCUUCUUUAGCUCUGCUUUCUUGCUUUAAAGUUUUCCUUCUUUGACUCUUUUUUUUGAACUCCUUUUGAAAUCGGAUUGCAUAUCAAGAUGUGUCUACCAUCAAAACUUCAUAAAUCAUCAUUUCCCCCUUUUUUGAUGAUGACAAAUCAUCUACUCCUAUUUUCUCGUACAAAUCCAUUAUACACAAUGCACACGACUGUUAUAUGUACAAGACUAAUAUAUAAUACUAACUUCCCCCUUUUGGCAUAUCAAAAAGAAGCAAACAGAAUGAACAAAGCUAACCAAAACUCAAAGCUCUGAAAGAGCAACAUCACACAGAUCACAACCAGAUGACUCUAGGCAAAUGAAAGCAUCAAUCUAUAAACAUAGGCAAUAUGCAGAAACACAGGAAACAGAGAAUCCAAGAUACAUCAACAUUUUAAGCUCAUGCAGAGCCCCACAAAAAUAUUCAGUCUAAGCAAAAUCACAAAACAAGCAUAACAAAGGUCGUUAGUUCAAAGAAACAUAAGAAGCUGGAGCAGACAACAUGAGUCAAGAGAAAGAACGGUUGAGGUUUGGAGGAUAGGAUGAAGAAGAAGCAAGCAACUGGAGGACCCGGUCCACUCGAGCGUUGUUAUCAAGUUGCUGCUGUACCAACUGAUCUUUGAAUCUCCCAACCUCUUCUUUAGACGUAGUUAGCUCAGUUCGCAAGGACAUAUUCUCAUUCUAUAAAGUCUCACACUGGUCCCUUGCAGCCUGCAGAUCCUUGAGUAAACAAGUGACAGGGCCAGACGCCCUUGGAGAGGCAAUGGGAACUUGCGCAGGGUCAGCAAUCAAUCCACACUCAGCAGGAGUAGACUGAGUGAACAUAUCGGCAAGCGUUAAGGCUCGCCCCUCACCCAAUGGGACAACAAAUACAGUGAACACUCUCGUGAGAAAAUUUCCAAAUGCCAACUGGUGAGAACCAGGUUGUGGAUCAACGACUCUGGCCAUAUGUUUGAUCAUAAGACUCGGCCAAUCGACGGGCUCCUUUCUUUCUAAGGCAUUGGCAAUUCCCAUGUCACGAAAAUAUGCUAUAUGCCGCCUAUGUCCCCUAGGUAACACCCCUUUAUGAACCAGUUCGAACAACAAUUUAUGCACAUGUGCUAUCUCACCUUUCAAUACCUUCCUAGCCUUGGAGGUAACCCUUCCUUGGGAAUAUUUGGUUGGGAGAAUACACUGCUCAUCUGUUGCCCAAACAUAUUCAGCAAGUCCAACAUAGGGUAUACAUAGAAUCUCCCCAAGUCGACUACGAUCAAAAACCAACUCCACCCUUUUCACAAUGGAUGUCACCACAUUUUCUUCCAAAACCUUUAGAUUUAUUUGUAUAAAAUUCCACAACUUCCUUUUCGUGUACCAGCAAUUCAGUAUCAAGAAAUAAAUCCCCCCACCCCUGAAAGUUAAGCAACUCAUAUACCCUUUUUACCACAUAUAUUGAGAGAAUAUCCGGGUGAAAAGUUCUACCCCUAAGAACAAGUUUAGUUCUGAAAUACUUUUCUUUUCCCAUUUCCAAGAAUUUUUUCAUGUUUUUACUUGCCUUUUUCGACUGGGAAUGGGCUCCAGAAGGGUUAGAUGCAGAGAUAUCAUCAGACUCAGAAUCAAGAAUGACCGGCGAUGAAGAUGGUGGAACGGGGGACUUACCCAGACGACGAUAUUUAGCCCUUGACUUCGCACCCUCUUGCAGUUGGGCCUGACUCGCACUACGAGUAAGUGGUGUGCGAAAGGGUUUCUGUUUGACUGCAAUGUGCUUGCGUGGUCGUUUUGGUUUCUGAGGAUGUAGAACACUGAGGGGAACAUCAUCAAGAUCUUGUUCGAGUGGGUGAGUGGGUAGUGAUGGAGGAGAAGUGGUGACGAUAGUGGAAAUAGGGGUUUCGAUUGGUGACAGUGGUGGAGAAAAAUGGCUAUUAGGGGUUGGGGUUUAUGAUAGUGGGGAUAAUGGAGAUGAAGUGAAGGGUUUGCCGGAGGCGUAUGUUGGCAAUGGUGACUGUGGGAAAACGAGGACGGGAUCAGUGGGAAUUGAGUCAUGGGGUAGUGAGGUGAUGAAGGUGUCUGUGGAAUGAUUUUCUUCCCCCUGAGACUGUGCAUUGGGGGAUGUUAGCAUCGAACGGGAUCCCGUCGACUCAGAGGAGCUCUCAUCGUCGGAGUAGGCAACAAGGUGAUUAGCUAUGGGAGAAAAUUUGGGAUUUUCUUGGAGACAACUUUGAUUUUUUGGGGGUUUUGUGAUUUGUGAGGGAUGAAGUGUUAGAAUAGUCUUUUGAGAGGAAAAUAUUGGGAAGGAGAAAGUAAUUAUAAGGGUCUGACAUUGAUUAGUGACGGUUUAGGUUUUCUUCAGAGGUGACUUAUGGGAAAAGAUAAAAGCAUGUACAAUUUUGUAGGAACUUUCCCGCGUAGGAUAUGAAAAAGAAGUGUGGACCAAGUGUCUUAUGCAUUUUGAUAGUUGACAAUGUUAACUAUAAAUGUGUAUUGCAUAGAUAAUUAUUAAGUGGGAUGAGAUGCAUACCUGCUAUUCUGAGAACCCGGUUCUAGUCACGUCAGCAUUCUUGCUCAUAGUCAUGAGAGAUAAUGAGUAAUGUCAUUUAAAACAGGUCCAUAGGUUGUGUCCUUUUGAUGUAUACCUAAAAAAGUACCAUGAUGAGUAAAGGAGAGCAGGUUCAAAGUUUACAACCUGUAUCAAAAGAAAGGAGAAAGAAAGAUUUAUCAGUCUUGAAAUACGAGUCCUAGAGCGAGACGAUUUUUCUGGAAUGAUUCUCUUCCUAGUGCUUUGGUGAAGAUAUCAGCGAUCUGGUCCUAAGUCUUGCAGAAUGUCAUCAUAAUGAGCCCUUUUUCAACAUUAUCCCGAAGGAAGUGAUGCCGAAUGUCUAUAUGUUUGGUGCGUUUGUGUGGGAUCGGGUUCUUAGCCAUGUUCAUAGCACUGGUAUUGUCACAUCUGAUGGGAAUGCACCCAGUCUUGAUGCCAAAGUCUUCAAGCUGCUGUUUUAUCCAGAGGAGUUGAGCACAACAAGAAGCAGCAGCUACGUAUUCUGCUUCAGCGGUAGAAAGAGCUACAGAGUUUUGCUUCCUAGUUGCCCAGGAUAUCAAACAUGGUCCUAAGAAGUGUGCCAUUCCAGAAGUACUUUUCCUGUCUACCAAAUAACCUGCAUAGUCUGUGUCUGCGAACCCGACUAAAUCGAAUGAGUCUCCAGCUGGAUACCAUAGAACCAGGUUCACUGUGCCUUUAAGAUAUCACAGAAUUCUUUUUACAACCUUUAGAUGAGAUUCCUUAGGACAAAACUGAAAUCGUGCACAUAAGCCAACGCUGAACACAAUAUCAGGUAUGCUAGCAGUUAAGUAUAGGAGUGAUCCGAUCAUCCCUCUGUACUUUGUAUCAUUUAUUGGAGAACCAGGUUCAUCUUUGUCAAGUUUUGUUGUUGUGCCAAUAGGCGUGUCAUUUGUUUUGGCUUCAUUCAUAUCAUAUUUCUUUAGCAAUUCUUUGAUGUAUUUCUGUUGAUGAAUGGAUGUACCUGUUGGGGUUUGUUUAAUUUGGAGUCCUAGGAAGAAGUUUAGUUCACCCAUCAUACUCAUCUCAAAUCCGCUAUUCAUUAGUUGAGCAAAUUCAACUCCUAGUACUUCAUCAGUUCCUCCAAAUAUGAUAUCAUCAAUAUAAACCUGAACUAUAAAUAGAUCUUUACCUUGCUUUCGAAGAAACAAUGUAUUGUCUAUUUUCCCUCUAGAGUAACCGUGUGUGAGAAGGAACGUGGACAAUCGAUCGUACCAUGCUCUUGGUGCUUGCUUCAACCCAUACAGUGCUUUAUCUAGCUUGUAUACAUAUUCAGGGUGUUCAAGAUCUUCAAAGCCAGGAGGUUAUUUCACAUAUACCUCUUCUUGCAGAUAACCAUUUAAAAAGGCACUUUUAACAUCCAUCUGAUAAAGCUUGAAUUCCAUGUGAGGAGCAUAUGAUAUCAACAUUCUAAUUGCCUCCAUUCUUGCUACGGGAGCAAAAGUUUCAUCAUAGUCUAUUCCUUCUUCUUGAUUAUAUCCCUGCACGACUAGUCUGGCUUUGUUGCGUGUGACCUGCCCUUGUUUGUCAAGUUUAUUUCUGAAAACCCAUCUUGUUCCUAUCACUGUUCUGUUUGAGGUCGUGGAACUAGAUUCCAUACUCUGCUUCGUUCAAACUGAUUCAGUUCUUCUUGCAUAGCAGUAAUCCAGUCAGGAUCCAACAAUGCCUCUUUUAUAUUCUUUGGUUCAAUUAAGGAUACAUAAGCUGAGAAUGCACACAUGUUUCAUAAUUUGGAUCUUGUAUGGAUUCCUGAAUCUAGAGGAGUGAGAAUAUUUUGGAUAGGGUGUGAGCUUUGGUGUUUUCAGUUGUGAGGUUGAUUUUCAUGGGUGCUUUCAGAGGAAGGGGGACCUGAUUCAAUAAUAUUUUCAUCUUCUGUCACAGGUGUUUUUUUGAGGGAAUAUGGGAUCUGGCUCAUUGAUUUUUGAUUAUGAUGGGUUUGUCAUUCCUAUUUCGUUUUGAUCAUCCUCUGAAUUCUCUUCUAUUGAGUUAUUUCCUUCAUCAAAGAUAACAUGGAUGCUUUCCUCCAUACGAUUUGUUCUUUUGUUAAGUACUUUGUAGGCUUUACUUUGUGGUGAAUAUCCGAGAAAAAUUCCUUCAUCACUUUUGGCAUCGAAUUUUCCUAAGAUAUCUUUGUCAUUGUUAUGUAUAUAGCAGGUGCACCCAAAGGCUCUAAGAUGUGUUAAGUUUGGCUUUCUUCCCUUCAGCAAUUCAUAUGGAGUCUUGUUUAACACCGACCUGAUCAUACACCUAUUUAUAAGAUAGCAUGCCGUGUUUACGGCCUCAGCCCAGUAGGUUUUUGGAAGUUUGCUUGAGAUCAGCAUGGUUCUUGCGACAUCUUCGAGUGUUCUAUUUUUACGUUCAACUACACCGUUUUGCUGUGGUGUUCUAGGUGCUGAAAAGUUAUGCUCAACACCGUUUGUGGCACAGAAUUCCAUGACUUUUGAGUUUUCAAACUCUAGUCCAUGAUCGGAGCGGAUGCUAGUGAUUUCCUUGUUGAAUUUCUUCUGGACCAGUUUUGCGAAGAUUUCGAAUAUGGUAUAUGUCUCAUCUUUUGUUGCAAGGAAUAAUGUCCAUGUGAAUCUUGAGUAGUCGUCUACAAUUACGAAUACAUACCUUUUGCCUCCUCUACUUUGUACACGCAUCGGCCCACAUAAAUCCAUGUGAAGUAGUUCUAGUGGCCUGGUAGUGCUAACCAUCAAUUUAGGUUUGAAUGAGGAUAUUACUUGUUUCCCUCGAAUACAUGUUCCACAUACCUUAUCAUAAUUAAAGCUUUUGGUUGGAAGCCCUCAAACUAGAUCCUUGGAUAUGAGUUUGUUUAUUGUCGAAAGACUGAUGUGUCCCAUCCUUUUGUGCCAGAGAAUAGACCAAUCAGUGACUGCGCUGAGACACUUGAGUGUAUUUUCCUUAGGAUUCAUGAUAUUUGUCUUAUACACAUUCUUAUGCCUUUUUCCUAAAAGAACCAGUUUCCCGGAAGCUGAGUUUGUCACCUUACAUUCUUUAGCUGUGAAGAGCACACUAAUUCCUUUGUCGCACAUUUUGAGAUACGCUAAGCAGAUUAUGUUGUAGUCCCUUCACAUAGUACACAUUGUCAAUUGCAUGAGUAUGCAUUGAUUCAACCUGUCCAAUUCCUUGUAUUUCUCCAUUUUUUUCGUUUCCAAAGGCCACGUUUUCGCCUUUGAAGUUUCUCAGUGAGAGAAAGUUACUUUUGUCCCCAGUCAUGUACCUGGAGCACGUGCUGUCCAGGUACCAUUGCUUCAGCUCUUUCCUCACUAAUCCCUGCAAUUAACAGUUAUGAGUUAGUUUUGGGUACCUAGAUCCACUUGGGUCCCUUUUUAUUAGAAAAAAGAUGAAUAAGAUUCUUCUUAGCCUAUCUAGGGAGGGGUUUGGUGUUAGGAAUUUUUUCUGUAACUCUCUUGGGAUGUGGCUUUCUUAAGUAGGUUAGAUUAUUUUCAUAAGCAGUUAAUUUCCUAUGACAAUCGUAACUUUUAUGCCCAGUAAAUCCGCAAUGCACGCAUAGACAAUCUAUGUUGGGAUUUUUUACUUGGGAAUUUUUGUCGAAACCUAUUCCAUGUUUUGUAGAGGUUUGACUCUUGUGAAUAUUAUCGAGUAGUAUGGAGGACCUGGCCCAUCUCAUACUAUUUUCUGCUUCAGCUUUAGACAUAUGAAGUUCUUUGUUCAGUUCUUCAUUCCUCUUAGUCAUGGAAUCUAAGUUUUUAUUUAGCUCUGUUAUUUUGCUUAAAAGGCGGUGAUUUUGUUUUUCAAGAUUCUCAUUUUCUUCUCUUAGUGAUGCAUAGUCUUCCAUUAUUAAUUCCCUUCUUGAGUCUGCAGACUGAUAUGCAUUAAUGAGAGUGUAUAAUAAUGACUCUAAUUCCCUUUUUGAAUAUGAGCUAAGAUUAUUUUUUACGUGAUGAAGACUUACCUUGCCAUGUAUGUCUUCCUCCUCAUCCUCUUCAGAAUCUGAUCCAGCCAUAAGUGUUUGGAUUGUUUCUUGUGAUUUACAGAUGUUCCUCUCUUCUUCUUCUGAUUCUGAUAUGGCAAGUAGAGCAAGAAAGUCAUAUUCAUCGGAUUUCUCGAUCGCAAGAAAUGACUUAUUUUCCAGUUCUUCAUCCUCAGAUUCUUCUUCAGACAGAUUUCCCAUUGCUGCGAAAGCUUUCUUCUUGGACAGAUCUGCCUCUUGAUUCGUCAUUCGUCUGUUUGAGGGAAUAUAUUUGUCAUUCUUGAUUUCCCUUAAUUUUUCCGAGGUGCCUCUUUUCUGCUCCAAAGCCCAAAGUGGGCAAAACUUGAUGAAGUGAUCUGGACUUCCACACUUAUGACACACUUGUUCUUUUGUAUUCUCAUUUAUUUUCUGAAGAUUUCUUCUUUGAAAUACUUGCCUUCUCUUUAACAUUCUGGAAAACCUUUUGGUCAUUAGUGCAAUAUUUUCAUCCUCAAAGUCUUCUGGUACAGUAGCCUUUAGGACUAGGUUCCUUUCCUUUCUCUUCCCUCCGAUUUCUUUUUCUUGAGUUCAUAUGUGAUGAGAUUUUCAAUUAAUUCGUCCAUAGCUAGCGCAUCCAAAUCACGAGCUUCAGUGAUUGCUUCAACUUUGCUUUCCCAUGAUUCAGGGAGAACACUUAAGAGUUUUCUUACUGCCUUUCCAUUCGGAACUAUUUCUCCUAAAGAGUACAUCUCGUUAAUGAUUGAGGUGAACCUGGUGUGCAUUUCUUGUAUAGUUUCACCCUCUGCCAUUCGAAACAAUUCAUAUUGCCUGUUUAGAUUAUCGACUUUAGACUUCUUUACUUGAGUUGUUCCCUCGUGAGCAGUUUGUAAAGUUUCCCAUAUAGAUUUAGCAUCCUGACAUGAUGAGAUUUGAUUGUAUUCAUCUGGACCUAUACCGCAUAUCAAGAUUUUCUUGGCCUUGGCAUUGUUCUGGAUAGCUAGUUUGUCUGCAACGUCCCAUUCCUUCCUUUCUUUUGGUAUCUUGGUAACUCCAUCAGUUCCAGUUUUCAUAGGUAUGGUUGGUCCGUCCAGAAUAACUCCCCAUAAAUCAGGGUUUUCUCUGAUAAGGUGAUCCAUCAUGCGAUUUUUCCAUCAUCCGUAGUGCUUUCCAUUGAACAGUGGUGGUCGAGUUUGUGAAGCUCCUUCUUGUGGGGUUGGUGGUGCUGCCAUUGAUUCUUUUCAAGAUAUGAAUCUUUUAACGAAAAAGACCUGCUCUGAUACCAAUUGAAGAAACCUUACCCCUAGAACAAAAACCAUGUUCUUGUAUAUGUGCCUAUGACAGAACACUUUAACAGCCACACAAUACUCUUUGUUAAAACCUUCCUCACUCAAGGAAGGAAAAACCUUGUUUUAUUAUUUAACAAUUAUGUCACGAUUACAACUCAAUAAUCAAUAACCUCAAAAAAACUCUCGACUAACUAUAGUCGACUAACUCUACUCUCCAAGAGGUCAAACCCACCUCUUGUUACAAACCUCUCAAUAACUCAACUCUACAAGAAGCCAAACCCACUUCUUGUACAAAAGAUCUAUGACAAUGAUUCUAACUAUGAAUCAAAAACACUUUUCUCACACAAGAAAUUCUAACUAUAGAACUUCUUGAAUUCUAUUCCUAAGAACUCUCAAUAUAGUAGGCUUUUGCGUAUUUUCUCACUCUUUCUUCCUCUUGUUUCUCGAUUCUGCAAAAGACAAUUUGUCCCGUCUGCUUUGACAUCUUUUUAUAGAGUUGGAAGAUUGGUGUCCGGUGUGUACAAGGAAACGAAAUAAAGUUGUGUACGAAAAGGAUUUAUUUUGACCUUUUAUUACAAAUCCUGUUAGUACACAACUUCCUCUUUUAUUUGUUCCCUUCUUUAGCUCUGCUUUCUUGCUUUAAAGUUUUCCUUCUUUGACUCUUCUUUUUGAACUCCUUUUGAAAUCGGAUUGCAUAUCAAGAUGUGUCUAUCAUCAAAACUUCAUAAAUCAUCAGAAUUUUUUUAAUUGAUAUAUAUAAAUUUUCCCUAUGUUGUUUCAGUGGAUAAUCCUUCUGAAGGACUGAAAGUUCGAAGCAAACUAUUGAGGAAAACUAGUUUAAGUGACGACUUUUGGAGCGCUCGUACUAGUGCAUGUGAGAUGGAGGGAAGCAAUUCAGAAUUUGUUAAUCAUGGUAAGUACAUACUUUUCACUCUUUUUAUUUUCUUUUAUGUUAUGAUUGAAUUUAACAUUGCCUGGAACAGGUCUACUUCUCUGGAAUCAAACGAGGCAACAAUGGUGUGGAAAUAAAACACCGCAGAAGAAUGCUUCAGUUGGAGAACCCAAAUUAAGGUAAGUUUCUCACAUUUUUGCUAGUGUAAGCAUGAAUGAACUAUGAAAUUUGUGUUGCUUCUUUCAACUAUCGCGCACUAAACUAUAGUACAUACAUUUUAAUAAGUUUGUUCUAUCAUCAUAAUUGCAGUUUAUAUACAAGCUAUGAAAUGUUCCUAGAGACCAAUAAGCUUUUUCCUCAACCAAUUCCUUUACCGGUAAGUUAUCAAAUUAUGUAAGGUAGUUUUCUUUCCAUUUUGUUUGUAGCUAGUUGCUAACUGUUGUGAAUUUUUUACUAGGAAAUGGUAGACUUUCUUGUUGAUGUGUGGGAGCAGGAGGGGCUUUAUGAUAAAGCAACCACAUAACUCAUUAUUCUCACCAACUGCAAAUUGUGUUAUGGAACUUCUACACAAGUCAAGACAUAAAAAAAAAUCAUAUAGGGAUACCAACAAAUGAAACUUCAAUUUUAUUUCCCAAUUCAGAUUAAACUUUGACUUCUUGUCCUUUUUUUUCACAUUAAAACUAGCGCAUUUUAAAGGGGUUAUUCACAGAAAUAUCUUUAUUGCGCGGUGGUCUUUAAUUUUUAUCUUUAAAAUUUGAUGGUUACUUUUUUUCUUCAUCACUUUAAGUAAAAAGAAAAUGAACUCAAAUAUCUCUAGUGUGUGUGUUUAUAUGUAUAUUAUUUAGUAUUAAAUAAGCUGCUAGUAAAGAUUUAAAAUAUCAUAAGGUCAAGAUCCAAAAUUAAGUAUUUAGAGUUAUUUACAUACCCAUAGAUAUAAAAACCGUUUAUCAACUCUGGUAGUAUACUUAUGCUAUUAUUAGCUUUCUUAAAAGAAGAGUAAGAUUUAUCAUAUUUGGAAAUAUGAAAAGAAUUGGAAGUGGCCGUCCUUUUCUUCAAAUAUUCAACUCAAUUCUUUGAUAGUCUUGUGGUGAAUUUUGAAGUUGAGAGUAGAAAAGAAUUGUGCUAGAGAAAUUGGGAUUUGGGAGUGGUGGAAGGCCAAUGGAGAGAAGAAAGAAUAAUCGAGAAGCCGAAAGACCAUAGUCAAAAGACAAAAUUACCCUCACUUUUGAUUUAACUAUCAAAAUUAGAAAUCUGUCCAACUUUUGUUGCACAAUGUACAAUAAAAUUAAGCUGUGGUCGUCCUACCUUUCAUGCUUCUACAUAGUAUAUAUAUAGACUAGAUGGUUCUUGCCCGUGCUAAGCACGGGCCCAACAAUUUAAUUUAUGAUAUAAUUUUAUUGUGUUUGAUCUUUCUAGGAAAUAUGUUCGAGAAACCAAGUACCAUAAUUAACAUUUUUAUACAAAAAAAUUACAUUAGACAAAAAAUAAAAGUACGAACAUUAAGUAAAAGCUUUUAUAAUGAUCAAUAAUCUUAGUGAGCUCUAGCUUUGAAUCGAUCAAGAAGUUCCUAAAUUGUAUCAACCUUUUUUUUAGGGCUUUUGUUCUUGCACUUGAACUCCACUCUGAACAGUCUUUACCCAAGUACAAAUAUAGUUGUGAACUGCCAGGACAUCGUGGGGAGGGAACUUACAUUCAGAAAUUUUACAGAAAUCUCCACCAACAGGCAACAUAUUCACUAAUCUUCAUCUUGAUCACACUAAAUAAUAUUGAUCCACAAAAGUUAUGAUCAAUCUUCUACUCUUAACAAAAACAAACAAAUAGUAAUAAUAAUUACGAUCAGUAGGUCAUUUCUGAGUUUCAGUAUCUCUUGCUCAAGCACCUCGGAAUGUGAUCCCUAUGUAAGAGGUUUCAUCCCAUAUUAGAUAUUUUUGUGCAACUUAUGAAUAUGAAUCUUGAGAUCGAGACAAGACAAUCACCUGAAGUUUCAUGCGUAGUACUUCCAUUCCCCUUUUUGGCUGCUUAAGGCUACAUCAUUUAGCAUUUACAAAGAAGUUGAACUACAAUAAGCUUAGCCUUAGACGUCAAAGAAAGAAGCUAGUAAUUAAUAAUAAGUUUCAUUAUUUGGUUCCACUGGGAAGAAAAUUUGCAAGAAAGGAUUCUACAAGGAUGAAACUUGUUAUUUGUAAGAUAAUAAAAAUUAAAACCAGUUAAAGAAUGCUCUAUAUAUACUGCUUGUAGGUAAAACUCACCUCCCUUUUGCUUUAAAAAUUGGUGCUCGAAUAGAUGUUUUAGACUACACUCUAUAGCAUCGAUAUACCAACACGAAAUUAACUAUUGCAUCAUUUAGGAGUUUUCAGAAAAAAACAAAUCUUUUUGAAUGAGAUUUGUUAAACCUUGGUUAUGACACAAAAAGAAUAUAGUGCCUAAGUGCUGAAAUUGCAUUGGAGCUUGAUUUGAAAGUUUUGAAUGCAAGGUAUAGUGUAGAGCCGUCAAUAUGGGCUAGGUCCGUUGGGUUGGCCUGGUCUAAUCCAUGAUUUGAUAGGGUUGAGCUACGAUAUUUAGAGCCCAUUUAAGAAAAGGGCUUUUUAACCCGGCCUGAAUAAGCUUGUCGAUUUGAAGGGCUUGAGAAAUAUGGAUAGGGCCGGCCCGUGGGCCAAAUAAAAAUUAAUUAAAAAAUAAAAAUAAAAUAGAUUAUUAAAAAUAACAAGAGUCUAAACUCAAAAUUUGUUUAAAGUUUGAAAUAUUACAAUUUAAAUACAAAUUAUGUUUAUAAAAUAUGUACUACAUAAAAUAAAAAUUCCCUAAAAUUUCUAGGGAAUCACUAUAUAGGCCAUAUCCUAUGAAAUAUUGUCAUAGUUUUUGUGUUUUAUUAUGAUAAUUGGAAAACAAUUCGAUUAAUAUUUCUAUUUAGCUAUUUAUGCUUUUACUUGAUCAAACUUAAUAAAUAUUAUAAAGAUAAUUUUAUUUGUGUAUUUGAUUAACAAGUAGUAACACUAACACCAUGUAAUAUUGUUUUGUUGAUAUUUAUGAUAAUAUUUUUAAAUUAUAAUUUAAUUUAAAAAAUUAUAAAAAAUAUACUUUUAAGAAAAGAGGGUUGGCCUGGCAAAACCCGUAGCCCACAUACUAGUAUAGUGUCUUAGGAACUAAUGUUAAACUAACCUGAUUAUAGUAACAGGAAAACUUCUACUCACCGCAACAUACGUGACCAUUAAAUCUCAUUAGAGUGGAUCAUGAACAAGUAAUUACAUAAAAGGAAUAGUAAAUGGAGGCAGGCCUCAUUGACUUGAACACAGUUGGUGAUCCGUUUAACUCUGCUAGCAAAUUGGAGUAUUCCCUUUAAUACUACACAUAACUAUUAUGAUUUGGGUAUCAAUGUAAAAUUUCAAACAAAAUGAGAAUCAGCUUGUGUCGAUUUGCGCUGCUUCAAAUCUUAGUUGUUAAAUGGAACUAACACCGUCUUUUUGAAGGAAAAAAAGGGACAUACAAUGUAUGUAAUCUAGAAACGCAACUCAAUUGAAGAGAUAAAAAUAUAGAAUAGUGCCAUUGAUUUAGAGAAAUAAAGAACUAGCUAAGAGAAAAAUGAAACUGAAAAGGAGAACAAAAAUGACUCGCAAAAAAAAAAUGAAGCAAUUGUGCCGCCGGCAACUAACCCUUCUCUUUUUAUUUUUUCAAUGUAUUUUCAACUCAAAGUUUCAGUAGUUCCUUCCAUUGAUAGACAAAAAAUGUUGAGCAAAGACCUGGCAACAACCACCCGUAGCCCACAUACUAGUAUAGUGUCUUAGGAACUAAUGUUAAACUAACCUGAUUAUAGUAACAGGAAAACUUCUACUCACCGCAACAUACGUGACCAUUAAAUCUCAUUAGAGUGGAUCAUGAACAAGUAAUUACAUAAAAGGAAUAGUAAAUGGAGGCAGGCCUCAUUGACUUGAACACAGUUGGUGAUCCGUUUAACUCUGCUAGCAAAUUGGAGUAUUCCCUUUAAUACUACACAUAACUAUUAUGAUUUGGGUAUCAAUGUAAAAUUUCAAACAAAAUGAGAAUCAGCUUGUGUCGAUUUGCGCUGCUUCAAAUCUUAGUUGUUAAAUGGAACUAACACCGUCUUUUUGAAGGAAAAAAAGGGACAUACAAUGUAUGUAAUCUAGAAACGCAACUCAAUUGAAGAGAUAAAAAUAUAGAAUAGUGCCGCUGGUUUAGAAAAAUAAGGAAAUAGCUAAGAGAAAAAUGAAACUGAAAAGGAGAACAAAAAUGACUCGCAAAAAAAAAAUGAAGCAAUUGUGCCGCCGGCAACUAACCCUUCUCUUUUUAUUUUUUCAAUGUAUUUUCAACUCAAAGUUUCAGUAGUUCCUUCCAUUGAUAGACAAAAAAUGUUGAGCAAAGACCUGGCAACAACCAAUGGCAUAGCCAGAAAUUUCAUUAAGGGUGUCCAAACUUUGAAUAAUAUUUUUUUUUAAAAUGACGAUUUAAAUUACCAAAAUAAAUAAUCAAGUUAAGCAAUAUUUAAUUAAAUAUAAUAAUAUUUUUAAUAGAAUUACAAGUGUAUAAUUCAAAACUAACAUAAAGACAAAAGAAACUACUAUUGAAAACAUAAUUUAAAUAUAUUAUUACAAUGGUACUCGACGAGGUUUCAUAUCCUGAAACGUUUUUAUAAUAGACUCAUUAGAAAUAGUACGAAAUACUUUCUUUUCUGCAUAAGGCAAUAUACAAUCGUCUAAAAACUCAUCAUCCAUUCGAUUUCGCAAAUUUUGAAUACACUUCAUUUCUGAGAAAGAAAACCUUAUUCCACAAGAAAAAAAUAUUAAAAUUUAAGAAAAUCUUAUUCCACAAGGAAAAAGUAUUAAAAUUUAAGGAAAUAAUUCAAUUUUAUUUGAAAAAAAUCCACAAGGAAAAAGUAUUAAAUUUAAGGAAAUCUUAUUCCACAGGGAAAAAGUACUAAAUUUAAGGAAAUAAUUCAAUUUUAACUGGAAAAAAAAUAGUUAGUGGAGGUAAGAUUCGAACUUGGGUCCUUGAAGCCAAUAAUAACACUAUUAACCACCAAGCUACUGAACAUUUCUGUUAAAGUUACGCAUAUUUAUUUAAUUACCAAAUUCAAGAAGGUAAAAUAAUUACAGAAAAAUGAAACACUCCUAUAGGGAAUCAAACUGGGGCAGAGAGUAGGUUUGCGACGGCUAUAGCCAGCUCCACUACACAUUACUUUGUUAUUAAAGGGUGUCCAAAUUCUAUAUAUACAAAUAUAAAGUCAAAACUUUACAUGUAUAUAUAGUAUAAUUUUUCGACGAAUUGGACACCCUGGAGCCUACAUGGCUCCGCCCCUGGAAACAACCAUGAAAUGAGACCUGGCAACAUCAACACCUCAAAUCACGAUGUUCCUAAUUCCCAUCAUUGGAGACGCUUGGAGAGAAAAUAUGUGGACAACAAUCAAUCUCCAAAAGAAAUGACAAGAGUUAGGUGAAGGAAACAAGUGAUUCUAGAUAGACAAAUUUAGUUGAGGAAGAAGAACAUAUUUCUUCACCUGCAAGGAGUAAGUUAAGUCCUCAAAUAACCAUAUUUGUACCUUCAAGUAAGGCAAAUCCAUUUAUGACAGUGAAAAUUGAUAACUCCACCUAAGAUCUUGACCAUUACCACCAAGGUAUUGAAAAAAAUCCAUGAGCCAUAAGUUGUAGUUUCAAGACUUAAUUAGUCCAACUACAACUUAUGAUGGUGACUUGGGCAGUGAAAUGUUUGACGAGGAUGAUGAGGAUGAUAUGCUAGACAUAUUAUUUGAUAAGGUAUCUAAGGAUAGGGAUAUCUCGCCUAGGCAACAAAUUAGUGGAAGCAACAAAAGCAAAAAGAAGACACAUGAAAGACAACAUAGUUGGGAUGGUAAGGUGACUGGGGAAUUUAUUCCAAGGCACCUACAAAUGCGACUGAAAAAGCAAAAUCAUAUGAUCGUUUCAACAACAACAAGAUCCAAUAAAUCCAAAAAAAAGUGAUGAAUUAUCAAGUUUUGUUGGACAUAUUUGACGAGGAAGACAAGAGGGAAAUACUUCAGGUUACUUUACACGGGCAAUCCAUCUCUUUUGAUUCUUACAUAUACAAAAUGAAGUUUGAGGUUGAUAACUCAUAUUCUUGGAUUUUAUAUUUUUGCAUUACUUAAGUAUCCUCAUUUGUAGUAUCAUCACAAAAUGUAUUAUAAACUCUAUGAUGAUCAUAGAAUAUCUACUUUUCUCUAGCUUUUAUUUUUCUUCAUGCUUGUUAAUUAGUAGACGUUCGUUACCUCAUUAAGAUUAGUAAGGUAAGGCCUAUCCCCCCUUGCUUUUACUUUUUUCUUUGAGAUCCUUUUCUCUUUAUUAAUAAAACUAUCCCUAAGCACACCUUGCAUAGCGGAAUUGCUUAAAUUUUUUUGGAUAUCCUUUCUUAUAUAUAGUAGUACUACCUUUUUAAUUUACUUAAAAAGCUUUGAUGGUUAAUAGUUAUACUUAUAAAUGUAAAAAUGGUCAAAAUUUAUUCUUUACUUCGAGAAAAAAUCAAUUUUAUUCUUCAUUAUGCUAUUAAUUUAAAAUUACACUACCAUUACUUGAAUAAUUCAAAUAUAAAUGUAAAAGGUGAACACUUGAUCCAAUAUAAUAGCAGACAUUUUGAAGAAACAAAUAUUACGUGGCAUGUCAUCUCAAUGUCCCAACCCAUUUUAGCCUCCCCUCCACUUGUUCUUCCGCCAUUAAUGUUUCUAUUCUUAUAACAAUCACUAAUAUUGUGUGAUUAAAAAGGGUGAAGUGUUGUGCUCAAAUGAGAUGAAUAUUAUUUAUCUAGAUGAAAAUAAUUAGUGAUGGAAGAACAAGUAAAAGGAAGAGGUAAAAUGCGUUUUUAGGAUAUUGAGGUAGGAUGUCAUGUAGUGUUCAUCUCAUCAUUUUUUUUAAAAAAAAGAAGAAGAUGAAGGUGUUUAUGUAAUUGGUAAUCUUUCUUUUGGUUGAUUGUCUAUUUUUGGUCUCAAUAAGGAGUUUUUUGAGCUUGAAAGAUUCAAAUAUUAAAUUCCCAAUAGUUUUCAACCAUACCCACGUGUAGAGUCUUGAAAUAUAGAGGUAUCUUCUUGAUUCUUUCAUCUUUUCGCUUAAAGCUUGUGCUUUUUUUUCUCUUUCUUCUUCUAUGAUUGAUUUAGUCCAUUAAGAGCAUAUUUUGUGACUAUCUGUUGAGGCAGAAUAUCAAUUCAAAGGAUAGUUGAUGUAGGAUGGUCUUUGUCUGAUGUUUUUAAUCUUCUAGUUUUUCAGAAACACGAAGCUUUUUCCAAGCUUCAUAUCCAAGUAGAAAUAAAUCAUCUAUGCUUUUAUCAUGUGGGGAAAAUGGGAAGAGGAUUUGUGUCACUACCGCUUUUGGAAAUUUUGAGCAGAGGAAUCAUUCUUCCACUAAAAUCUUUAUUGAUAAAUUCCUCUUUGAGGUAUUCAAGCGUCUACCCAGUGGCAGUGAGACAAGUGCUUAUGCUUGUGUUUCUAAGCGAUGGCUCACACUUUUAAGCAGUGUUCACAAGGAUGAGAUCACAGAAUCUAAGAGAUAUCUUGCCAGGUCCCUUGUUGGUAGGAAAGUCACAAUUGCCAGACUUGCUGCUAUUGCCAUUAGAACUUCAAAACAUGGAGGUUUAGCAAAGAUAUCUAUUCGGGGAAACAACGUUUGUCGUGGUGUGACUGAUGUUGGUUUCAAGGAUAUUUCUCGAGGUUUCCCUACUCUCAGAGAACUUUCCUUGUGGAAUGUGUCUUCUUUUGGUGAUGAAAGUUUAUUUGAUAUUGUCCAUGGAUGUCAUUUGUUAGAGAAACUUGAUCUUUUCCAAUGCCCAAGAAAUAGAGGUAUUCUUGAUUCUUUCAUGUUUUCGCAUAAAGCUUGUGCCUUUAUCUUAUUUUUUAUUUCCCUUUUAAACUUUUGGGGUUCUACAUUUUGCACUAAAAUUGGUUCUUGAUUGUGUAGUGAAGAUGCUUUGCCUUUUUUUCUUUUCUUUCUUCUUCUGUGAUUGAUUUAGUCCAUUACACACCCAAUUUCUACUGUAAGACAUAAUCCACGGGGAGCCUCAGAAUUAGUCUGGAUGCCUCGAAACCUAAACAAAGGUUUGUUCUAGACCAAACUAAACAUUUUAGGACUAACUGCGCUGAAAGAAUUCUCAUUCGAGCUUGUUUACUCAAAAUAUUGACUAAAGUCAAACUUAGGCCUUAACUUGAAAGUUAAAACGCUUAAUCACAUUGACUCACACUGAAAGCCUCGGGACUUGUGUCAACUUUGCCACUAGCCUAAAAUGACCCUUCAGGACAUGAUGGAAACGUCAGAAUUGGAUUCUGAGGUCAUCUUCCUAAACUUCUAAUAAAAAUUGACAGUUCAAGGUUCAAAAGCUCCAAAAUACUAAAACUCGUAUAAUUUUUUUUAAAAAUGAUGUUGAUAUUAUAUUUCGAAAUGAUUUCCGUUACACCAUCAAUAUGUGUAAAGCUUUCAUAGCAAAAUUUAUUUACUUCUGUACUUCCAUCCAAUUGAUGUAGCCUAUUUUUUAGGUCCGGGUGGUUCUACAUGUCUGGAGCAUAGGAGUCCUGAUGCGGUGAAUGAGAGUCGAAUGAUGAAUUCAUCUAGGACACACACUUGUGAUCCUACUCUUGUUCCUUCCCGGAAGUAAGUACCCUUCAUCGUGUACAAUUAUUACUAAUUUGAAUUCAACACAUGCCUAUUUUUUGAUGGCCCAUCAUUGCUAGUAUUCAACUGUCUGAUUAACCUACUCUUUGGAAUUUCCCUAUUGAUAAGUACGGAAACAUAUAUAAUACAUUUUUUCAACAAUGUAAUGUUGGUCCAUGAGGAGAUGGCCUAGUGGUUAAGGCAUAUGACUAACAACUUGGACAUUCUAGGUUUGAAUACCAGCUAAAACACAUGGUGUGUCCAUCUAAUCUAGCCUUACUGGGCAGCAUUACCUUGUCAAUAUGUGCUUGUGGGAUGGAUAAGUUGUCCAAUGAAUUAUUUGGGGUACAUGCAAGUUGGUAGGGACACCAUUAGUAUUGCUAAAAUAAUGAGUAGCCACUCAAAAUAUAUAUGACAUAAUGAUAAUCUGAGUGUGUACUGCUUAGUCAGAUGAUAAUUGAUCUAAUCUCUCUUCCUCUUUGCAUUUCAGGGGGAGUUUUAACAUAUUAGGUGCUUUAAAAUUUGUACCUGGGAUGCUCAAUAGUUGUAUUUGGGCUCAUCCUCCUCCUUAUUUUUUUAGUUUACUUGAAAAUUCUAAGAGACAUUGAUCUUUUUACACAAGGGGUUGUUCCUCUAGAAAGAAAUUGCUAGUUAGAUUAUCAGUUUUGCUUUCCUUUUUGAAUAUUUAUUGCAUGUUGUGGCAUUUAAUUCUCAUAAAUACUGUUGUAUCUUUUAUGCAUACAUAGUCCUCUUCUUGUUUUAAAAAUAUUCAGCUUUUUCUCUUCCUUUUAGAUAUUGCAUGCUGGGCUAUUAUGUUGAUGUACCAGUGAAUUGGUGUUGUGAAGAAUGUGAUAUUGGCAAAGGGAUAAUGUCUUCAUCAAGCGGACUAGAAAUUGUGCAUUAUGAGGGAUCCAAGUUACAUGCCUCUGAAAAGAUUUGUCAGAGUAUUAUGCAACCAAAGAAACAUAGUAAGUUUCCUGGUGGACAUCGUUUUAACUGGGAAAAAGAGGUACGGACCGGGAAAUUGAGAUAUCUACCUGUUGAAGAAGCACUUGAUUUGUCAUCAAGCAUCAAGAAAUAUGGAUCUCCGCUGAUAGAUACGGUCUCCUCAAGAGUUGUGUCAACCAAAUCCAUGGCAACUAUGACGAGAGGGAUUUUUAGCAAGCCUAGAGCUCAAAUUUCAAACUCUUUUCGUGAGAAGAGAAAAAUGCAGCUGCCUUUAGGAUCAACAGGAUAUACGAAACCUCAAAAUCUUCAAAUUGCCGAAAACACUAAACAGAGCAAAAAAACAGUACAAUUAUCUAAAGGUUAAGUGUUCACCAAUAUAUUUUGUAUUAAUUACUUGAUUUGAUUUAUCCUCUUCUUAUACCUUAAUUAUUCUUCAGAAAUUUCAUUUUCUAGCAUAUACUCUAAAUAGUUUUUAAAAAUAAAAUGAUGUUGAUAUAUCUAGAGUUGAUAUUAUCUUUCAAAAUAAUUUCCGUUACACCAUCAAUAUCUAUAAAGCUUUCAUAGCAAAAAUUAUUUACUUAUGUACUUCCAUCCAAUUAAUGUAGCCUCUUUUUUAGGUCCGAAUGGUUCUACUAGUCUGGAGCAUAGGAGUCCUGAUGUUAUGAAUAAGAGUCGAAUGACGAAUUCAUCUAUGACACACCCUUGUGAUUAUGUUCUAGUUCCUUCCCAGAAGUAAGUAUCCUUCAUAGUAUACAAUUAUUACUAAUUCAAAUUCAGCUCAUGUAUGUUUCUAGAUGGCCCAUCUUUGCUAGUAGUCAGCUGACUAAUUAACCUAAUCUUUGUAAUUUUCUUAUUGAUAAGUACGGAAACAUAUAUAAUACAUUUUGUCAACAACAUAAUGUUGGUCCACGAGGAGAUGGCCAUGUGGUUAAGGCAUAAGACUAACAACUUCGACAUUCUAGGUCUGAAUCCCAGCUACAACACAUGGUGCGCCCAUCUGAUCUAGCCUUACUGGGAAGCAUUAACGUGUCAAUAUGUGUUUGUGGGAUGGACUAGUUGCCCAAUGAAUUAGUUGGGGUACAUGCAAGUUGGUUGGGACACCAUUAGUAUUGCUAAAAUAAUGAGUAGGGCACUGAAGAAUAUAUGACAUAAUGAUAAUCUGAAUGUGUACUGCUUAGUCAGAUGAUAAUUGAUCUAAUCUCUCUUCCUCUUUGCAUUUCAGGGGAAGUUCUGACAUCUUAGGUGCUUUGGAAUUUUUACCUAGGAUGCUCAAUAGUUGUAUCAAGGCUCAUCCUCCUUCUAGAGCUAGACGUAAGGUGUAUGAGUUCUCAGGUCUUUUUCCUGAUACUCUUAAAUUUGAACUUGUUCCCUGUGGGGAUAUUUGGGAAAGUCUAUUUAACAAUCAUAUUCCGAGUAAAGAAGAUAUAGGACUAUAUUUUUUUUGCAAGUGAGAAAGAAAGGUCAGCUUCUGCCUUAUAUAUCUAUCCGUAAAGGGGCAAUGGGUUGCAAAGUAGAAGUACCCCCUUGCCCAUGAACAUUUUUACUAGAAAUUGAUUCUCAGUUCCCAUUAUAUGUAGGUCUGAGAGAUAUAUUGCUCUAGUGGAGUUCAUGCGUAGCAAGGAUUUGGUGAUGAGAACGCUUAUAAAUGAUGUUGAGCUCCAUAUACUUGCAUCCAUAGCCAUGUGCACUGAUUCUCAAAGUACAUCUAUAAUUUCUAUGUUCUUUUCUCAUUUUUGAUGAAUUUUUAGGUAAUAAUAUAUUUACCUGUAUAUGCAGAAGAUUAUGCCUUUUUAAAGUGGGUUACUUGUUUGGUUUCAUUUGUUCAUCAAGUUUUUUGCUCUAUAACAGAUUGUCCAAAACAAGAUGGUAACAACAGCUAGAGUGUGUCUAAUGAUAUAACAUUUAAGUAAAAAACAACAAACUUAAAUAGAAUACUUGGAAUGCACUGGUGGAUAUGCUCACGGCAGGAAAAAUGUGAAUUACGUGGGAAUUUUCCUAGGGAUUGGUAUGAAAAUCCGCAGGAACCUUAUUUUCCUGCAAAUUUUCAUAUUAAUCUCCAGGAAAAUUCCCAUGUAAUAUAUUUUGAGGGAAAAGGAGAACUUGAUUUUGCUGAUUAUGAUUUAGCUUUCUGUAUCUGAUAACAUUUUGCCUCCACAUAUCAUUCUGUUCAUAUGGUAAUCUUAAUUCCAAUCAAGUAUCUGUCAACUUCUAAAUUUCUUGUGUUUUCUAUGUGAACUUGCAGAAAAAAAAUGUAAAAUUUGCGGUGACACAGGUUUUGACAAAGAAAUUACUACAUGUUAUCAGUGUGACAAUGUUGACGUACAUCCGUAAGUUCUCUCUCUCUUUUCGUAGCAUGAAAAGGUGGACAAUCAGUUAGAAAAUCCAAAAGUCAUGUCUCUCUUUCAAGCUUCAUCACCUUGUGUCAUAUCUAUAUGUUCUUUGUAAAUCUCAAACAUUGGCCCAAUCCCAAACCCCUUUUUUUAGUUUACUUGACAUUUCUAAGAGAGAUGUUGAUCUUUUACACAAAGGGUUGCUCCUGUUGAAGGAAAUUGCUAGUUAGAUUAUCAGUUUUGCUUUCCUUUUUGAUUUUUUUUUCAUGUUGUGGCAUUUAAUUCUCAUAAAUACUGCCUAUAUCUUUUAUGCAUACAUAGUCCUCUUCUUGUUUUAAAUAUUAUGUGUUUUUCUCUUCCUUUAAGAUAUUGCAUGCUGGGCUGUUGUGUUGAUGCACCAGUGGAUUGGUGUUGUGAAGAAUGUGAUAUUAGGAAAGGGAUAAUGUCUUCAUCAAAUGGACUAGGAAAUAUGCAUUAUGAGGGAUCCAAGUUACAUGCAUUUGAAAAGAUUUGUCAGAGUACUGUGCAACCAAAGAAACAUAGUAAAUUUCCUCGUGCACAUCGUAUUAACGGGGAAAAGGAGGUACAGACCGGGAAAAUGAGAUAUCUAUCAGUUGAAGAAGCACUUGGUCUUUCAUCAAGCAUCAAGAAAUAUGGAUCUACGCUGAUAAAUACGAUCUCCUCAAGAGUUGUGUCAACCAAAUCCAUAGCAACCAUGACUCGAGGGAUUUUUGGCAAGCCUACAGCUCAAAUUUCAAACUCUUUUCGUGAGAAAAGCAAAGUGCAGCUGCCUUUAGCAUCAACAGGAUAUACUAAACCUCAAAAUCUUUGAAUUGCCAAAAAUACUGAACAUAGCAAAAAAAAUGUUCAAUUAUCUAAGGUUAAGUGUUCACCACAAUAUUUUGUAUUAAUUACUUGAUUUGAUUUGUCCUCUUCUUAUACCUUUAUACUUCAGAAAUUUCAUUUUCUAGCAUAUACUCUAAAUAAAAAAAAUUCUUUUAAUGAUGUUGAUAUAUCUAGAGUUGUUAUUAUCUUUCAAAAUAAUUUCCGUUACACCAUCAACAUCUAUAAAGCUCUCAUAGAAAAAUUUCUUUACUUAUGUACUUCCAUCAAAUUGAUAUAGCCUAUUUUUUUAGGUCCGGGUGGUUCUACCAGUCUUGAGCAUACGAGUCCUGAUGAUUUGAAUAAGAGUCGAAUAAUGAAUUCAUCUAUGACACACCCUUGUGAUCCUUCUCUAGUUCCUUCCCGAAAGUAAGUACCCUUCAUUGUGUACAGUUAGUACUAAUUCAAAUUUAGCUCAUGUCUGUUUUUGGAUGGCCCAUCUUUGCUAGUAAUCAGCUGACUGAUUAACUACUCUUUGUAAUUUCCUUAUUGAUAAAUACGAAAACAUAUAUAAUACACUUUUUCAACAACAUAAUGUUCGUCCAUGAUGAGAUGGCAUAGUGGUUAAGGCUUAGGACUAACAACUUGGACAUUCUAGGUUUGAAUCCCAGCUACAACACAUUGUGCGCCCAUCUGAUUUAGACUUACUGGGAACCAUUAGCGUGUCAAUAUGUGUUUGUGGGAUGGACUAGUUGCCCAAUGAAUUAGUUGGGGUACAUGCAAGUUGGUUGGGACGCCAUUAGUAUCGCUAAAAUAAUGAGUAGGGCACUGAAGAAUAUAUGAUAUAAUGAUAAUCUGAAUGUGUACUGCUUAGUCAGAUGAUAAUUGAUCUAAUCUCUCUUCUUCUUUGCAUUUCAGGGGAAGUUCUGACAUCUUAGGUGCUUUGGAAUUUGUACCUAGGAUGCUCAAUAGUUGUAUCCUGGCUCAUCCUCCUUCUAGAGUUAGAUGUAAGGUGUAUGAGUUCUCAGGUCAUUUGCCUGAUACUCUUAAAUUUGAACUUGUUCCCCGUGGGGAUACUUGGGAAAGUCUAUUUAACAAUCAUAUUCCGAGUAAAGAAGAUAUAGGACUGUAUUUUUUAGCAAGUGAGAAAGAAAGGUCAGCUUCUACCUUAUAUAUCUAUCCGUAAAUGGGCAAUGGGUUGCGAAGUAGAAGUCCCCCUUGCCCAGGAAGGUUUUUACUAGAAACUGAUUCUCAUUUCCCAUUAUAUGUAGGUCUGAGAGAUAUAUUGCUCUAGUGGAGUUCAUGCGUAGCAAGGAUUUGGUGAUGAGAACGCUUAUUAAUGAUGUUGAGCUCCUUAUACUUACAUCCACAACCAUGUGCACUGAUUCUCAAAGUACGUCUAUAAUUUCUAUAUUUUUUCCUCAUUUUCAAUGAAUUUUUAGGUAAUAAUACAUUUACUUGUGUAUGCAGAAGAUUAUGACUUUUUAAAGUGAGGAUACUUGUUUGGUUUCAUUUGUUCAUCAAGGUUUUUGCUCUAUAACAGAUUGUCCAAAAGAAGAUGUUAACAACAACUAGGGUGUGUCUAAUGGGAUAACAUUUAAGUAAAAAAUAACAAACUUAAAUAGAAUACUUGGAAUGAACUGGUGGAUAUGCUUCUGCUAGAUAUUAUGAGAGAAAAAGAGAACUUGAUUUUACUGAUUAUGAUUUAGCUUUCUGUAUCUGAUAACAUUUUGUCUCCACAUAUCAUUAUGUUCAUAUGGUAAUCUUAAUUCCAAUCAAGUGUUUGUCAACUUCUAAAUUUCUUGUGAUUUCUAUGUGAACUUGCAGAAAAAAUGUGAAAUUUGCGGUGACACAAGUUUUGAAAAAGCAAUUACGUGCAUCAGUAAGUUUUCUCUCUCUCUCUCUUUCUCUUUUUGUAGCAUGAAAAGGUGGAAAAUUAGUUAGAAAAUCUGAAAGUCAUGUCUCUCUUUCAAGCUUCAUCACUUUGUGUCAUAUCUAUAUGUUCUUUGUAAAUCUCAAACAUUGGCCCAAUCCCAAACCCUUUUUUUUUUAAGUUUACUUGACAUUUCUAAGAGAGAUGUUGAUCUUUUUACAGAAGGGGUUGCUUCUCUCGAAGGAAAUUGCUAGUUAGAUUAUCAGUUUUGCUUUCCUUUUUGAUUUUUUUUUCAUGUUGUGGCAUUUAAUUCUCAUAAAUACUGCCUAUAUCUUUUAUGCAUACAUAGUCCUCUUCUUGUUUUAAAUAUUCUGUUUUUUUUCUCUUCCUUUAAGAUAUUACAUGUUGGGUUGUUGUGUUGAUGCACCAGUGGAUUGGUGUUGUGAAGAAUCUGAUAUUAGCAAAGGGAUAAUGUCUACAUCAAGUGGACUAGAAAAUGUGCAUUAUGAGGGAUCCAAGUUACAUGCAUUUGAAAAGAUUUGUCAGAGUACUGUGCAGCCAAAGAAACAUAGUAAGUUUCCUCGUGCAUAUCGUAUUAAUGGGGAAAAGAAGGUACAUACCGGGAAAAUGAGAUAUCUACCUGUUGAAGAAGCACUUGGUCUUUCAUCAAGCAUCAAGAAAUAUGGAUCUACGCUGAUAAAUACGGUAUCCUCAAGAGUUGUGUCAACCAAAUCCAUAGCAACCAUGACUCGAGGGAUUUUUGGCAAGCCUAGAGCUCAAAUUUCAAACUCUUUUUGUGAGAAGAGCAAAGUGCAGCUUCCUUUAGCAUCAACAGGAUAUACUAAACCUCAAAAUCUUCGAAUUGCCAAAAACAUUGAACAUAGCAAAAAAAUGUUCAAUUAUCUAAAGGUUAAGUGUUCACCACAAUAUUUUGUAUUAAUUACUUGAUUUGAUUUGUCCUCUUCUUAUACUUUUAUUCUUCAGAAAUUUCAUUUUCUAGCAUAUACUCUGAAUAGUUUUUAAAAAAAAUGAUGUUGACAUAUCUAGAGUUGUUAUUAUCUUUCAAAAUAAUUUCCGUUACACCAUCAACAUCUAUAAAGCUUUCAUAGAAAAAAUUCUUUACUUCUGUACUUCCAUCAAAUUGAUGUAGUCUAUUUUUUAGGUUUGGGUGGUUCUACCAGUCUUGAGCAUACGAUCCUGAUGAUUUGAAUAAGAGUCGAAUAAUGAAUUCAUCUACGACUUACCCUUGUGAUCCUUCUCUAGUUCCUUCCCGGAAGUAAGUACCCUUAAUCGUGUACAAUUAUUACUAAUUCAAAUUUAGCUCAUGUCUGUUUCUGGAUGGCCCAUCUUUGCUAGUAGUCAGCUGACUGAUUAACUACUCUUUGUAAUUUCCUUAUUGAUAAAUAUGAAAACAUAUAUAAUACAUUUUUUCAACAACAUAAUGUUGGUCCAUAAGGAUAUGGCCUAGUGGUUAAGGCAUAAGACUAACAACUUGGACAUUCUAGUUUUGAAUCCCAGCUACAACACAUUGUGCGCCCAUCUGAUCUAGCUUUAUUGUGUCAAUAUGUACUUGUGAGAUGGACAAGUUGCCCAAUGAAUUAGUUGGGGUACAUGCAAUUUGAUUGGAACGCCAUUAGUAUUGCUAAAAUAAUGAGUAGGGCACUGAAGAAUAUAUGGCAUAAUGAUAAUCUGAAUGUGUACCGCUUAGUUAGAUGAUAAAUGAUCUAAUCUCUCUUUCUUUUUUUACAUUUCAGGGGAAGUUUUGACAUCUUAGGUGCUUUGGAAAUUUUACCUGGGAUGCUCAAUAGUUGUAUCCAGGCUCAUCCUUCUUCUAGAGUUAGACGUAAGGUGUAUGAGUUCUCAGGUCUUGUGCCUGAUACUCUUAAAUUUGAACUUGUUCCCCGUGGGGAUAUUUGGGAAAGUAUAUUUAACAACCAUAUUCCGAGUAAAGAAGAUAUAGGACUGUAUUUUUUUGCAAGUGAGAAAAAAAGGUCAGCUUCUGCCUUAUAUAUCUAUCCGUAAAGGGGCAAGGGAUUGCAAAGUAGAAGUCCCCCCUUGCAAAGGAACGUUUUUACUAGAAAUUGAUUCUCAUUUCCCAUUAUAUGUAGGUCUGAGAGAUAUAUUGCUCUAGUGAAGUUCAUGCGUAGCAAAGAAUUGGUGAUGAGAAUGAUUAUAAAUGACGUUGAGCUCUUUAUACUUGCAUCCACAGCCCUGUGCAGUGAUUUUCAAAGUACGUCUAUAAUUUCUAUGUUUUUCUCAUUUUCAAUGAUUUUUUAGGUUGUACAUUUACCUGUGUAUGCAGAUUAUUAUGCCUUUGGAAAGUGGGGAUACUUGUUUGGUUUCAUUUGUGCACAUUUUCAAUGAUUUUUUAGGUUGUACAUUUACCUGUGUAUGCAGAUUAUUAUGCCUUUUGAAAGUGGGGAUACUAGUUUGGUUUCAUUUGUGCAUCAAGGUUUUUGCUCUAUAACGGAUUAUCCAAAAGAAGAUGUUAACGGCAGCUAGAGUGUGUCUAAUGGUAUAACAUUUAAGUAAAAUAACAAACUUAAAUAGAAUAUUUGGAAUGCGCUGGUGGAUAUGUUUCUGUUAUAUAUUAUGAAAGAAGACGAGAACUUGAUUUUGCUGGUUAUAAUUUAGCUUUCCGUAUUUGAUGACAUUUUGUCUCCACAUAUCAUUUUGUUCAUAUGGUAAUCUUAAUUCCAAUUAAGGGUCUGUCAACUUCUAAAUUUCUUAUGUUUUCUAUGUGUACUUGCAGAAAAAAAUUGUGAAAUUUGCGGUGAUACAGGUUUUGAAAAAGCAAUUCUACAUGUUAUCAGUGUAACAAUGUUGACGUGCAUCGGUAAUUAUCUCUCCCUCCUUCUUUUUCUCUCUCUGUCUUUUCUUAGCAUGAAAAGGUAGACAAUCAGUUAGAAAAUCUGAAAGCCAUGACUCUCUAUCAAGCUUCAUCACCUUGUGUCAAAUCUAUAUGUUCUUUGUAAACCUCAAACAUUGGCCCAAUCCCAAACCCUCUUUUAUUUAGUUUACUUGCCAUUUCUAAGAGAGAAGUUGAUCCUUUUACACAAGGGGUUGUUCCACUUGAAGGAAAUUGCUAGUUAGAUUAUCAGUUUUGCUUUCUUUUUUGAAUUUUUUUUUGCAUGUUGUGGGAUUUAAUUCUCAUAAAUACUGCUUGUAUCUUUUAUGCAUACAUAAUCCUCUUCUUGUUUUAAAAAAAUUCUGCUUUUUUCUCUUCUUUUCAGAUAUUGCAUGCUGGGAUAUUAUGUUGAUGCACCAAUGGAUUGGUGUUGUGAAGAAUGUGAUAUUGACAAAGGGAUAAUGUCUUCAUCAAGUGGACUAGAAAAUGUGCAUUAUGAGGGAUCCAAGUUACAUCCUUGUGAAAAGAUUUGUCAGAGUACUGUGCAACCAAAGAAACAUAGUAAGUUUCCUGAUGGACAUCGUAUUAACUGGGAAAAGGUGGUACAGACCUGGAAAAUGAGAUAUCUACCUGUUGAAGAAGCACUUGGUCUGUCAUUAAGCAUCAAGAAAUAUGGAUCUCCGCUGAUAAAUACGGUCUCCUCAAAAGUUGUGUCAACCAAAUCCAUGGCAACCGUGACUCGAGGGAUUUUUACCAAGCCUAGAGCUCAAAAUUCUUCCUGAUGAAUGCCUUUUUGAGAUUUUCAAACGUCUUUCCAGUGGUCAAAAGAGAAGUGCUAGUGCUUGUGUUCCCAAGUGAUGGCUUACACUUUUAAGCAACAUUCGCAAGGAUGAGAUUGCAAAAUUUAAUGGAUAUCUUAACAUGUCCUUUGUUGGUAGGAAAGCCAUAGAUGUAACACUUGCUGCUAUUGCUGUUGGAACUGCAAACUGUGGAGGUUUAGCAAAGUUAUCCAUUCAGGGAAAUAACCUUUAUCGUGGUGUGACUGAUGUUGGUCUCAAGGCUAUCGCUCAAGGUUGCCCUACUCUCAAAGAACUUUCCUUAUCGAAUGUGUCAUUUGUUGGUGAUGAAGGCUUGUCUGAGAUUGCUCAUGGUUGUCAUCUAUUAGAGAAGCUUGAUCUUUUCCAAUGCCCAAGAAUUACUAAUAAGUCCUUGUUAGGUAUAGCAAAGAAUUGUCUCAAUCUCAACUCUGUCAACGAAUGAUUGUUCAUAUAUUGAGAAUGAGUCUCUCAAAAUUAUGGGUCAAUAUUGCCUGAACCUUAAGCUUGUUGGAUUAAAAAUGUCCUUGAGUAGGCAAUGCUACCAUUGAUGUAAUACAUAGACUAUGUCACAAAUUAAUUCAUCUAGAGCUGAAUGGGCUUCUUCGUAUAACGUCAGUGUUAAGCUUGUGAUGAUUUGUUCAUGUCCGAGUCUUAUGUAUUUGUCUUUUUAUAAUAGUAAUAUCCAGUGAAUUUAAUUUCAAAAUUUCUAAUUAUAAUAUCUAGCAAUGUCUAAUCUUUGCGACUAAAAAAUCAUUUUUAUUUACUAGAUAAAGAAGAAAACUUAAUUGGUUAUUAUAAAUCUCUUAAUACAAGUAAUAGUACUAUCUAAGAAUGAUAACUUUUUAGCUUGCCUUGUAUGUGACAGUGAAAGUCGGAUCAAAGCACCACAAGUGCUAUGAAGAGAGGUGAUUUACAAUAAAUUAGACCAUCAACGUAAAUUUUGUCAAUUCAUGGUAAAGUUUAUCAAUACAUUUAGCUUAAUUAAAAUAAUGAAAAUUUGUAUAGGUGAUUUCAACUUAUACAAGGAUUGGGUUUUAUUUAGAGUGAGUUAAGUUCUGAACAAAUUUAUUUAUUUAUUUUUUACAGCUAUCAUAUCAUUAAAUUGGUAUCGAAAAAUUAUAUUUUCAAUUAAAAAGGAAUGCGAGGAUAACUAAUUAAUCAACUAUAUAAAUCAUUUGGAUUGGUUGCGCUCUAUUUAGGUCUAUAUAUUAAAUUAAAGAUUCACCUUAAAUUGUUCAUUUUUUAUAGGAUAAAUUUCUUAAAUGAUCACUAGCUUAAUUGAAUAGUAAAAUCACUUAUUUAUUGUCAUAUCAAUAAUAUCACACCAAUAGGAAAACAAUUUCAACACUAAUCUCAACUUAUUCAAUUCCAAAUCAUCUAUUAGUAUUUUUAAGAAACUUAUUUUCCAUAGAAUAUUUUUCUCCGUACCAAAAACAUUUCUCUAAUAUUAUGACUGUUCUUAUAGGCUACUAAAAUAUUUCCAACAAAAAGCAAUUUGCUAUUAGCUAUUCAAUUUGGUCCAAUCAUUUUAAUAUGUCAAUCAAUCUAUUUGGAAAACCUACCAAUUCUAUAGGAGGAAAAAGCCAUAAUUGUGGUUCCUAUUGAAAGGAAUAAUUGUCUUUUUAUUAAGAACGGUGUUCGAUUCAACUUGUGCACACCUAGAUAGCCUGUGGGAACUUGCUACAUCCUACGAGCACAGUCGAGUUGAAAGAAAUCACCUAGGGUGGUGGCUAGCUCUGACAUCAUAGUUUCAACCCAAGGAGAACCACACCCCAAAAAAACACUAUUGAGGUGGGAGAGACCGACCCCGAGGCUAUAUAAACCCCACAUCAACACUUUGCAGUAUCAAUAUGGGACUUGCAAUGGACCAUAACACAAAAGUUCAUACUAGAAAACAGCUCCAAUAAAGUACAUGGUCUUUUUACUUUUUAUAACAGAGAAAUCGCAAAGGUCCAGAGGGGCACGAUUCGAAACUCAGAGGAUAAGGUGACUACACUACACUGACUCGAGGGAGGAAAAGAUUCAUAAUACCUGAACAAAGCUAGAGCAUCAUGUAAUGUAUAUGUAAUUUAUAAAUACACCUUAAUAAACAAGCAACAACCAUUUGGUUCAACAGAACAGUUUCAGCAGCCAGUAUUGUCCCCAGUUUUCUGCAACUGCAAAGUACUCAACUAGUAGAAAAGACAAAAAUUCUUAAGGAUUUCUGGCUACUCAACAUUUAGAUAACAGAGGCAAGCAGUCUGCAUAUUUCUGAUGACCACACUCAGCAAUCUUGAAAGAAGAUAGACCACUACAAAUUCAACCGUGCUGCGCUGACUAUAGACAAAAUGGUGAUGUUUGACCAGUACAAUAUCAAGUGCAUUCAUUUCUCAUCUUAUUCAUACCUUUGCAAUACUUCAGGCAAAGAGCGAAUGAAGAUUGCUCCAUGAGUAUAUAUUCGACUUCAGUGGUUGCUUCUAAUGCUCGAUUGUGACGUGUUCCUGCACCAGAUUAGUCUCUAUUCGAGCUUUAACACCAGUCUCAGUCUGGCUCGGUUCAACAACUGAUACAAUCUCACACUCUUGACCAUCUGCGUCAAAUUCAGUAGCUUGCUUGUGUUGGUUAUUUGAUUGAGAAGAAACUUCACUUGUUUCCUUGGGUAAAGCAUUCAGCAGAGAUGCAGCUUCAGUUGAUUCCUUGGAUGAGCUAGACUUGCGAAUGGAAAGCUUUCUUGUUUCAUUGGAUAAGUUGGUUUUCUCAGAUGGCAGCUUAGGAAGUGACUUCCUUUGAGGCUUCUUAACAAUGAGAGGAGAAUGCCCUUUGACAGGGUUACUUUGGGAUGCAUUUUCGUCCAAGCUUAACCUACCUGGGCGCAUGACACUCUCAUUGAUUCUUUCUUUGGUGGGCGAGCUCUUUCUCCUCCCAAGUUUGGGGGAUUUAGCUCUGGUUGGUGGAAUCUAGCAUCAUAAGAUAGUGACAGAAGGUGUUAAUUAAACACCGGGAUAACUUGUAAAUUUCAAAAUAAACAGGAAGAAUAAACUACUUUAGGAGGGGCUUCAGCUGUACAUAAACAAAACUAGCAAGUAAGAAAGCAAAUAUUAGAAAAUUUCUUUAGAUAAAACGCACAAGAGCAUGACAUACCAGCAUCCUAGCAUGACCAGCAAAGGUAAGGCAUCAAAUUCAGGUUAAGAUAGAUAUAUUUUACAAAUGUAUAGGGCAGCCUGGCACACUAAGCUCCCGUUAUGUGGGGGUCCAGACCUACACAGCCUUAUCCUGCAUUUCUACAAGAGGUUGUUUCCACAGCUCGAACCCGUGACCUCUUGAUCAUGUGGCAGAAACUUUACUAGUUACGCCAAGACUCCCCUUCAUUUUAGAUAUGUAUAGAUACAAAAUAUACAUGCACAUGAUAAAUAGGGGCAGAUGUAGACAUAUAUACCAGAAUUUCCCUUCAGAACAGAUAAUUUUUGCUCAACACUUUGGAGAGAUUGACACAAGAUAGAAGUAUUUCCGCAUACUAUCUAGUUUCCCAACUCCAUUUCUUUGCCAACUGAAUAGUGAAGUGCCUGAAGGGAGCUCCUAAAUCAUCUCAUACCACCUACUUAUAAAAGCUAGCUUUGACCAUAACUUGCCUGCUUGACCCAUUAACAUUUCCUGAUCUUAAGUAGAGUAGAUGGAGGAACUAUAAUUUAUGAUUGUUAUGGUGAUUAAGGACGGCAUGUAGUGUUUAUAGCACAAAAGAGAGUGCUUUCAAGAAAUAAUAAAUAAUGAUCCAAAGCUAAGAGAAAUUUUACCUAGUCUUAGAUUUACUGAAUCAGGAAUAUAUCUAGCCUAUGAUGAACUGUCAAGAACCACAUGUGUACUCUUCACAUUUCUAUCAUGCUUAACCACUUUGCAUCUCACUGAGUUUGCUUACAAUAAGAGUCACUAAUCCAGUAUUAAGAUAGCACCUUAUGAGGCUCUGUACAGGAUGCAUUGUAAAUCUCUCACUGCUGGUUUGGGCCAAGGGAGAGGAGGCUCUUGGGACCAAAUUGAGUACAUGAAUCCUUGAAAAAGGUUCAGUUCAUUAGGAAAGGACUAAAAACAGAUCAAAUGGGUAAAAGUCGUACACUGACAAAAGAAUUAGAGAGUUUGAUAUCAUGCUUGGUACAACGAGUGUUUGUGAAGGUAUCAUCCAUGAAGGGUAUCACGAUGUAAGAAAAGAAAGGAGAGAUAUGCCCGAGAUUCAUGGAUCCUAAGCAUCAUUGAGUGUGUGUGUAGGUGCAAUCGUGUACCUGUAGACACUACCGCUAGAAUUUACAACUUUACACCCAGUCUUUCAUGCAUCGCCUAUUAAGUGUAUACAUGAUCCCAUGCACAUCAUAUUAGCUGCCUUUGGCCCAGCUAAGUCAGCAAAGUAGCACUUAAAAUAUGAACAUCGUCCCUCUUACAAAACCAGACCUUAGUAGCCUUUGUCCCAACUGUCUGCAAACUAGCACUUAAAACAACGGUCCCAUCUGUGUCAGCAAAAGGUCAGCCCUUCAGUGCUAAAGAUCUAUCAGGUCCAACCAUCCAACAAUUUCACUAACAAAUAAGAGCCAUAACAAUUUCACAAUGUUGAGAUGGCACACUAACGAGAGAGGAUUGAUUCCAAGACUAACUUUUCCACAAUUUAACUUGCAUAUAGUGUCCCUUUUAAAGUGAACAGGUAAUGAAGUUGACCUUGUCUGAUACUUAUCCAGGAAAAAAGUAAAAGGUUGACCUGAUUUCCAGUAUCAUGUAUUUCUACACCGGACUCAUAUCCUUUUCUAUUGCUACUUAAGCACCAAAAUCACAUCUUACACACCUAUUCUAUCAAUUCAGGUACUGUAUCAUCAGAUUUUAUUCUUGUUGAUUUUUUCCUCAAAGAUCAGCCACAUCAAUUAUGCAUCAAAAAGUAGAGCUUCACAUAUAAUACUGGAACUUCACCAAGAGACAAGUUUAUUAUGCACUUCUUUUUCCCGAUCAUGCUAAGCACUUAAAAUAUCACAAGAAAUGAUGAUGAAAUUCCACUAGCUAACAAUAAAGUCAAUCUUCACAUAAAUGUAUCAAUUGCAAUGCUCCAUUUGUGGUAAAAAAAUUCAAGAAAAUGAACACCCAACUCUACAAAGCUAUAUCCAGUUUAACUAUUGAUCUAUGACUUUUUUAGGAGCUCAGUAGUACUGCAAUUUCACAUAAAUAUAUCAAGGGCGAUCGCCAAUAGUGGUUUAAAGUCAAGACACUGAACCUCCCAACUCUACCAAGCUAUAUCCAGUUUAACAAUUGUUAGCUAAGGGUAUCUUUUCAGAGCUCAGUAGUACUGCAAUUCCUUUCUUCAUAGUUCAUCAUAUUUAGACAGAACAUGCAGUUUCAGUGUCAAGUUGAAAGCAUUCAAAAGAUCAGCAAAAGGAUGAACUUGAACCUAACUCGUUUACUAUAUUUUACUAGAGCUUCAAAAAACAAAAACAAAAAAUAAACAGUGCUCCACAUUACAUUACCUGACACCAAAUAUAUUUUUAAAAAAUCAGGAUAAAGCAAAUGAUAUUUAUCAAUUCUGGUAACAAAAUCAUUUUGAGCCAAAGAACCACUAAAUAUUCAAUAUACUAUGUCUAAGAACAGCAAAAGGCAUUUCAUACCAUACAAGAUUGUAUUUCUCGGCAUUAUAACAUACAACACAGCAAAAAAUUACCUUCUUCAACUCCAUCUUUGGAGGUGCAGGUUCCUGAUAAAAGCUUGGCAUGGGUGUUGCUUUAAAUUUUAAGCUCUUCCUUAACAUUUUGAUCUCAGCUUCCUGUGUUUCCUGUUAGAGAAAUGAAAGAAAAUAAAAUGGGAAUGCUACAAGAUAACCCUACAACAAGAAAUUUUCUACACCAAGAGAUCCAGAAGCAGAAGUGUCACAACACCUUAGUCUUGGCUUGCAUAUUACUUUUCUCAACUUCCUUUGCCUGGGUUUUUUCUUCAAGCUUGGAGUAAAACUGUCCAAAUAACAAGACAAAUGUUCUUAGAUUGACUUCACGGUGCAAGACUAUCAAGCAUAUAUUAUAAGCUUCAGUGAUGCAAGCAGAGGGCUAACCUCUUUCCUUUUCUCAGCUCUUUCAUCACACUUGAAACUGAUAUUGUAGGUUGGAAGAGUACCUACUUUGCGAGUUUUGGCAUCUGAUGCAGCAGUAGGACUGCUAGGAAGUGAUUUAAGGAUAAACUGAAAGACUUUUAUUAUGCUAAUAAAAAUAAGAAUUCCAAAUCUAAGGAGUGAAGGGAAAAAAAAAGAUUUGACACAUUUAGGAUACGAAGAUGAUUCUGCACUUCCAUCAGCUUUAUUAGGGAGCACUUUCUUCAAAGGCAUCAGUUUUGUUUUUCCCUGCAGUAACGAAAUUAUAGUUCACAAACCACUGGGGAAAAGUUAUCAUUGAUUGUUUGGCACGUUUUGAAAGCAUUCUCAGUACAAUUAUCAUAGGACUCCUCCAAGUAAUAGGUAAGAAACUACAAGAGAAAUCGGACAUACUUAAGGCCUUCAGACUGAGCAGCACUCGGAGAAGCUGAUGCUGCUACUUCAGCAUGACCAGGUUGCUGCUAGAAGACAGCAGAAAAGGAAUAUGAUAUUGAUGACAAUAAACAGAUGCAUAUGAAGCUGCAAUAUUGAAAUUCAGAUUGCUGUUACUCUGGACUGCAGGUCAUAAAUUAGACCCAAGACAUUUACCUUAGCACGAUCAACAUUUAGAUGAGCCAAUGCAGGUUUUGAAUAAUACUCAACAGUUUUCUUGUCACUGAAUGAUUUACCCUUUGCAUCAAGGGAAGAUGGCUGCUUAGGACGCGGUUUGGAGGCAAGGGUACCAUUUGAUGCCUCUUUUCCAUCUUUGCUUUUCUUGGCUACGCCAUUUUUGGGGCCUGAAUUCUUAGCAUUCCUUGCCCUAGGUGGAGUCUUUUGCUCUUUACUGUUCGUUGCAUCAUCAGAUUCUUUUGCUUCAUGUUCCUGCAAGUAAAUAAGCAAUUACCUAAAUGUGGUGUUCAAAAUGUCCUUAGAAAGUAAAAACUGGAUAAACUCCCUUACCUCGGAACUGACACCAGCAUUGCUUUCUACAGUAAUUGUAGUUUCAUUACUGACCUCUUGGACAGAAGAUCCAACUGUUUCACUAUCAGUCAAUACGACAGUGCUCUGGAAACUCCUCUCUAGUUCUUCAUUACUGGGACUUGCAUGAGGCAUCCCAUUGGAUAUGCCAGCAACAACUUCUGGAAGUUGGUGGACUCCAUUUCCAAAGCCCAACCCAUUUCCAGAAACAGCUAUGUUAUUGACAACAUCCAUCAUGCUCUAUAAUGUUUCAAAAUUUGCAACCACAAUUCUACAUGUCAACCACACAAACAGAAAAUGCCUCAUGAGUCAUGAUUAAAACAGGUGUUUUUAAAGUAUAAUCAAACCCCAAUAGUAGGGUCUAAAGAAAUGCAAUCUCAUACUAAAAAACAACCAAUCCAGCAGAAAACAAAUUGUAUAUAGAGGAUUACCAAAGCAAUGCUACAACCACAAAAAGCUCAACUUUCAAAAAAUUCAUACUUUAGAACACUACAGACUCUCAUCUAAUACUUCAAUCACUUUGUUCUUCAAACAAACUAACAACACACAAAUCAAAACUCGGGCUUUGCAUCAAGUCAAUACCAUUUCUACUGAGCUGAGAAACAAGGUUAAAUCACCCUAAAAAUCAAACAUUUCCAUCAAUUACAAUCCAAUUCCAAUUAUGAUGUGGAUCUUGGGUAUCCAUUCCACUCUAUUCAAGUUCAUCUAUGCAAAGUCUCAGCAAAUGACCACAAACAAAGAACUCAAAAACCCAAAUCCAAAUACAGUACCAGAAGACGACAAAAUCAGUAGACCGACACUUACUCUACUUAGAUCUCCAACCGCAAUAAAAAGAUCCAAUCUUUUUCUCAAUCCAAGAUUCACCACAGCAAAUCCAAAACCCCAAAACAGCAAAACCCAUUUUCACAAAGCUAAAUACCCACAAGAUAUACAUAAUGUACCAAUAUUUUAUAAACACAAACCACAACAAAUGCAGUUGCUAGCUACUAAAUGCAAUUUACUUACCUAAACAACCAUAAAAAGAUCACAAGCCCAUGAAAUCCACAAGGGAUCUGAAAGAAUCUUGACACAGAAAGCCAAACACUUGCAAAACAAACAAGAAUCUUGAAAUCUUAGAAACAAUUUAUGAAAAUGCUUUAAAGAUGGUGUUUUCUUGAACUUGAAAGUGAAAAGUUGAGAACUUUGAAGAUGGGGUUUCUCUAUUUCACAAAAUUCUCAACUCAAAAAUAGAGAAGGGGGGGACAGUUUUGCUCAUGUGUGUGUGUUGGGGAUGGUUUUUUUUUUUUUUCCAAUUUAUUUUAGUAGUUGUAUGUGACAGAAGUAUUCAAAUCUAUACCAGGUCACUGUCUCAAAAGAAAAAAAAUCACCUUAAAUUUAAGGAUAGGGAGGAACAGACAUGUACCAGCCCCAUGAUCAUGCUUACCUGGUAAUAUCAGUGGCUCACAAUUGAAGAUUAUUCCUUUUUUUUAUAUAUUGGAUUUAAUUAAUUAAUUGAUUUUACCUUUUUUGUGGAAUUUAUAUUCCGUUCAUUUUAUUAUCCAAAAAAGACAGCUUUGGUUGAGACCAAAGUCACAAUUUUAACGAGGACAGCGGUAACCCCAAGUCGCACAAAUUUGAAAAAUUGAAGAAGCAAAUAGUUUUUUUUAUUUGAAAUUAUUUUGAAGUUGAAUUUCAAGUUUGAAAAGGUGCUUUAGACUUACUUUUCAAGUGAGUUUUUCUCAUGAAAAUUUUUAUUUUAUUUUAAGUUAAAUGUGUAUUUAACCAUAACUUAAUUUUUAAAUAGUAUUUUUCAUUUAAAUAAAUAUCAUAUUUUUCAUGUUCAAACUUCAAAAACCUAUUCAUGAUUUUCUCCUGUCACAAUUUUCAUGCUAAAUCGAUCCAAAAUAAUUCGUCAUAACCUUCAUUAAUAGAUGAGUUUGAACUCUUCUAUGUAAUAUUUAUUUUGUUGAGAUGACUCUUCGUUUAUGAUUGGAGAGAAAUCAGAAAUAAAAAAAAAAACUACAAAUAAAGGUUUUUCCACUGCGAAUCAAUGAGAAAUUUGUGUUAUAGAACCUGAUUUUUCCACGCAUUUUUUAUUAAAGCAUUUCACUGAGAAAAUGAAUGGUGAAAAACAGAUUCUCAUUGAAAUAGUGAACAGUUCUGUAAUUUUUCCAUAUGAAAAAUUACUAUUUUUUCUAUUCUCACUAAAAAAAUAAAUAUAUUUUUAGCACAAAUUUUGCAAUGAUUCUACAAAUGUUCAUCAAGUGCUAAUACUUAAAUUGCUGAUAGAUUAAUACUCUUGUUUUUGCUCAUAGACUUAUGUAUUGAUUAUUUCUGUGAGAACAAGUCCGAAAAAGUCUAUAGACUAGCAUGUACAUAAUUUACACUUUUUUGGUUGAAUAAAGACUUUUUUCAUUUAGCUAAGAAAAAAAAAACUUUCAUAUCCUAAAAUUACUUAUGUUUCAAAAAUCUUUUCCUAUUUUAUCCAUAUACUUUGUGUAUGAAGGUAUACCGGUUAACAUAAAAAGCUAUACAUAUAUAUAGUUGAUUUUGAAUAUGUUAUUAGUUCAAAAAUGUUUAUUUAUAUAGCUUAAAAAAUCCUACUAAUUAAUAUUUUACCCAUCAAAAACAGUAAUUUUUCAAUUUAAUCACAAAGUCAAAAUGAACGGGACAUAAGGAAAACAACAGCAUCAUAAUUUUGCACGGGAAAUCAAUUUCAAAAUAAUAUUUCUAAGAAAAGAAAGAUGCAAACAUCAAAGUCAACAAUUUUUUGACAAAAUUGAGUUAAUAUUCUUCACUCAAAUCCUAUAAAUAUGGCAAAAUUAGAAUAAAAGAUAUUCUUGAUAGGUAUUAUAAAGUUGUUUUACUUUUCUGAAUGAGUAAAUUUUAGGUUUAGCAAAUAUAAAAUUCAUAUUUGUAUGUUAUAGCUAUAGUUUGUAUACUUGCGGUCCAUAGCAAACUUUAUGUUUGCUAUGACUAUUAAUCUGUAUAUUUCGGUAUACAUAUACAUACAAAAUAUGUAUUUGGGUCUAUUUGUAUAUUUCGGUAUACAAAUGAGUCAUGCAUUUGUAUAUUUUGGUAUACAAAUGAGUCUUGCAUUUGUAUAUUUCGAUAUACAAAUGGGUCCUGCAUUUAUAUAUUUCGGUCUAUUUGUAUAUUUUGGUAUACAAAUGGGAUGGCAAAAAACAUGGAAUGUUUACUGCGAAUUACAAAUAAAAGAAACUAUGGCUAUAACAUUUAAUUUGAAUUAAUGGUUUAUUAUUUCAUACAAUUUUCCCUUUUUGAAAUGUGCAUUUUUAAUAGAUGAGUUUCCUAUAUAUAUAGAGAGAGAGAGUUUUUCUAUAUCUAUUAUUUUUUACUUUAAAAGGUUUCAAAAGUAAUUUCCGUAUCUUACUUAUCAAUUAUUUUUUAUAAAAUAAACUAAAUAAUGAGAGGAAUAAUGAAAGUGUGGCGGAUUUUUAAUUUUAUUUGUUAAAAGGGAUGGGGAUAUGGAAUAUUACCCCUCUAAUUAUUGAUCAUGAAAACCAAAAGUACGAAGUUUUUACGAAUAUCGUGAAAUGCAUAUUUGAUAAAAAGACUAAUAUAUAAAUAAAAUAUCAUAAAUUAUUAAAAUAUUUGACAAAAAGUUAAUCUAUCAAGUCUAAUUAAAAAAUGAUUUGUAAUGUGAAUUCAAUAUUACUAAAACAAAUGAAACUGAAAAUGUAACAUAUGUUAUAAAUUCAAAACAAAAUAUUUAACAUAAUACUCUUAUCACAAAUUUCAACAUAGCAUACAUAAAUAUGAUUUAUUUUUUUUAUUUUAAAAAAAAAAAAGCGUAACUCUAUAACCUUACUUAAGAAUAAAUCUAUUUUAAUUUAAAAAUUAAAAUACUAAUAAAAUUAUGCUAAUGAGAAUAUAAGCAUGGCAUAAAGAAAUAGAUAAUACGAAAAACUGCAUAGAAUCACGUGAAGUAAGGUUGAAAAUGAGAAGAAAAUGAAAUAUAAUAAUAUAAAAUAAACUUUUAGAAAUUUUUAGAAUAAUAAUAAAAUAAAAAAACUUAAAAUAAUAAUUAAAAAAAAAACAAAAAAAAAAUUAAAAAGUAAUCAGCUGGUAGUUACACGAUGUAAAUUUAGGGGUGUGCACUAUUCAGAUUAAACCGAAUAACCAAACUAAAUCAAACCGAAUUUUUAUUUGGAUUGGUUUUUUGGUUUUUCGGUUUUUCGGAUUAACAAAUUACUUUGUUUGAUUUUUUGGUUUGGUUUUGGAUUUUAAAAAAUAAAAACCGAAAAAAAUCGAAUUAUAUAUAUAUAAUGUUUAGGCUUAGAAUUAAGUUGGAGUUAACCACUUUUGUCCCUUUUUGGUUAUUGCCUUUCAUGAUGAUUUCGUUUAUAUUUUAUGUUUGAAUUACAUCUAUAAUAGGUAUACUUAUAAGUAUUGUGUUUUAAGUUUUACUUAUGAUUUAUAUUAGAAAGUAUAUUUAAGGGAUUAAAUAUUAUUACUUUGGUUAUAUAUGUUAUUAAUUAUUGACAUAACCGAAUAACCAAACCGAAAAAAGCCAAAUCGAAUAGAGGAAAACCAAACCAAAUCAAAUUUAUUUUGGAUCGGAUUGGGUUACACUUUUACAAAACCAAAAACCAAAAAUCCAAACCGAAUAGUGUCAAACCAAACCAAAAAACCGAAUGCACACCCCUAGAUGUAAUUACCAGCAAUUCACAACCUCUCUCUGUGAAUUGGAGAAUGUAAUUACCCCCUGUCAAUUACAUGCUAACCAAUAAUUACAUGUCCAACCAAACAGGACAGACAGUGUAAUUACACCCAAUUACACCAAAUUCAAUUACCAGGGUGGCUUUCCAAACAGGCCCAAGUGUUUAGUAUAAAUAUUAGGUGUAAAAAAAAUCUUACAUACCAAUUUUUGCUGAUUUGGAAUUACACGUGGCAAGAAAAUGCUAUGCUGGACAUAUUAGAUAGAUUCUUUCUUACACAUGUGACCUCAUUAUAGGAUAGUUGCUUAAAAUGGACGAAAACUUUUAGAUUAUUAUAGUGGCGUGGCCAUAUAAAUCAGGGCGGAGCUAGCAUAUCGAUUACAGAUUCGAUAAAACUCACUAUAGAUCAUGUCUUUAUAAUAUAAAAUUACUCAAGAUGUAUAAAUAAUUUCUCAAAGAUCUUUAUAAUUUUUUAUCUAAAAUUCAUAAAUUUAAAAUUUUAAGUCCAUCUCUCGCAAUAAUUUAGUCAUCAAAUGAGAAAUGGUCUUGGAGUCAAUGACACAAAGAGCAUGAACAAAGAAAAUAAGUUUAUUGAAGUGGCCCUAAUCUUUCAUAAACUUAUGAUUUAUUAUUAGACAAACUCAAUUAUAGAGGAAUUUUCCUAGUAGUGGCCACUUGGUAAAGCAAUUUUAACAUAGAUGGCAACUGUGAAUAUGAUGUUUGAUUAGGUUAAUCACACUUAAUCAAUUAGCUAUAGAAACUUACUUUAGCUUUUCCUUGAAAAUACAUAAGAGGAUUGUUCGCGAUAAAAAUAAUUACUCCUUUUUCAAUUUUAUCCUCGGUGGUAAUUAUUUUUGAAGAUUAUAAAACUCUAGUUAUGGAGUAGUGACACAUAAAUAAAGUAAAAAUCUAACUAAAAGAUGUUAUAUUUUAAAGACAUAAAUAAAAGUAAAAUAAAAGAACAUUUCUUAAUUAAUAUAUUUUUUAAAGUACAUAUAAGAAAAUAAAAUACGAUAAAUAAUUUAAAACGGAAGGAGCAACUUAUUUUCUGAGGCUGCAAACAUUCUUCAACACUCCACGUGCGGCAUGUUCCCAGAGUUGAGUAUGAAAAUAAUUUUGGGUCAAUCGAUCAUUAAAUUAAUUAAUGUGCCAAACCUAUAUCCUUCGUUUCAAGUGCAAAAUUCAAAUACACGUUCCAUUAUUAUUAUUAUUAGGGGGUAUUGCUCUUUAACUAUAGAUCAGAUCAAAUAGAAAGAAACUUAAUUCCGCGGUGGGUGGGGCUGAUGCAAUUAAGGUUAAUAUGGUGUUUAUUGAAGUUGAUGAGCUUGUAGUACAAGAUUAGAAACAACGGACACUGCAUGAUGUAUCUUAAAUAUUUCUUUAAUUCUAUUUUUAACGACGAUGGACAUGAGACUCUAUUAAAAACAAAAGUUUUAUCACAAAUUAGUGAAAAUUUUGUAUUAAUCAUUUUUUAUCGAAUUAGCUCGUUGGGAAAAUAUAUGGUAAGAAAUUGAAUUCUCACUGAAAAUACUGAAAAACUUUCUAUUUUUUUAAUAUGAAAAUAGUGAUAUUCUUUUUCUUACCAAUUCAAUCAAACAUAUUUGUAGAAACAGCCAAUGAACAUUUUUUGAUGGAAAGUUUUAGUGAAAAAAUAAUGAUUUUGUAGUGUGGGUGAGGACAAUGGUAGUUAGGGUUUGUGCGAGAGAGAAUAUAUAUAUAAAAAAAAAGAGAAGAUCUCCAAAAUUCCUAAUAUGGUUUGUAAAUAAAUAAUUUUAGUUAUGAUAAAUAUAAGAGCAAAUUUUAGGAAUAACAAACAUAAAAAUCAUAGUACUGAUUUAUAACUAUAGUUUUGCUAUUUUGCUAUGGAGCAUCUGAUUUGUAUAAAUCACAGACAUCUGAUUUGUAUAAAAUCGCAGCGAUUGUAUAUGUAUAUCGACUAGAUAAUUGUAUAUAUGUAACUACUAUGUAUAUGUAUCAAUGAUUAUGUUUGUAUAUCUACAAAAAAUUUGAAUAUGUAUACAAUUGAAUCGAGUUAAAACAUUUGUAUUUGUAUAUCAAAUAUAUAUCUCUCUCUCACGCGCGCUUUAUACAAACACAAAUUAUACAUUGUAUUUUGUAUAAUUUGUGUUUGUAUAAAGCGAGAAAGAGAGAAAGGCAAAAGAGAACUGGGCAGGGGAAGAUUUGUAUUUGUAUAAUUAUAAGUGGAUAGGACGAAGAGAUAUGUAUUUGUAUAUACAGUUCUCUCUCGCUUUAUACAAACACAAACACAAACACAACUUAUACAUUUGUGUUUGUAUAAAGUGAGAGGCGAGCAAGAGAGUGGCGAGCGAGAUUCAGGGGAGAGAGGUAAAUGACAAAAAGUUUGUUGCGAACUGGAAUUAAAUGAAACUGUAGCUAUAUCAUUUAUUUUGAAUUAAUACUUUUCUAUAAUGCACAAUUUUUCCUAAAUAUAAAUUAUAUAUGUAAAAAUCCCUUUUAUGUGAUGAGUUAUUAAUAUGCACCUAGUAGUUUUGCAUUACUAUGUAUGGUAAUAUUGGGCUGUGUUGCCAAGGAACUUGGCCAACCAGGCCCAGCAAAAAAAAGGCCCUGACCCAGAAUGAGUUACCAGGCCAGGUCAGCUUGUCGUGGCAUGGGUUCGUGGGGAUUUAGUUAUUAUCGUAUAUUAAUUUAGUGAACUUAGUUAUUAUCGUAAAUUAACUUAAAAUCAUUGUAAAAACUCAUAAAUUUUAAAUCAUGGAUAUGAAUCAUACCGUUGAAAAAAAAGAGAAGAAAAAAGAGCAUGCAUUUGCUCACUAGUCACUACGCAUUAAUGUAUAAUUAACGUGAAGAAAAUUUUCGCUAGUGAGUACUCACUCCCAUAUUAUUUGUCCACCUAUUAUAAAUAAUUGUCCCAAAUCAAACCAAGAUAAUAAAUAUAAAAUUAGUACAAUAUAAGAUAGUAAAAUUACAAUGUCAAACUCAUGUAACUAAUUUUUUUUCUUCAUAUCUUUUAAUUAAUUACCUUCAACAUUCUCUACUAAUUAAACUAUAUAAUAUAAUUAGUACUCUUAAGAAAUAUGGGAUGAUUUUCUUGUACUUCUUCCACUCUUCCAAUUCCUUAGUAUCUGUAUUCUUUGAACUGUCUCCAUGAAUGUUCUGCAAAAUUAAACCAUUAUAUAUCCUCUGAAUAAAUACUGGAAACAACAAUUUCUAAUUUAUAUUUUACUUGUCAUAGAUCAAAUAUAAAUAAUGGUGUAGCAACCGAGCACUCCUGGAUUUGAAGUUUAUAAAUUUUACACAAUUUCAAGUUAAUAUAUACAAUAAUAAUCAGGUUUACAAUCAAAUAUUCAUCUAGAGAUGUUAGUAAAUUUUUGAAUACAUAUCUAAAGUAAGAGUAAAAGUUACUGAAUUUACGUGAAUCACAAUAGGAUAGAAGAGGUAAGGUACAUACUCCCAAGGUACAUCUCCAGCAAGCAUCCAAUCUCCUUCUUUGUCUUGGUACAAUAGUGUAAAGCGUCCAUCAUUUUCAUCACAACUCUCAUGUGCUGCAUAUAAAUUAACCAAACUUAUUAAUUCAAUUCUUAAUUAAUUCCUUAUUGUUAUUUUGUGAAAAAAAGAAAAGAGGACAUGCUAUUUUAAUUUUCAUAUUUUUAUAUAAUAAUAGUAGGAGUGAAUUAAUUACUUACAUUUAUGAAACAUUUGGAGCAAGGUGUUAGUAAGGAUUUGGUAAGAAUUAUAUAACAUUAGAUCAAUUUUUCUUCCAAUGGCUACUCCUUCCAUUUUAACCUUCACAUACAUGGAAUUUCUAAUUCCAAUAUUGUGUCUAUGAUUAAUAUUAUUAUUAUUUUUAUUCCAUCCAACUUCAUGAUUAAUCCCAUGAAUAAGUUUUUUUCUCCAUGAUUUAAUUGGUGGCCACCCCACUACUCCAUUUUCUUCCUUGAAUUCCCUGCAUCACAAAUUCAUAUUUAUUAAUUAGUAAUAAUUAAUAUAUUCUAAGAUCAGCUAAAAAAAAUGAUUUUUAAUACACUUAAGGAAAUUAAACUAAAAGAAUAACAAUAUUGUCAGACAAGAAAUUAUAAGUCAAAGCCAUUAAUUAGGAUUUCUAACUUAUGAUUCUGGACUUAUUUUGACUUAAUAACAAAGUGUUUAAAGUAUUUUUUUAAUCUUACCCAAAUGGCCAAACAAUAUACCAGUGUUUAAAAUCUGUUUUGACUUAAAAACACUAAAAAAUAAGUCAAUUCAAAUAAACUCCAAGUUUCCAAGUACAUAUACAAGUAUGUUCAAGUAGUUUAUGAUAUGAGAGAUCAAUGAGGAGCAGUGGUGCAGUCAUAAUUUUCAGUAAGAGAGUUUAAAAUAUGAUAAAGUAAAUAAAUAAUUUGAAAGAAGUUAAAAGUGAUUCAACAUUUUACUAUAAAAUAGUUUAAUCAUGUAUAAAAUAAAAUAAAUUUCCUUUAAAGGACUUCGAAUAAAACCUUAGACCCUAUCUGACUCCGCAUCCAACGAAGAGUUAGUAAAGGUAUGAAUGAAACUACAUAAACAUGUAGUAAUAAUAUAUUUACAACAAAUAGCAGAUAAUUUACAUUACACACAUUUUGUAACAUAAACUUACUGAUUAUAACAAGCUUCAAAAUUUCUCCUUUUUUGAUAACCAUCAUCAUUAUCAUCUUCUUCUUCAUUUGGUUGGCCAUUCCAUAUAAACAAAGGUAAUGUUUUACCUUCAACUUUGUUGCUACCAUAAUCAUCAUUAUUAAUCUUCUUCAUUUCUGAGAAGUUGUCAUCAAAUGUGUCAAUAUUAAUGUUGUCAUUUAGGUAGGAAGAUUUGAUAGGAUUAACAAAAUGGGAAUUAGGAAGUGCAAGACCAAGACCAAGCUCAAGUUCCAUCUCAUAAAUGAUAUCACAAAAAUACCUAUAGAUUUUAUAAAAGAAUUGGUAUAAUUUGUUGUAGAUGUUUAUUUAUUUAUAUAUAAGUAAAUAUUAAUGUGGUAGAAAAAGGAAAGAGAGGAGAAGGAGAAUUGUCUGGUGAGAAAAAGAAAAAGGGAGAGAGCAUUGAAGUUGGGUCGGCCAAAAGAGUAGCAAACAUAUCGACACCUCACAAAAGCAUGUUUUUGGACCAUCUCUCCCACACACUUCUAUACUAGUGGCAUAGUUACCGUUCGUGUAUAUAUCACAAAUUAUAGUAAAUUACGAUUAAGAAGAUAAAUAUUUAAGUUAAGGUGCAAAUAUCUUGCUUUUUCUAAGGAUAUUUGAGUCUACUGCAAUAUAAUUUACACCGAUUCAACAGUAGAACUCUUGACUUAUCUCCUUCAUGAUACAACAAUAUAAUUCAACAAUGUCGUAUAACUCAAAAACUUCAAAUUACAUUGGAAUGUAUUCCUUCAAUAUAAUAUUUCGUUCUUUUCAGUAGUGAAUAAGUUGGAGAUUUAGAAUAUUUUUCGUUUUCUCCACUCUUUCUUUCAAAUACUAAUCUCACUACACAUUACAAUACUUUCCCACACUAAUUCUCAUAAUUCUAAAGAUAUUUCAUUUAGACACUCGAAUUAACACAUUAACUUUUAAUAAAAUGUUUCAAUUAGAGAUUUACUAUAACAAAUAAAGAAUUUAACGACAAUAAUAUAAUUGUCUCCAUAUUAUAUUUAACGGCAAUAAUAAAUAUGAGUGUUUAUAAUAACACUUUAUAUAAAUAUUGCUAAAAGUUUUAGCGAUUCUGGAUGCAAUGAUAUUGACUCAAUUGUCGUUGAUAGGAAAAUCUAUUGCCAUAAAAUGUCUCUUUUGUUGUAGUGACUUUAGAUUCAGUUUUGGAAUUUUUUGUGUGUAUAUUCUUAUUCGUUUAUUAAAUAGUUAAAUUAAUCAUACACAUCAAUCUUAAAAAUAUUUUUAUUUUACAUUAUCCAUAUAUAUUAGUUAGUUUAACUCUUGAAUUAGCAAUUAAUAAAGUGUUCAUUGAUUUUUCCUUUUGUUUUCAACUUUUUCAUAUAUAAAGUAGAGCUUAAUUAAUUCUCUUGUGAUCCGUCCGACAAUGCAACUGAUGGUACAAUCUCUUGUCUUUUACUUUUGUUACCUCCUAAAAAUUACAAAUGGAAUUUAUGAUAAACACUUUUUUUUCCCUUAUUAAAUUAGGUCUUGAACUUUAUUUUACUAGUCAUAACUCAAAAAUUAGUUUAACGAAAAAAAAAGAUUGUCCAAAUUAUAUACCACCUAGAGUUUUCGUCUUUCACCGAUCAUAUAGGAUUCAUUCUAUUCAUCAUCUUUCUCUCCAAGCUCAGAUACAAAUAUUCUUUAUCAGAGGUUCCACUAUCUGAUCUAGUGCGUGCAAAUACAUUCAUGAAGUACUCCUAUAUUUCCCCCGAUAACUAUUCGAGACCCUAAAGAUCCGCAUCGAAUUAGGUCUAACUCCAAUAACGUAAAGAAGUUUAAUUUCUUAAAUGAACUCAAUUUCAUUCACAUUGUCCCACAUUUCCUUCUUUUCUAUGAAUACUUGUUUGACCUAUUGAUCCAGCAUGCAGUCCUUUGUUUACCAAGAAAAAGUAAAAGAUACUAUAUAAUUUUCCAUUAACAAUCAAUGGUAAAUUGAACAUUAUAAUAAAGUAGAACAAGAAUAUAUAUCUUCUCCCUUUAAUUUCCUAGUUGUUGGAAAAUGACAUAUCAUUACUAAUUAAAGGAUUAAUUGCUAAUUCAAGAUUUAAUGCGUGUGAACGAAACUUAAACGUGUUUUAUCAAAUAAAGUAUUAAAGCAAAAUAUUUUUUUUGUCUGGCAUGACAAAUGUUUGGACAAAUUUAGGUCAUGACUUGUUUAUGUCCCCAUUAAAAUAUGAGUAAAUUUUCCUUUAAUUAAUUUUGAACCACAAAAGGCGGUUAAUACUUCAUAACGAAUUACUGCUAAUUAACUUAAGAAUUUACAGAAAUAAAUAUUUAAAGAACAAUUAUAUGGAAUUUCUUAAUUAAUUAAUCGGUAGUCUGAAGAUAAUAAUAAAUUUAUCGUUUAUAACGUGUUAAAAUUAAAAUAUAUACGAAUUUGUAAAAAAUAAAAAAUAAAAAAAUUAGUAUAACCUAAGGAUAAAAUUAAGACCAGUCUGAAUACGAUCUUUCUGGUUACACUCAUUAGAAGUAACAAUUAUUAAUCGGGGCGGAGCUAGUGAUAUAGUUACAAGUGAAUUUAAUAAUUUUUAUUUAGAUUAUAUAUAUGUGUUAAAUAAUCCAUUAAAUGUAUAUGAUGUAUUUAAUUGGCUUGGAAUCCAGUCCAUUGAUUUGAUUAUUAUUACAAUAUUAAUUUAAGAUUGUUAUAAGAUAAAUCGACGUAAAAUUAAAUUAACUUUUUGAAUUUGCCUCUGAUUAUUACUAUCAUUUGUCUAAAUAACUAAGAUUAGAUUUGGACAUGUGCUACAUGUCUGAGAUGAAAGUUCAAGAAAUUAAAGUCAUGAUGCAACCACUCUCAUCAAUUGAAAAAUCUCCAAAAAAAAAAUCAUGAGAAAAUUGGCAAAAUAUUCUAUUGGUUUUGGUUGGUUAGUUUGGAAGCAUGCUACUUGAUAUUUCUAAAUUGGAUUAAAGGUUGAUUCCUUAUGUCGGAUGUUUGUUUUCUCAUUCAGUAUUCAAUAUUCAUAUUGAAACUCGACUGAUUUAAAUUCGCAUCGUGUAGGAUUCAUUUGGGAGAAUGACAAUUAUUUGUUGAACAUAUUUCCACAUGAAAUUAUAGGAUAUGCUUUUUUUUUUUUGGGGUGGGGGUGGGGGGUGGAAUCUGUAGCUAGAUGGACAAAACAACCAACAAAGAUAGACAAUGGUUUGGUGAGUGUUUUGGGGUCAAUUGGUUUCCAAGAAGUUUACACAGUUCUUGAAUAGUCCCAUGGUGGUUUGUAUCAUUCAAUGUAUACAAUUCCUAAUUGGUACUUUGUUAUUGGUGGAACAUAUUUUUUUUUUUUCUCAACGAUAACAAUUACUCUUUUCGUUUCAAUUUGUUCUUUUAUAAUUUAAUAAAUUACACAAAAUCUAAGAAAGUAAACAAUUUACUUUCUUAGAUUUAGUCGUUCUGAAUCUCUUAUACUAAAGAUAUGUAUAAUAUAUCAGUUUUUUUUUAAUUUUUUAUCGUUUUAAAUAUGUCAUAAGAAAUGUUAUGUUAAAAUUAACGAGUUAUCAAAUUAUGAUCGUGGUAUGUAAUGAUCAUGUGGAUCUAAUAUACCAAACAAAAUGGAGCUACCUUAGUGGGCAUGAAUAUAUCAUAUGAUGAAAGUCAUGGAUCACAUUGUUGUCUAAUUAGGACUUGUUUUUUCCCAAAAGAAGUCAUAUGUCUCCCAAGACUUAACAUUUUGGGGUCAGUUUUGAUUACUGAUGUCUGAAUUUUUUCUAUCAAAAAGUAUGCUAAGAGAACAAUUAAAUAUUGAAAUCAGCUUUCUUUUAAUUUUUAAAAAACUUAAAAAGGUCAUAGAAAAAAUUAUACUUCAGAAGAACGUAAAAACACCAUUAAUUUAGAGCGUAAGACUAGUAGACAGUUUACUAUGGACGAUAUCAUAAUUAAAGGGGUCGUUUGGUUUGAAUACUAGUUAUGUUGGGAUUAGUUAUGCUGGGAUAAGUUUACUGGGAUAAGUUAUGCUGAGAUUAGUUUUUAUUGUUUGUUUGGUUUGUCAUAUUCAAACUAAUAUUCAUUGUAUAAUUUUUUGAGAAUAAGUUGUUUGUUUACAAAAAUACCCUCACCUUAUAUAGUUUUUUUUUUUUUUUUUUACAUUUUCUUUGCAAUCUUUAGUUAUUCAUUCAUAAAAAUAAAAUUUCCAUCUUAUUUAGCUUAAAUAUUUUUGUGUGUGCAUUUCCAUGAUUGUGCCAUAUGUUUUAAAAUUUAAAUGCUCAUCUUAUUUAACUUAAAAAUUAAACUUUCGUCUUAUUUAGCUUAAAAAUAAAUGUUCAUCUUAUUUAGCUUAAAAAUAAAUUUUUCAUCUUAUUUAGCUUAAAAAUAAAACUUUCAUCUUAUUUAGUUUAAAAAUAAAACUUUCAUCUUAUUUAGCUUAAAAAUAAAACUUUUGUUUUUUAAGUUUAUUAAAGUAAAAGAAAAUUUAUUAUUAAAGUUAUCUACAUUUUAAUUAUAAAUAAAAUAUAAUUUUUUAAGUGAGUAAUAAACUAUUUUAAUGAAAAAUAUGUAAUUUAGUAGUGGAGUGAACAUUUUAAGAGAAAUCAAAAUAAUAAAUAAAACAUAAAUAAUUACGCAAAUAAAUUUAACUUAUAAUAUAUUCAUAAAUAAAAAUUGUAUUUAUAAAAUGUAAAUUUUUAAUAGAAAAAUGUAUUUAUCAUAAAAACAACGAAUACUUAAGGUUGUGAAUGAUAUUAUAAAUGUUGUUAAAAAUUAUGUUAAUAUGUAUGAAUGUAAAAGUGGUGUAUAAAAGAGAGUUUAAGGGGGGUAUUUUUGUUAAUUUAUACACUUUAUCCCAUGAUAACUUAUCCUGGGAUUACUAUAUCACCCCCAGUGAGGGAUAACUUAACCCAUGACUAAUUGUUAAUCCUGAGAUAAGUUAUCCCUACCUUUGCAACCAAACAAUGAAUUAAAUGCCACUAAAAAAUUAUUCCAGGAUUAAUUCAUCUUAUCCAUCACACCAAACGACCCCAAAGGGUCAUAUAAAGAGUCCCUAAAUCCCCAUUCUACGAAUGAUGUGUCAUGUGUGGGACUCAACACAUUAAACUUUGAUUCAUUUUCUGAUAUUAAUCAUAAUUAAAUGCAACAAAUCAUACAAAAAAAAGACAAAGUACACGUAUAUGAACAAUAAAUUGUUCAUGAAUGAUUACAAGUAGAACAAAAUUAUGUUGUCUCGAUGAAAUGUAUAAUUUCUAGCUAAGUGGACCACUUCAUUUCAAAGUGUCAAUUGGGCAUGCACAAGACAAAAUUUAAAGAAAUUCAAUGUAUAUAAUAUAUAUACAUAAUUUCUUUUUACCCUACAUGGUAUAAUAUUCUGACAAAGGUGGUUCCAUUACUGUCAAGAUGAUCGAUCGUCUCUAAGUAAUUUGUUUUCCUCAACUUCAAUUUUGAUGUUUCAAUUUAUAUGAAUUUUUUCGAUUGGAUACAAAUUUAUGAUCAGUUUUAAUUUUUAAAUAUGCCAAAAUAUUUAUGUUAUAAAGAUAAAUAAAAAUGAAAUUAAAUAACUUUCAAAUUUAAGAAAAAACAUUCUUGUUAAAUGCACUAAAAAGGAAAUAUGAUUAUGUUAGAAGUGUAGCAUUCUUGUCUAGGAAAAAUGUACAUGUUCAAUAAAGCAAAGAUGAAAAGGGAUAAGAGUUUGAAAAAUAUCUUAACUUUUGCCGAAAUUGCUGUUACGAUACCAAACUUUAAUGAGGACCUAUUACCCCCAAACUAUUUAAUACCAUAUUUUAAACAUAUAUAUUUGUCCACAUGGACAUAAAAAAUAAUGCAUAAUUAUAAAUAGUAAUAUGUCCACGUGGGCACAUAUAUACCUUUAAAAUACACCAUUAAAUAGUUCAGGGGGUAAAAAAUACACUAUUAAAUAGUUCAGGGAUAAUAGGUCCUCCAUAAAGUUUGGUAUCGUAACAACAAUUUCGGCCAAAAUUGAAGUAUUUUUCAGACUCUUAUCCCUAAAAAGAAUAUCAACAACACAUGAUUUACUUUAUUCUUCCUUUGAACAAAAAAAAGAGAAAAACUUUAUUCCUCCUAAUUGAUUUAUAGGAGUCUAUUGGGUACUAGAGGAGGAGCUUCCUUUGAAAAGCAAAUACAUAGUGCAUUGUACAUUGUAAAGAAGAAAGAGAAGUUCCUAACACAAAAAAAUGUGUUUAUUACUCUACAAACACAUUCUUCUUCUUUUCUAUUUUCUUUUUUUGUUAUUUUCUAGAUUUGCGUCGUGUAGCAUAAAAUUUAUUUAUACCUAGGAAUUGAAUUUAUGGUCUUUAAGAAUCUUAUACAUUUUAGGAAAAAUUACCUAAAUACAUAUAAGAUUUUUCCAUAAUCUCUAAAAUUUUCAAUCAUUUACAAAAAUUUCAAAAAUUCCCUCUCGAAUUUAUCACUCUCCUCUCGCUGAUACAUUCCUAUCCCCUCUCAGAUACAUUCCUCACAUAUGUAUCUAGAUGUCUGCUGAUGUAUCCGGAAGUCCAGUGAUGUAUUCAGAUGUCCUAUCCCCUCUAUGAUACAUCCCUCCCCUCUCGGAUACAUCCCUCACUUAUGUAUCCGGAUGUCCAGUGAUGUAUCAGGAAGUCCAAUAAUGUAUCCGAAAUCCAUAAAUUUUAAAUUUUUUUUAUAAUUUGAAAAAGAAUAGAAAAAUAAUGUAAUUAAUUCAUAACACUCGUUUUAUGACAAGGAUUAAUGUUCUUCAAUCUUAUUUGGUACCAAAAGCACUCACGAAAAGGAUUAAAAUCGAAGCGGGCCUAGUAGAAUCACGGGUUCUCGGUGGCCCAACUUUGUUAUUCCAUCUGUGGCGCGUGAUAGGGACGUUUAAUUCCAUUUAGGAACAACAAUUCUCCCUCCCAGUCAUAAACGCACCAAAUAAGUAGGCACAAAGUCACCUGUUGUUACAGACCGAUAAAUAUUUCUUCAUUCUUAGGAUUCGUUUGGCCAUAGAUUUCUCAAGUAAAAUUUAGGGGAAAAAUUGACAAAUAGUGUUUGUCCAUAUAGUUUGUCAUUAUUUGAUAAAUAUUUUUGGCAAAUAACCCAAAUUCCCAAAUACUAGAAAAAACUAGUAUUUGGGUCAAAUCUCAUUAUUUGGGAGCUUUAAAAAAUUCAAAUUCUAUAUCAAACUUUUAUCUUUUACAAAAACAUAGUAGUUGUUUAUGUUGUAUUACAUAAGUAAUUUUUUACGUGAACACCAAACCAGUGAUGAAAUAUUCAGUGAAUAUGAAAGUGAUGAUAUGGUUGUUGAUGAAAAUGACGAAUAAUUGGCUCAGGGUAAUAAAGUCAUGUGCUCCGUCUACUUCACGAUGUAUGGAAUGAUGCUUGUUGCACUACCACAUUGCUCUAGUGUCAUGGACACUACUUGUUAUUUACUGCAACAAAGGUCCAAUUGACUUGUUGCGGAAGUCACGAAUCUUGUUACGUCGACGUUUCUAUUUUGCUAUGUAAUACAAUGGUUAGUUUUGAUAGUUUUUAAAACUUAUGGGUAUAAAUCAAAUUUAUUAAAAAUAUGAAAUACAUUUCCCAAAUAUUAUGCCAAACACAUGGUGAAAUUUCACCCAAAUAAUAUUUGUCAAAAAUAUUUGGGAAUCUGUGGCCAAACGCUAGCUUAAUAGCUUUCGAAUUUAAAUUAUUUGGAUAAAGAGUUGCCUUUGUUAGAGAGUGCUUUAAUAUCAAUGUGAGAUUUUCAGACGCAAAUUUAAAUUUGUCGGACUCCAAUAUAAAUAUCGGACACUGAAUUGAAAAAAAAAGUAGGCAGAAAGUGAUAGUAGAAAGCAAUUGAAUUGAAUUCUUUAUGUUCCACUUAGAAUUUCCUCCAACAUAAGCCAACCACAACCUUAAAUGUGCACCAAAGAAUCAAUCAAUCACCAAAAGAUAUAUAUAAUAAUACUACUAAAACAAUAACUAUAUUUUAAUAUUAGAAAACUUAAGGAGAUCAAAUUAGAGAUCUUUAAAAUGGUGAUGUUAUGAAUCAAGUAUAGUUUUAGUUUACUACUUAUAAAUGGUGUACUAGUUAUGGAAGUUUUAAAGAGGGAUGAAGAAGAUGUUAGUCCUAGAUUUUCAUUUCAAAAGAAUGGAUCAUCAUUGUCUUGUGUAGUACCACCAUUUUUGCUCAGCCCACAAAAGAGCUUGUACUACAACAAGUUGCCUGAGGAGCCAUUCAAUCUCACAAUACUCAAAUUGGAUGGCUCUUCCUUUGGUAUUUUUUCUUAUUUUCCUCCUCCUGUUGAAUUGUCUUAUGAAAUACUGAAAUUGAUCUCCAUCUUUAUGUGUCUGUAUAGACGACGAAUUCAGGAUUUAGAGUCGGUGAGUUCAAAUAGUACUGAAAUUCAUGUGUGUAUGCCCUUAGAAAUGGAUCCAGAAUUCAGAUAUUAGUAUUGUUUAUUUGUGUGUAUUUUUUUAAUUAUUCGGGCUAGGGAAUGGUAUGGGAUUACAAGGUGGGGAAUGAACCCUCACUGAGGUGAAAGUUCAAGUAGCCAACUAACUGACUUACUAAUAAUCCCCCAUAUAUGUGUGUAUAUACAUAUACAAUCUUGGAGCCAAGAAUUUGGCGAAGGGUGUGCAAAUUUUCUUCUCAGUUGUGUUAAGGGGGUGCUAAAUUAAAUAUACACUCAUAAUAGCUAACAUUUAACCUCUGUAUACCACAUAAUUUUCAAGAGUGUGCCCCAAACCAUCCUUCACCUAAGAUGGCUCCGCCCAUGUACUUAUAUGUAUAUGAUUUUUUAAAUAUUUUGAUAUGUAUAUAUGGUUUGAGUCCAAGGUAGUAGGACAUUAGGUGCUAUCACACUUAUUCUAUACUACCUUGUUUGAUCCACAUGUGGUUCGCUAGAAUUGAUGUAUCCAGGGGCGGAGCUAGCUUGGAGGAAGGGGAUUCAUUUGAAAUCCCUUCACUAUUAAGCAAAUAGGGUGAAAGGUAGUCCUUUUUUGUGUUGUUUUGUUGUAUAUUAGUUUUCAAACGCCCUUGACAUGAGAAUUCUUUUAGUGGAGUGGCAAAGGGGGUUCAAAAAUUGCUUUACUUAGUAAGCUUCAUCAUUGGUCAUGUAUCAUAUGUUUUUUCAAAUGGUCAGAUCAAUUGAAUUUUGUGUUGUGCAGAUAUUAAAGUUGCAAGGAAUGGGACAGUGGCGGAGCUGAAACAGGCGGUGGAAUCUGUCUUCAGUAAUUUUCCGAAGACAGGAACAGGCAAGGUUUCAUGGUAUGUGCUUUGCAAAAAGGAACUUUCAAACUAAACUUCUUCUGUUGUAGAUUGCUUGAGACUUAUACUUCGAUUUCUGUCUGACAUAAUUUGCAUAGCUGUUUCACUGUAUAUUACCUUAGCUAGUUCUUUCAAAUUCACUAGUUUUAUUGUGACAAUAUUACAGGUCACAUGUAUGGGGACAUUUUUGCUUGAGCUACGAUGGGCGGAAGCUACUUACUGAUAGUGAUUUGUUAGGAACCUAUCGGAUCAAGGAUGGCGAUAAGGUUUCUUCUCAUUCAUCAUAUUUCCACUCUAGGAAAGUUCUCUUUUAUCUAAUCUUUAUAUGAUUUGCUUAUGUUACUUGUUGCCAAAUGCAUUGGAAUAUGCAAUUUGUAAAAGGAGAUGUAUAGGCUUUGAAGAAAAUUGAUUUUUUUUAGCCAAAUCAGAAUCUUGACAUCUGCAGUUGAAUGUGUGUGGUUCAAUAUAUUCCCGUUUGUUUGGAAAUUACUAAGCUCCUUCGAGUACAUCUUCGUUAGCAAAUAAUUCUGAAUGCACUAUAAAGAGGUGAAAAUGGUCUGAAGAGAGACCUGUAAAAAGCAGGUUCAAUUACUAAGGUCUAAGGCUCUAAGGAGAUUCUGGUUCAAAUGAAUUCUCCCAACCGAAAAGAAACAGAUUUAUCAUCAAAAUAUUUUAGAUAAUCGUGAAAAUGUAAGAUUGCUCACGUAGACAGAUUUCACACGGUGUUUGCAUAUAGCCAGAGGCUGUGGUUUCUUUCACUAGACUGAUUGUUUAUCCGAUUUUGUCUAUAUUCUGGCUUAUGAGAUCUCGUUCAGCAGUUUCUUUCCACCCUGGAGUUAAGAAUUUUUCAGAUCAUUGCUAAUGAUUAUGUGCUUUUUUCGUUAUAAAGCCCAAGUGGAAUUUUUUAACAUUUCCUUAACGCGCUAAAGCUUGAUGUUUUUGCAUUUGCAGCUCAGUUUUAUGAGGCAUGUCUCCAUCAGUUACAAUCUGGUCAAAACGCGAUCAGAGAGAGAGGACCCUAGUAAGAAUGAACCUAGCAUGUAAGAUAUGUAUAUUGUUUUCAUCCUUAUUGUUGGUUCAUGUGUUCUAAUAUUGCACUUCACCCAUGCCUGUUAUGGUAUUGUUUGCUAUCGAUGCUUGAUUCUUCCAUAGAUUGCAAACACUAGGCCUAAGUUGCUGGAGACACUUGGUCAUAAAAGUUGAAUCUUGUUCAUCUAGGUGUUUCCAUAUAUAGUUUCUAAUACUAGAAUAUUGUCAUUUAUAUGUUCCAUUUAUAGUUUCUAGGGAAAAUGCAUAAGUACCCCCAGCCUAUGCCCGAAAUCUCAGAGACACACCUAACCUUUACUAAGGUCCUAUUACCCCCCCGAACUGAAUUUAUCUAUAAUAUUCUACCCCUUUUCGGCCUACGUGGCACUAUCCUUGAAAAAAUUGUCAACGUGUGCUGGGCCCACAAGAUAGUGCCACGUAGGCCAAAAAGGGGUAGAAUAUUACAUAUAAAAUAAGUUCGGGGGGGUAAUAGGACCUUAGUAAAGGUUAGGUGUGUCUCUGGGAUUUCGGGCAUAGGUUGGGGGGUACUUAUGCAUUUUCCCUAGUUUCUAUGUUGAUUUCUUGCCAGUACUGCUCACCACACUUUGUGUGAUCAUGCAGAGUUUAUGCAUAUUUUUAUGAAAUGUUCACUAUAUGUAUGAAUUUGUCUUGCAUAGUGGCAUUGUAAGGGCACAUAGAUAACAUCAUCUUUGAAAAUGCAUUUUUGCAGAUCAAAAGGCUGUGAAAGCAGACAACGGAGAGGUGAACGAGAGGGUAAUCACCAUCAAGAUGACUUAUCAGAGAACCAAAGCAAUAAUCAUGACAACAACAAGGGUGUUGUAGCUAAUUGUGAAUCCAGGUUGGUUCAUUUGUUUAGAGGGUGGCUCCCAUACAAAUUGACAAGCCCAGAGAGGAGAAUGAAACAGAAGAGCAGCACAUCGAGAUCACACGAUGGUCUACUUAUGGAGUUCUAACAGUGUUGUGCUAUGAUUAGUACUUUUGAAAGAGAGGAAUCCAGCAACUGUUUGCAAAUGUCAAAGAGAGUUGGAGAGUGAAAUGGAAAACAUCCACCUCUAGUUAAAGUUCUAAACUUUUGACUUUAUAAAAGAAGAUCAGUUGCCUGCCUAUGCAUCUGUUCCAUUUCCUCAUUUGCAUAUCAAAAUUAAUUGUGUACAUGAAUUUGCUUGUGUAGAACAAAAAUAUCUCUUUGGUCAUUAGAAACAGCAAAUCCACUAUCAUCAGACUUGAACUUCUGCAUUCUGGUUUGGGAUCUCCAUGAGUAUUCAAAAAGAGUUUGUGUUUUAUACACUGACGGUAUAAAAAGCUACUUACACAAUUCAGUCACUCAUGAACUAAUUAUAGGUACAUACUACAAGGAUUAAAUGGUAAUCUAGUAGAAAUGUUAACUAAUGGUAUGCUCCUCAGACUUGUUCAAAAAUGUCAUUGUGAUCCUUCAAAAAAGUUGUGCAUUUUUGGAGGAUUUUAGAAGAAUCCGAGAAACUUCAUACUAGCCUAUCAUCAUAGGUUAAAACUACACUAAUAGAGUAAACAUUAUUUACACUAUUAGCAUGUUUACUUGAACCGAGACAAGAAAUUAGGCAUAUGAAUUAACUUGCGGACCACAAUUUUCAAACUUUUUAGUCACUCUACCAACUAAUAACAAGUGUAAUUUUUUUUUUUCUGGUUUCCCAUCUCAUUAUAUCCGUCUUGGAGCCCUAUUAAUUUGGAUUCGGCCCAUUCAGAUGUAGCACCCGUUACCAAAAACUAUUAACCUUAUCCACUGCACCACGACAUUUGGAGAUACUAAAAUUGUGUAACUAAUUAAACAAGGAUAUGACUUAGAAAAAUAUACUCAGAGAGAAAAAGAAUGACCUCACGUGAGUCGCACACCCUUAGAGCUCCAAUUCUCAGCCUCAACUUAUUGUGUGGCAUAGAUUGAGAUAGCCUUUCUAAGAUCUUCCUUGUUUCCUUUUGUUAAAAAAAAAAUAAUCAAGAUUCGAACCUCUCAAAAAGAUUUUGUUUUUUUACAACUGCAAAAUCCCAAGUUGCAGAAGAGUAGAAAAAGAAGAAGAAGCCAUGGCCAACAUGAUGAUGAGCUCCUCCAAAGUCUUAAUCACUUCUUCAUCUUCCACCAUCCCUCCAUCUCCAAGAUUCAAACUUUCCCUCACCCAAAUCCCUUUUCCAAAACUACCCCUCCCCAAAUCACCCAAAUCCCUUGAAACCCUCUCAAUCCCAUCAACUCUCAAGUCCAUUUCAGUCAUUCUUGCAAGCUCAUUGGCCAUGGCACCACCUUCACUAGCAGAAGAAAUUGAAAAAGCUUCCCUUUUUGAUUUCAACUUGACACUCCCAAUCAUGAUGGCUGAAUUCCUGUUUCUCAUGUUUGCUUUAGACAAGAUUUACUUCAGCCCAUUAGGGAAAUUCAUGGAUGAAAGAGAUUCUGCCAUUAAGGAGAAAUUGAGCAGUGUGAAGGACACCUCUGCUGAAGUGAAGCAACUGGAAGACCAGGCUGCUGCAAUUAUGAAGGCUGCAAGGGCUGAGAUAUCAGCAGCAUUGAACAAGAUGAAGAAAGAGACUCAGCAAGAAGUAGAACAGAAGAUUGCAGAAGGAAGGAAGAAAGUUGAGGCUGAAUUGCAAGAAGCUUUGGCUAGCUUAGAGAGUCAAAAGGAGGAGACAAUCAAGAGUCUUGAUUCUCAGAUUGCUGCUCUUAGUGAUGAGAUUGUCAAGAAAGUCCUUCCUGUCAGUAACUAAUUCUGAAAAGUUGUAAUGUUUUUUUUUCUUGGGAUUGGUAAGAGUUAACAGCUUGUUUGGAUGGAUGGUUGUUACAUGUAAUAUUGUACUGUGUUGUUAGUUUAAAUACAAUGUUUAUUUUGAUUGUUACUUAAUUUUAUUAUAUCAUAUCAUUAAAACCAUUGUUAUGUAACCACAAAAAGUCUCAUUUUAUAUAAUGAGAUUUGGUGUGAUCACGUUGUUAUGUUGGUUUUUUUUUUUUGUUGUUGUUGUGAUGCUCUUCCCCCUCUCUCUCUCUCUCUCUCUCCUUCUCUGGUAUUCUCUCAUAUUUUUCAGCCUUCUAGCUGCUGCAUUUUUUAGUAAACUGUAAACCCAACAUUUACAUCCAUAUAUGCAUUAUGCAAACAUAUUUAUAAUUUUACCAUUUUUUGUUCUUUGCACUGAAAAGAACUGAUUGUCAAAUAGUCUUUGUCUGCAGAUAUGGACUCCCAGCUGAUAGAUUAUGGAUUAGUGUUUACGAAGAUGAUGAUGAAACUUUUGCACUAUGGCAUGAUGAGGUACAACACUGAAAGAUAUGUCUGAUGCAUUAUAUCUUUAGUGAAGUAAUAAGGUCAAUCCUUCUACAAUUAACUAGUUAUGCACUUAUGCAUGGUAGGGAUCUGGUAAAUAAAUGCUGGAGCGCAACCUUCCAUUUAGACUGAACAGAGGUGUAUUAUGGUCAUUCAAAGAUACCUAGAGAACUUCAUUGCUUUCCAAGUGAAGUGAAGUGAAGUGUAUCAAACAGCCAAAUACUGUAUUUUAAGAUCCUGAAAUAUGUAUACUGUACAGUUUCAAGAAAUAUGUAUACUGUGUUCAAACUUAGAUGAGUUUCAAGGCUAAAACAAUGUCUCUCCAUUAUGGCUUAGUCAGUGGGGAUAACUCAAAUAAUGACUUAGAAGAACACAUUUAUUUUGAUAAGUGAGAAGAGCACAUUUUAUUAUUAAGCUACCUCAGUUUAAGUCAAAGGAACCUCAUUUACGUUGGAGUGUGCUCUGUCAAAUAUGAGAAGUCUAUUGCAACCAAGUUUUAAGAAUGACUGUAUUUAGUUCACAUUUUGAUCUUGAAUGGAAUAUCUUUUGACGUUCUCGGUCUGUGUGCUUAUGCUCCCCAAGUGGGCUUGGACGAGGAGGCCAAAAAGCGCUUUUAUGAGGAUUUGGAUGAGGUAGUUAGAGGUAUACCGAAUACCGAGAAGAUUGUCAUUGGUGGAGAUUUUAAUGGCCACAUCGGGGCAACUGCUAGUGGAUUUGAUGAUGUUCAUGGAGGCUUUGGUUUUGGGGAGAGAAAUGGAGGUGGAACUUCGCUUCUAGACUUUGCUAAGGCUUUUGAGUUGGUGAUUGCUAACUCAUGCUUUCCGAAGAAGGAGAACCACUUGGUUACCUUUCGUAGCCCGGUAGCUAAGACCCAGAUAGAUUACUUUCUCCUUAGGAGGGGUGAUAGAGGUCUAUUUAAGGACUGCAAGGUUAUCCCAAGUGAAAACCUCACUAUCCAACACAAGCUUUUGGUGUUGGACUUGAAGAUUAAGAGGGAUAGGAGGAAGAAGAUGUUAUCUGACCGACCGAGGAUUAAAUGGGGUGGGUUGACCCCUGCCCUUUCUCGGGAGAUGGGUGAGGAGCUGAUGGGGAUGGGGGCAUGGAGUGGUAGCGGGGAUGCGGACAACAUGUGGAAUAAAGCAGCUAGUUGCAUUAGGGAAGUUGCUUCUAAGAUGCUAGGGGUGUCUAGGGGUAAAUUCGGAGGACAUAAAGGAGAUUGGUGGUGGAAUGGGGAAGUCCAAGGUAAAGUGGAAGCGAAGAAGGCUGCAUACACAAAAUUGGCGGAGUGCGUAGACGAGGAAGAGAAGCGGACGCUUAAGAAAGCCUAUAAGACGACAAAGACAGAAGCUAAGUUAGCUGUUUCGAAGGCGAAGACGGCAGCUUUCGAACGCUUGUAUGUCGAGUUGGGGGACAAAGGUGGGGAUAAGAAGUUGUAUAGGCUCGCAAAAGCAAGAGAGAGGAAGGCGCGCGACUUGGACCAAGUGAAGUGUAUCAAAGAUGAGGAAGGCAAAAUACUGGUGGAAGAGACCUCUAUCAAGCAAAGAUGGCGAAGCUACUUUCACAAACUUUUAAAUGAAAAAGGGGAAGCGGACAUUGUGUUGGGUGAUUUGGCACACUCUGAAAGACUUCGGGAUUUUGGAUACUGUAGGUGCGUUACGCCCGAGGAGGUUAUACGGGCUAUUAGUAGGAUGAGUAGGGGAAGAGCGACCGGACCCGAUGAGAUUCCGGUAGAAUUUUGGAAGAACAUGGACAAGGCAGGCAUAGAGUGGUUAACUGGGCUGUUUAAUGUUAUUUUUAAGACAGCGAAAAUGCCUGAUGAAUGGAGGUGGAGUACAAUGGUUCCGUUGUAUAAAAACAAGGGUGAUAUCCAAAACUGUAACAACUACAGGGGUAUUAAAUUGUUGAGUCAUACUAUGAAGAUUUGGGAGAGAGUGGUGGAGAUGAGAGUGAGAAAAGGGGUGUCCAUCUCCGAGAACCAGUUUGGAUUCAUGCCGGGACGUUCGACUACCGAAGCCAUUCAUCUUAUGCGUAGACUGGUAGAAAAGUAUAGAGAAAGGAAGAGAGACCUUCACAUGGUGUUCAUUGACCUUGAAAAGGCCUAUGACAAAGUACCGAGGAAUGUCCUCUGGAGGUGCUUGGAGUCUAAAGGAGUCCCGAUGAUUUAUAUUAGGGCGAUAAAGGACAUGUACGGUGGAGCCAAGACUCGGGUUAGAACAGUUGGAGGAGACUCAGAACAUUUCCCAGUUGAGAUGGGGCUGCACCAGGGAUCAGUCCUAAGCCCUUUCCUAUUUGCUUUGGUGAUGGACGAGUUAACGCGGUCUAUUCAGGAGGAGGUCCCAUGGUGUAUGUUAUUUGCGGAUGACAUAGUACUGAUUGAUGAGACGCGGGACAGAGUUAAUGCGCGGUUGGAGGUGUGGAGACAAACGCUGGAGUCCAAAGGGUUCAGGUUGAGUAGGACCAAAACAGAAUAUUUGGGGUGCAAAUUCAGUGAUGUGGUAGAUGAGACAGAUGUGGAAGUGAGACUUGCCGCACAAGUCAUUCCUAAGAAGGAAAGUUUUAAGUAUCUUGGGGCUGUAAUCCAAGGGAGUGGNNNNNNNNNNNNNNNNNNNNNNNNNNNNNNNNNNNNNNNNNNNNNNNNNNNNNNNNNNNNNNNNNNNNNNNNNNNNNNNNNNNNNNNNNNNNNNNNNNNNNNNNNNNNNNNNNNNNNNNNNNNNNNNNNNNNNNNNNNNNNNNNNNNNNNNNNNNNNNNNNNNNNNNNNNNNNNNNNNNNNNNNNNNNNNNNNNNNNNNNNNNNNNNNNNNNNNNNNNNNNNNNNNNNNNNNNNNNNNNNNNNNNNNNNNNNNNNNNNNNNNNNNNNNNNNNNNNNNNNNNNNNNNNNNNNNNNNNNNNNNNNNNNNNNNNNNNNNNNNNNNNNNNNNNNNNNNNNNNNNNNNNNNNNNNNNNNNNNNNNNNNNNNNNNNNNNNNNNNNNNNNNNNNNNNNNNNNNNNNNNNNNNNNNNNNNNNNNNNNNNNNNNNNNNNNNNNNNNNNNNNNNNNNNNNNNNNNNNNNNNNNNNNNNNNNNNNNNNNNNNNNNNNNNNNNNNNNNNNNNNNNNNNNNNNNNNNNNNNNNNNNNNNNNNNNNNNNNNNNNNNNNNNNNNNNNNNNNNNNNNNNNNNNNNNNNNNNNNNNGUUGUUGUUGUUGUUGUUGUUGUUGUGAUGCUCUUGCAGACAUAUAUGGGGACAUUGUUGCUUGGGCUAUGAUGGGCAGAAGCUACUUACUGCUAUUAAUUUGUUAGGAACCUAUUGGAUCAAGGAUGGUGAUAAGGUUUCUUCUCAUUUCAUCGUAUUUUCUCGGAAAGUUUUCUUUUAUCUAAUCUUUAUAUGGUUUGCUUAUGUUGCUUGUUGCUAAUGCACUGAAAUAUGCAAUCUGUAAAAGGAGAUUAUUAGAUUAGGAACCACAUUCCAAUAAUUUCCAGUCCAUCUUAUGUCCAGGCUUUGAAGAAACUUGAUUUUUUGUUGAGAUGAAUCAGGAUAUGUCAUUUUGCAGUUGAAUGUGUGUGGACUUGCACGGAUGGAGCUUAUAAGUCAGAAGUUUGGCUGUAAUUGUUCUGAUUUGCAUUUUUAUUGUUUCGAUGUAGGAGUCUUUGAUUGGAAACUAAAAAGCGGUGCAUAUGGUCUGAAGAGAGACAUGUAAAAGCAGGUUCAAUUACUAAGGCUCCAGAGAAUUCUGGUUCAUAUGAUUCUCCCAAACCAAAAGGCAACAGAUUAUCACUUACAAGUAAAGAGCUGAAUAUGGGCCAAAGCAGAGAACUCUGUUUAUUAUAAGUUAGAACUUUCUUUUGGAGAUUUUAGAUGGAUUAUCUUCCCACCUAAUGAGAUAUGUACAUUUUCCUCUAUGAAGCACAAGUGAAACUGUUUGAACAUUUCCUUGGCUCGCUAAUUCUUGAUGUUUUUGCAUGUGCAGCUCACUUUUAUGAUGCAUGUCUCCAUUAGUUACAAUCUGGUCAAAACGUGAUCAGAGAGAGGACCCUCAUGAAAAUGAAGCCAAGCAUGUAAGUUCUGUAUACUGGCUUUGUCAUUAUUGUUGGUUCAUCUGUUCUAAUAUUGCCCUUCACCCUAUUGCUUUGCUAUCAAUGCUUGAUUCUUCCAUAGAAUGCAAACACUCGGCCUUAGUUGUUGGACUUUUGGUUAUAAAAGUAGGAUCUUGUUCAUCUAGGUGUUCCCAUUUAUAGUUUCUAUACUGGAACAUUGACAUAUAUAUGUUCCAUUUAUAGUUUCUAUGCCGAUAUUUUCCCAAUACUGCUCAUCAUCAUACCGAUAUAAACCUGGCUAUGUUACUUUGUAUGAUCAUGCAGAAGAAUUGGAAGAAUGGACGUAGUGUUGCAGAGUUUAAUGCAUAUAUUUAUGAAAUGUUUAACUAUAUGUAUGGAUUUGUCUUGCAUAGAGGCACUGUAACUUGUAAGAGCAGUUUAGGUAAUAUCCUCUUUGUAAAUGCAUUUUUGCAGACCCAAAAGCUGUGGAAGCAGACAUCAGAGAGGUGAACGGGAGGGUAAUCACCAUCAAGAUGAUUUAUUAAAGAACCAUCAAACUAGUUUUAAUGACAACAGGUGUGUUGUAGCUAAUUGUGAAUCCAGGUUGGUUCCUUUGCUUAGAGGGUGGUUCCCAUACAAGUUAGCAAACCCAGAGAGCAGAAUAAAACAGAAGAGCAGUGCAUCGCGAUCACACGAAUGGAAAGCAUUCACCUCUAGUUGAUAGAAAAUUAGUAAUUUGUAUCAUCUGUUCCAUUUCCUCAUUUGCAGAUGACAGUCAAUUAGUUGUGCAACAUGAUUUUACUUGGGGUUUGGCAUAAAAAAAAAGUCUUGGGAUUGUGUAAAAGAGCACCCCCACUCCCCAAUUUCCUCUCCAUGUACACUAGUUUCUAGGUUCUGUGUAAUCAAAUCUUGAUUUUCAUCAUUUUGCCUAAGAACACAAAUGCACUAAUAUCUCUUGGUCAUUACCUCAUUGGUUAGGGCAAAUCCAUCUAUCAUCACACUUAACUUCUGCAAUCUGGUUUGGGAUCUCCAUGGUUAUUAAGAAAAAGUUUAACUUCUUAUGCAUUGACGGUGUAAAAAAAUUACUCAUACCAUCAGGUUAAUCAGGAGGUAAGGUAACUACAUGUAAAUCAUACGAUAAGCAUUAGUUGAUAAUCAAAUAAAAACAUUAACUAACCUAUCAUCAAAGGUUAAACUACACUGAUAGCAUAAAAAAUCUUUACUCUAUUUGGUGUAAUAACUUAAAUCCAAGUUACAAAAUUGGUAUAUGAAUUAACUUGUGCAUCACAAUUCACAAACUUUCAGUCACUCCUUAGUGAAUAAAACCAAAAGGCUACUUACAACUAAUUACAAUUUUGUGCAUAUCAAAUGCCAAUGCCUUUGGUUUAUUAGAAUUACUUAAAUAAAUACUCACAGAAAAAGAAAAAAAAAGACCAGUUGCACACCCAUCUCAGCCUCAUAAUAUUGUGUGGGCAUAGAUUGAGAUAGCCUUUCUAAGACUUUCCUUCUUCCCUUCUAAAACCACCAAAUAAAAAAUCUAGAAUCAAACCCUCUAAAAAAUCCCAAGUUCUAAGAAGCCAUGGCCAACAUGAUGAUGAGCUCCUCCAAAGCCUUAAUCACUUCUUCAUCCUCCACCAUUCCUCCAUCUCCAAGAUUCAAACUUUCCCUCACCCAAAUCCCUUUUCCAAAACUACCCCUCCCAAAAUCACCCAAAACCCUUGAAACCCUCUCAAUCCCAUCAACUCUCAAGUCCAUUUCAGUCAUUCUUGCAAGCUCAUUGGCCAUGGCACCACCUUCACUAGCAGAAGAAAUUGAAAAAGCUUCCCUUUUUGACUUCAACCUGACACUCCCCAUCAUGAUGGCUGAAUUCCUCUUUCUCAUGUUUGCUUUAGACAAGAUUUACUUCAGCCCAUUAGGGAAAUUCAUGGAUGAAAGAGAUUCUUCCAUUAAGGAGAAACUUAGCAGUGUAAAGGACACAUCUGCUGAAGUGAAGCAACUGGAAGACCAAGCUGCUGCAAUUAUGAAGGCUGCAAGGGCUGAGAUAUCAGCAGCAUUGAACAAGAUGAAGAAAGAGACUCAGCAAGAAGUAGAACAGAAGAUUGCAGAAGGAAGGAAGAAAGUUGAGGCUGAAUUGCAAGAAGCUUUGGCUAGCUUAGAGAGUCAAAAGGAGGAGACAAUCAAGAGUCUUGAUUCUCAGAUUGCUGCUCUUAGUGAUGAGAUUGUCAAGAAAGUUCUUCCUGCCACUAACUAAUUCUGAAAAUUUGUGUAGUAAAUAAGAUUACUGUUUGAUCAAAGAUAUAUAAAUGUGAAAAUAUUUGGUUAUUUUAUAUGAUGAAUCUCAUGUGUACAUCUUGGUUUUUGGUAAUAUGAGGAUUCUAAGUGAUUUUUCAGGAUUUUGAUUAUGAAGUUAAAAGAAAAAUUGAAACUUGAAAGCCAGAGAUCAACUUCUCUCUCUAUACUGAUUUGGUCCUAGAGCUGAGGUCUAUCGGAAACAGUGUCUCUACCAUUGUCCAAAGAAUAUUGAGACAAACACAAAUCAACUUGUUUGGGAGGAGUGAUAGUAGUUGUAAUUCAUCAAGGUAAUUGUAAGUCGUCAGUUAUGAUUUGAGAUUGCCCUUUAUUUUUUUUACGACAAGUUUUGGUUAACAGCAAGAACAUAUCCACGAAUGGAGUCUAGAGAGGGUAGGAUAUAAUUGCACGGGCAAUUGUGAGACAGUACUAAUUGGUCAAUGGCGCUUAAUUAGGUAACGGCAGAAUUGUCAACCCACAUAUCCAAUUGUUCAAUUUUUUAACUACCAGGCGUAAACUAUUACCACAUCACUUACAGAUACAGUGAAGAUAGCAGCAAGAUGUUUACAUUCAACACCACCUUAGAUAAGCAAGGUUAAAAAAAAAAUAAAAAAAAAUUUAAAGUUAACCAUGCUUUUUUUUUUUUUUUGCUUUUCCAACAGAUGUAAUUCAAGACCAUAGAGAACCCAACAGCUGAAUGCAGUAUAAGGUUGGGAAACUUCAAUCAUCAGGAAAAGAGAAGACAUAGAAAUAAUCAGUUCUGCUGCUCCUCGUUAUCCCCGUUUUGCUCUGCUUCUGCAGCCAUUAACUCAUCAAACUUCUCAGUCUUGCCCAGCACUAUUUCAAUCUGCACCAAGCGAAGAUGAUAAAUAAAACAAAAAACCUUAAUUUGAUAAAAAAGACGACACCACAGAUUAGACAAGGAUGACUGUUCGGAGAAGGAAUUUUUUAAAAAGAUGGAUUGUGAACCACAUUUAACACCCACUAGCUCACAUGAAUUCAACAAUGUUUUAAAGAGUAUAUGGGGGAAGAAGAACAUGAAUGCUGUAAAAGCAGCAUCUAUAUGGCAUAACAUAAUACUGGCUAGAUUCAUUUUUCCAUCUCUGCUGUUGCCAAAAGAAAAUGAUUUUAUUCUGUUCAACGGCUUUUGAAAACAGGAACAACAACAAUGGGAAAAACCACAAGAUAAUGCACUAAAAGGGAAUGUACCUUCAACAGGCAUGGGGGUGUAAAACUAACUUCUAAUCAAGUCUAAGAUAACCAAAUGGGACUAGACAAUUUUGGUGAAUAAGGAUGUAAACCAUCACUGACCCUACCAUCUACUCUACAGCUUUUCUAAAAUUCUGCACACAUCCGAACUCAAACAGAGAAAAAUAAGCACACACACACAUCAACUACCUCUUGAACACUUAACUUAAUCUACUGUUCUUCAGAAAGAAUCUUGAGUCCCAAGCUAACAUUUACCAUAGAACCUCUACAGAAUGAGUUCCAUUACUAUCAAACCACCAAAACUGAAGCAGACUAAUGCAUCAAUUGACCGACUCAUAAUGCUUUUGGAAUUUACCUUUGCUUUUGGUAUCGGUCGGGCUCCUGGGUCAUCCCUCAUGUCCACAGUGAGUGUCCUGAUCUCUGCAGCAAGUGUACCCUCAAAGUUAGAUGACAAGAAAGAUUAUAAAAGGGAUGGGAGUGGAGUACGAGAAGCCUCACUCUUCUCAACAGCAAAUCCAUUGUUCUUGAGAAUUUCGGCAAUAGUAACCACUGUUGAAAUAGCUGUAUACAUGUGGAAAAGGUUGUUAAUCCUUUAGAACUAUAUGGCAAGCCAAUUCAAUUAUUAAUGAGUUUGCAACAUAACACAAAAGAAUAAGUCCACAAAAAAAUGAAAAGAACAUCAAACUGUACUGUGCCACCACUAUAUAUUUCUUUGUACUUAAUAAGGUUUACCGGCAAGCCAAAGGAACCACUGCAAACAUAUUCUCAAGCACAUUCUGCUUUAUAAGUAAAAGAUCCCUGGGAAGCCGCAGGAAUAAGGUUGUGAUGAAUCAGAAUUCAUCCCAGAUACGCUCAACUAUUUUCUAUGGUUGAAAACCAUGGUCGUUUUUAUGCCAGAAGUUGGUUCAAAAUUGUUUCACUAGGAUAUCACAUCGCUGGUAAAGUGAGCAACACUGUAUUAUACUCUUCUUAUACACAAGCGGUUGCAAUAGUAAACAACGCAUUCUUGAGAUGGCAAAAAACAUCACACAUUGCAAAGAUAGGAAUUCACCAAUAAUCAAGAAAAAGCCAAUUGGGAAAAGAAAGUGAGAGUGCCUCCAUAACCCAAGCUGUAACACGGUGUAUUCUUGAUGUGAAAAGACAGCAUAAACAGAAUGUAGAAGAAGACCCAUAUGGCAUUAUAAGCAAGGGGAAACCACAAACUAGUACUCAAGAUUGAGGGUCAAGAAGAUUUACCCAUCCCAAGAGCAGAGAGUUCCACUUCAUUGUACUGUUGCAUGUACCUCUGCAAGAAACAUACCAAAUAUCUCAGGAUACGAACUCAGACCAAUAGCAACAGUUAUAGAUUCUGGUGUAAGACCAUGAAAACUAAAUAUAGAUAGUCACAUGGCUAACACUUUUCAAGAUUUUCUAAUGCAUGUCUUGCAUCCAGAAAAAGCUUCAAACAAUAUACUAUAAGUCUGACGCCAACCCUAUAAUUGUCACUAAAUAUACCUAAAGUAUUUUUUGAUAAAGAAUACCUAUGAACUGCCUCAAUUGCAGGUCCAAAUUGUUAAUUUGGAUCCUACAUAAACUCACAUCACUUCGAUUGCAAUUGCUCUAGACUUUGUGAAGUCCUGUCUGAACUGCUACUGCAGACAAUCAGAACUUGAACUAUAUUCUAAUCUUAUGUUUCUCAAACAAAAAUAUUUGUUCUUUUUAACUCUCCGUAUUACAUAUAGAAUUUUUUCUUCAAUCACCCAACUCAUCAAUUAAUUAUUGUAAUACAGAUUAGCAAUUUUCCUUCAAUCAAAAACUAAUAAAAUCCCAGAAAACUAGACCUCAGCCAACAUAAGCAAUCAAACACAUUAAAUUAACAAAGACCCUGGUUACUGUGCAUUAACUGAUAGCAUUUUGCAGGUCUCCCACUAUGAGCCAUGUCAUUUUUGAAAAUGUAAUUAAUUGUUCCCGUUCAUGAUAGUGGAAACAGUAUGCAGUCCUUAUUUUUACCUUCUCUCACAUAACUUGUCAGCAAACAACUCAACAACCGUAAAAGAAUCUAUCAUUGUUCAACAAGCAUAGACCCUCAUAACCAUUAAACGGAAACAAUUUUUGCAAAUCUAGCUGUCUUCAUAAAAACAUCCAACAAAAGAAUCCUCCAUAACCAAUUUACAGACAAAAAAGUAUAAUCAUUUUAAAACUACGUCCAAUUACCCAAAACUUCGCCAAUGGAUACACAGACUACAAUGCAUGGCUUUAUAACAUGGAAAAACAAGUAAACAAAUUUAAAUAACUAAUAGCUUAAAAUACAGUAAUAGUGUAAAAACUCCUUAUGAUUUCAAUGUAUAUAUGAUUUAAAUGGAAAAAAAAAGCACCUUUGAGAGAUUAACAUAAAAGAAGAGUGAUUUCUUGGUGUUUGAAACUUGGAUUCUGUUCUUCUUUUGUGUCUCUGAGACACUCAUCUUGUUCACUCCCUCUGUGAUUCCUUCCAUUGAUUUGCUGAUUUCUUCAGGUAAACCCUAAUUUCGCAGCCUCCUUUCCCUUUGAAGAGAGGAUCCGUAUAAUUUGGGGAAAAUUAUACCAAAACAGUAACAGAUAAACCCUCGAGUCAUAUCCAGGUGGUUUUAAGGGUUAGGCCCCUUAAACGACAACGUUUUAUGACUCUUUGAUUUUUUAUCUCUCAAAUGUACCCCUCAUCUUUCGAAAAUUAUACUUUACACCAUGAUUGGUUUUGAGGCGUAGUUAUAUUUGCUUUAGUUAUGAGAGGAAUUGUUAACCUCGGAAUUUAUUAUUAUGUCACUGGUUGUUGGUUGGGGUUUAAAUAUUUUAUGUUCAUUCAAAUCUAUUAGCAUAAUGUUUCCAAUUAAACCGUAGUUAUUAUUAUUAUUCCAUCCAUUUAAUAAAGAAUCAUUAUUAAUUUGAUAUAUUAAAGUGAUAAAAAUUACUUUGAUCCAAAGUCAUCAUGUUGGUAUAUAUGUUGGAGCAAACUGAACAGUGAAGUCAAAAUUUAGGACGAUUUAAAAGAAAUUUUGAGUUGAUCGGAAUUGAAAUUCGUAUAAGCAUAGAUUUAGAAAUAUACAUCUCUAUAUACAUGAUUAUAUAUAUAUGAUUAUUUUUUAAAUUAUUUUUUUUAUCAUCUGUACAAUUACGUAAGAAAUCCUCUUAUAUAUAAGGUGAAACAACAAAUAUUUGUGCGUUAGCUUGGCUUUCCUCAUACAGAAAUGUCUUUCCUUGAGAAUGAGAAUAAAUGAUGAAGUACAAAUUUUAAUAACAAUGCUAAUUUAUUUGUAAGUCUUUUUCUGUAAAGUAAUACUUUGGAUAUGUCAAAAUUACCCAAGGUAUUAUUAAUGGGAUCCCAUUAUUAAUUGAAGUAGAAACCCCAACUUUCAUCAUUCUCAAAUAAUUUCUUCUUAAAAUUACCUUUAUUUAUCUGCUUAACCCCAAAUUGCUAGAAAUAAAUAUAUUGUAAUAAUUAUAGCAACAAUCUUAAACCUAGUAACCAUAACAAAAGGCCAUUCUUGACAAAUAUUCCCCUCAUUUUCCUCUUCUCCUUAUUUUGAAAGUAUAUUUAUUUAGGGGUGCUUGGUUCUUCGAUUUGAUUUUAUCAAAUUUUAAUUUGAUUCUUUGAUUUUCGGUUUUGAAAAAGUAUGCACCGAAUCGAAUUAGUUCAAUUUGGUUUUAUUUAUUUCAGUAUUAUUUAAAAUAAUUUUUUUAGUGCGAAUGAAAAAUAAAAUAAGGACCAAAUCAAAGUGUAAGAUACUAAAAAAAUUAAAACAUUUAAAUGUGAUCAUUGAUCAACAACACCUAUCCCUACUCCCAACUCUCAUUAUAUUUACAAAGUUACAACUUUCGAUUCUCUUAACGAUCAACAAUUCAACAUUCAACAACUAUCAAUUCAAAUCCAAAUACAGUGAUCUAUAACGUCAUAUGAUAUGCUGAAAGAGAAUAAAAUGGGGAAGAAAAAGAUACAAUCUUUAAUCUUGGGUUUCAAGAUGAAAAUGAAUGAUAAUUAUACGAGAAGAUCGAGAUGAAAGAAGACUUAACAUACUUUUUUUUAAAUAAUUAAAAUAUAUUAUAGAAGUUUGGUUCUUUGGGUUAAAAUAUUAAUAUAUUAUAAUAUAUUUUCUAAAAAAAAAAUUUAUCAAAUAUUUUUUAAAAGUUUUCUUUGCAAGGAUUAUUUUAAAAAAAUAUAUAAUAAAAGUUUGACACAAUAAGUAUUCAUGAUGAAAAUAUUAAUUUCAAGUGAAUAUAUACAAAAUAUUGAUUGAAUAAUUGAAAGAAAUACAAUUAAGUAAUUACUGGAAUCAGUUAAAUUACUUUGUAUUUUUGACAACGAUUAAAUUACAUUGAACUUGCAAAAUUUUGCACUAUAAAUGAAUAAAACUUAACUUUUUGUUGAAUAUACACAUCUAUUGGAGUGGAUGUUAGGGUAAAAGUUAACCAGCAUAUUAUAAUUAUUUUACAAAAAUUUAAGUUUUAUGCCUUGAAAAUAUAUCUCUGACAGAAGCUAUUCACCAUUUUUCAAAGUUACCUACAAUUUCUAUUAAUUAUUAUUAUUGAGAGUUACUUGAAAUUGCAUUUUCAAUAACCUAAUUAUAUGCACACUUUUUUAUUUGAAAAAUCAAUACAUUGAACUCUUCAUAGAGAGGCAGUUCUAACAAGGUGAAAAUGUUUCACACUUUAUUAAGCACAAAUUACAAAUUUAUUUUACAACCACCAAAACAAAAAAGGAACCUAGCUACCUAGCUAGAUAACAAAUCAAACAAACACAAAUCAAGAACAAAUCACAACACAAACAUCAUUUUACAACUCAAUGAUUAAUUAAAACAAUAAACUUAACUAGCUACCAAAUCUUGGCAUUUGAUAUGCUUUAAUUCCCCGCUCUUCCCAAACCCUCCACCCUUAGCUAAUUAAUAUAAUUAACCACACUUGAAACCUGUGGGAACUUUCUUAGCACAAGCACUAACCAAAGCACUAAGUGCAACAGGAAUAUCUAAUUUGAUAAUCCCAAGUACAUUAGCCUUAAUGGCAGUGCAAAGACAAGCUGCAACUUCCAAAUCAGCCAAACCUUCAAGCAAUGAGCAACAAGGGGUUGUCACUUGGCUACCAAUUGCAACAUUUACAAGGCCAAGUAGGUCACCACAAACACCAAGCUUCAAUGUGUCCCUUGGGCAAUAAGGGUUCACUGGGGGUACCUUUGGUGUUGGGUGAGGCUUUGGCUUAAUUGGUUCACAUGAACCACAAGCACUAGUGAAUGUGACCAAAAUGAGAAGGGAAAAAAUGAAAAUGGUGGAAGAGAGGGUAGCCAUGAUUUUUCUACAGAGCUUUAGUGGUGGUGUAGCUUGGUUUCUAGAGUUUGUGAAUGAUAUGCCCUUAAGGAGUUACUAUUUAUAGAGUUUACCAACUUCUAUACAUAGACGAAGUCGUAAAAGAAUUAAGGGGUCGUUUGGUAGGCCGCAUUAAAAUAAAUAAUCCAUGUAUUAUGUGUGGUAUUAUUUAGUACUAUAUUUGGUAGGAAUUUGGGUCUAUAUAUAACUAAUCCAUGGAUUAGUUAUACCUCCUACAUGGUAUUAUAGGGUGUAUUACUAAUACCUCCAUGGAGGUAUUAGUAAUAUAUGAGAUAUAAUACCAUGGAUAAGUCUAUGUAAAGACAAAAAUAUCCCUCAAAUCAUUUUAAUUAUUUUAUUUUCUUGAUUUUAUGUUUUAUAUUUGUACUAUUAAAUUUAUUUAAAUAAAUUAGCUUACAAAUUAUUUAGAGAAAGUUGUUUGUUACUACAUAAAUCCAACACAAAUUAAUAUAAUAUUUGAAAUGUGAGUUGCUUAAUAUGUAUAUAUAUAUAUUGUGUGUGGUUUCUAAUUAUUUGUAUUUGAACAAUUUAUAAAAUUGCAUACAUAUUAAAAUUAUAACUUGCAAUAUUUUUUAUGUGUAAAUGUAGAUGAUUUAUUUAGUUUUACUAUUGUUUACGUCUUUUCAAUUUUAAAAAUUGAUAGUUUAUUCUUUUUUUAAUUGAAAAUUGACAUUUUGUAAGUAAUAAAUUUACUAAGAUGACAAUUAUUUAUCCUCAAAUAAUUUAAGUGAAAAAAAAGGCAAACAUGACAAAAAAAAUUGUUCUUCUCCUAGCUAGUUAGAAGACCAUAAAAAAAUAAUAUUUUCCGGCAAUUAUUUAUCUUAACCUAAUUACUAAUAAUUCAAGGGUAUAAUUGAAAAGAAGUUUUUUAUAAAGUUUUAACCCAAUUCCAAAAUGGGGUAGGAACCAAUGAACCAAACACUUGGUAAAAAUAAACGCUGCAUUACUAAUCCCUACACUAUUAAUUCCUGCAUUACUAAUUCCUGCACUAUUAAUCUCUACAUUACUAAUCCUAGCAUUAGUAAUCCCUGCAUUAUUAUUUUUGUACCAAACGACCCCUUAGAGUAUACCAACUUCUAUACAUAGACGAAAUUGUAAAAGAAUUUUUACGCUAUCAGAUAACAAUAUAUAAGUGACCUAUGGUAUUUAAAUUUUUCAAAAAUAUUGGCAUGCCCAUGUUAGAAUAUCUUUUAAAAAAAUAUUUUAUAUAAUUUUUGAUGAAGUUGGCAUGUGUCAUUUUUGGAGGAUUAGAUAGGGGUGUUGCAUUGUAACCCUAUCUUUAGAGAAUUUGGGCAACAUAUGUAGCAAAUACUUAACAUAAGACAUGUUACAUGCUAUAAUAAAUUUAAAAAUAUAUUAAUUGAUGAGAAAAUAAAUUUUGAAUCUAAAUCAAUUAACUCAAAAAUUAGUUUAUAAAAAUUGUUCAAGAGCAUAUAAGAAGACCAAAUUCGACUCCCAUCUCACCAUAGAUGUGAAACUCAACACCUCUUGCGCACCCAAUCUUGCCAACAUGAGCAUGGACAAUAUAAUUAAUAUGAGAUUAAUUCCAAUAUUUAUUAAAUCAAGAAUUUAUGAGAUGGACACGAUUUUAAUAUCAUGACAAAAAAAUAGACUUUAAACAUUAUUCAAUCUCAAAAAUUAAAAUUUAUGAAGCAAUAAUUAUCUAAGAUCAUAUAAGAAGCUGAUAAAUUCCUCGUCCCAUCAUUGAUGUGGGACUCAUGAAGAUUAAUAAUAUAGAAACUCUUCAUACUAUAAAUGUGUAUAAGUCAAAAUACAUUAUACAUAGGGGGGAAAUUGUGAGGUUGAAGUUGAAAUUGAUUGAGUGGAAGAGAGUGAAAAAAAAAAAACAGGAUGAUGCUGGAAUAUUUUGUAAGUUUGUGAAGAAAUUAAGUUUAUUUGACCUCAUAUGGCUAAUUUCCCUGGUCACCAUGCAACGUGUAUAGUAGACAGGACAAUGUAAGCCAGUGGGCACAUUAUCUGUCAUGGACCUACCUUAUUUUUAUUUUUUUUACGAUAGGUAAAAAAUGUAGACAUUAAUCGUUGAUUUCUAUAACUUAUUUGCAUCGAAUGUGUAUAUUAAAUCGAUGAAUAUAAGAUAUAUAUAUUGUAUAUAUAUUUUACAUGUGAAUGAUUGGAAGAUAGAAGGGAGGAAGGAAGGAUUAAGUGAAAUCGAUUUAUGUUUCUGUUAGUUAAAUAAUUCAACAUUCAAUGUGCACCAUUCGAACUUUAUGGAGCAUUGAGACGACCGAAUAUAAUAUUAGAUCUAUUCUACUUAGAAUAUAUACAUAAAAUACUAUUAAAAUUAUUUCUAAGCAUUUAUUUUUAGGUAAAAAAAAUACAAAAGAAAAAAGUUAAAAAAUUAAAAAUUGGAUAUGACCAACUUAUGACUUUUUACUUAUAAGUUACUUAAAAAAAAAAACCCAAUUCAAACACUCCUUUGUAGUAAUGGAUGAAUCUACUACUAUACCUCAUCUAUUGAUCAGUAUAACAGAGCAAAUGAUGGUACAGUAAUGAACAUAGAAAUGAUACUAGCAAAUAUAAUCCCAAGAAUCUCGAUUGUAAUUCCAUGACCAAUUAAUCCUUUGCGGUACUAGAAUUUUUGUGACAAAUCCACCCACCCUAGAUAUUAUAAAAGAGAUUAACUUCUCUCUAUAGACAAUAUAGUAUAUUUUCCUUUUUAAACUUAUUAAGUUACCACUUAAAAGAUAAUUAGAGGCACUGUAUAUAAUAUGUGAAUUAGUAACGUGAUUUGUUGGACGAAUAAUGAUGCAAUACUAGCUAGCAUAGGUAAAAUUAUAGUAUUGAUGAUGAUAAAAAGUUUUAUGCUACUAUACAAGUUAAAUCAUGUUUGUAAAUUAUAAAUUAUAAAAACCAUGGCCAUUUAAAAAAAAAUUAAAAAUUAAAAAAUGAAUUCACAAUUAAUCUUGAUGUAUAGCAAUAAUAUUGUACAAAUAUCAUAUGGAAACAAUAUAUCUUUAAUAAUGUUUCCUUGUCCUAUGUGUAUGGUUAUUUGGUCACAUCAAUUAUUGAAGCAAUACAAUUUUACAUGUGCAUUAUGUCUGGCCUGCAUUGCGUUGCUGCCAUUUCCCUCUUCUUUUACUUGUUUUUUUCUUUUGAAAAUGACAGCCAGAUGUAUCAAAUUCUGUGUAACGCGCUUUUGAAGAAGGAUUUAACGGAUCAUAUUUCCUUAAGUAUAAUACAAUUUAAUCUUACUUUUCUCCUAGAAAAGUUAGUUUUACGAAUUGAACAUGUUAGGUAAAAUUGCAUAAUGACAAAGCAGACUCGGAGGAAAAUGUAGUUAUUUAGUUGCGGGUUAUGAAGAAAGAAAAAUAUUUUCAAUUUUUCUAUGGUUGGUGUGACAAAAUGUCUUGAAAAAAAAAAUUCUCCACAAAAACAAGUUCCAUAAAAAUGCGUUAAAUGACUUUCCAAAUAGAAGUAGGGAAAACAAGUUUUACGAGUGAAAUUCCAAGUUCAUUGUCUCCUCCACAACCAUCCAUGCAUGAUGCACCCAACCAACACCCUCCGCCAUCCGCGAUCCCCUAUUCCCCACUCCAUCCCACACCAAUUCUUGAAAUAAUAAUCUAUAAAGAUUAGACAAUCAAAAAUAUUUAGAAAAGUAAAUGGUAAAGAUUGUUAUGACUAUCUACAACAAUGGGAGGGAUUAUUUUUAUCAUUUUAGCGGAUAAGAAUUAAUUAAUUAGAGGUAAAAAUUAAAUCAAUUAUAAUAAUUGUAAAAAAUAAAAAUAAAUCUUCACCAUUUAUUUUUCUAUUGUCUAGUUCUUAUCUCUUUUUUUUCUUUUUCUUUUUUUUAUAAAAUACUUUUUACACCAUUAGGAUAUCUAUUUUAGAAACGGUUGUCGUCACCCUUUUUAUCUUUUCCUUCAGUUAUAGAACGACCAUUUGUUUUUCAAUAUCAUAUAUUUGGGUAAUCAGAGUAGGUUUUCCAUCUUGAAAGAUGUCUAAUAUAAGCUAUUGUUCAAGAUACUCUUCUCAAUGGUUAGUUCAUUGAAGGAAUCAAUUAGUACAACAACUAGCUUUCUCAAUUUUCUAAUGGAAAAGAUAUUCACUCAUCAUCAUCCCCCCAACCCCCGGGAGGCUCGAGGCGCCGGCCCCCCCNNNNNNNNNNNNNNNNNNNNNNNNNNNNNNNNNNNNNNNNNNNNNNNNNNNNNNNNNNNNNNNNNNNNNNNNNNNNNNNNNNNNNNNNNNNNNNNNNNNNNNNNNNNNNNNNNNNNNNNNNNNNNNNNNNNNNNNNNNNNNNNNNNNNNNNNNNNNNNNNNNNNNNNNNNNNNNNNNNNNNNNNNNNNNNNNNNNNNNNNNNNNNNNNNNNNNNNNNNNNNNNNNNNNNNNNNNNNNNNNNNNNNNNNNNNNNNNNNNNNNNNNNNNNNNNNNNNNNNNNNNNNNNNNNNNNNNNNNNNNNNNNNNNNNNNNNNNNNNNNNNNNNNNNNNNNNNNNNNNNNNNNNNNNNNNNNNNNNNNNNNNNNNNNNNNNNNNNNNNNNNNNNNNNNNNNNNNNNNNNNNNNNNNNNNNNNNNNNNNNNNNNNNNNNNNNNNNNNNNNNNNNNNNNNNNNNNNNNNNNNNNNNNNNNNNNNNNNNNNNNNNNNNNNNNNNNNNNNNNNNNNNNNNNNNNNNNNNNNNNNNNNNNNNNNNNNNNNNNNNNNNNNNNNNNNNNNNNNNNNNNNNNNNNNNNNNNNNNNNNNNNNNNNNNNNNNNNNNNNNNNNNNNNNNNNNNNNNNNNNNNNNNNNNNNNNNNNNNNNNNNNNNNNNNNNNNNNNNNNNNNNNNNNNNNNNNNNNNNNNNNNNNNNNNNNNNNNNNNNNNNNNNNNNNNNNNNNNNNNNNNNNNNNNNNNNNNNNNNNNNNNNNNNNNNNNNNNNNNNNNNNNNNNNNNNNNNNNNNNNNNNNNNNNNNNNNNNNNNNNNNNNNNNNNNNNNNNNNNNNNNNNNNNNNNNNNNNNNNNNNNNNNNNNNNNNNNNNNNNNNNNNNNNNNNNNNNNNNNNNNNNNNNNNNNNNNNNNNNNNNNNNNNNNNNNNNNNNNNNNNNNNNNNNNNNNNNNNNNNNNNNNNNNNNNNNNNNNNNNNNNNNNNNNNNNNNNNNNNNNNNNNNNNNNNNNNNNNNNNNNNNNNNNNNNNNNNNNNNNNNNNNNNNNNNNNNNNNNNNNNNNNNNNNNNNNNNNNNNNNNNNNNNNNNNNNNNNNNNNNNNNNNNNNNNNNNNNNNNNNNCUCGAGCCCCCCACCCACCCCGGGAAGCUUGAGGCGUCGUUCCCCGAGCCCCCCCACCAUGAAUUGAUUAAGGAUAAACUCAAAGACUUUUAUUUAAUGCUAAUAAAAAUUAAAACUCUAAAUCAAAGGAGUGAAGGAAAAAAGAAAAAUUUGACGUAUUUAGGAUACGAGGAUGAUUCUGUACUUCCAUCAGCUUUAUUAGGGGGCACUUUCUUCAAAGGCAUCAGUUUUAUUUUUUCCCUACAGUAAUGAAAUUAUAGUUCACAAACCCAAUAAUUUAAGCUUGUUGAUUUUUUCUUCAAAUAUCAGCCACAUCAAUUAUGCAUCAAAAAGUAGACUUCACAUAUAAUAUUGGAACUUCACCAAGAGACAAGUUUAUUAUGCACUUCUUUUUCCAGAUCAUGCUAAGCACUUAAAAUAUCACAAGAAAUGAUGAUGAAAUUCCACUAGCUAACAAUAAAGUCAAUCUUCAAAUAAAUGUAUCAAUUGCAAUGCUCCAUUUGUGGUAAAAAAAUUCAAGAAAAUGUUCACCCAACUCUACAAAGCUAUAUCUAGUUUAACCAUUGAUCUAUGGCUUUUUAAGGAGCUCAGUAGUACUGCAAUUUCACAUAAAUAUAUCAAGGGAGAUGCUCCAAUAGUGGUUUAAAAGUCAAGACACUGAACCUCCCAACUCUACCAAGCUAUAUCCAAUUCAACAAUUAUUAGCUAAGGGUUUCUUUUCAGAGCUCAGUCAUACUGCAAUUCCUUUCUUCAUAGUUCAUCACAUUUAGACAGAACAUGCAGUUUCAAUGUCAAGUUGAAAGCAUUCAAAAGAUCAGCUAAAGGAUGAACUUGAACCUAACUCGUUUACUAUAUUUUACUAGAGCUUCAAAAAAUAAAAGCAAAAAAACUAAACAGUGCUCUACAUUACCUGACACCAAAUAUAUUAAUUUUUUUCAGGAUAAAGCAAAUGCUAUUUAUCGAUUCUAGUAACAAAAUCAUUUUAAGCCAAAGAACCACUAAAUAUUCAACAUACUAUGUCUAAGAACAGCAAAAGGCAUUUCAUGCCAUACAAGAUUGUAUUUCUCGGCAUCAUAACAUACAACACGACAAAAAAUUACCUUCUUCAACUCCAUCUUUGGAGGUGCAGGUUCCUGAUAAAAGCUUGGAAGCAGAAGUGUCACAACACCUUAGUCUUGGCUUACAUAUUACUCUUCUCAACUUCCUCUGCCUGGUUUUUUUUUUUAAGCUUGGAGUAAAACUGUCCAAAUAACAAGACAAAUGUUCUUAGAUUGACUUCACGGUGCAAGACAAUCAAGUAUAUAUUAUAAGCUUCACUGAUGCAAGCAGAGGGCUAAUAUCUUUUCUUUUCUCAGUUCUUUCAUCACACUUGAAACUGCUAUUGUAGGUUGGAAGAGUACCUACUUUGCGAGGUUUGGCAUCUGAUGCAGCAGUAGGACUGCUAUGAAGUGAUCAAGGAUAAACCGAAAGACUUUUAUCAUGCUAAUAAAAAUAAGAACUCCAAAUCUAAGGAGUGAAGGAAAAAAGAAAGAUUUAUAAGGAUACGAAGAUGAUUCUGGACUUCCAUCAACUUUAUUAGGGAGCACUUUCUUCAAAGGCAUCAGUUUUGUUUUUUCCUUGCAGUAACGAAAUUAUAGUUCACAAACCACUGGGGAAAAGUUAUCAUUGAUUGUUUGGCACGUUUUGAAAGCAUUCUCAAUACAAUUAUCAUUUGACUCCUCCAAGUAAUAGGUAAGAAACUACAAGAGAAAUCGGACAUACUUAAGGCCUUCAGACUGAGCAACACUCGGAGAAGCUGAUGCUGCUACUUCAGCAUGACCAGGUUGCUGCUAGAAGACAGUAGAAAAAGAAUAUGAUAUUGAUGACAAUAAACAAGAUGCAUAUGAAGCUAACAGAAAAUGCCUCAUGAGUCAUGAUUAAAACAUGUGUUUUAAAGUAUAAUCAAACCCCAAUAGUAGGCUCUAAAGAAAUACAGUCUCAUUUGUGGUACUGAGUUUAUUCAGGUUAAUGUAUUCGUCUUUCUUGUUAUUCUUAGAAAGUAAUUCCUGAAGAGGAUGAAGAUGAUUAUGAACAUGAGCCUCAUGUACACAUUGCGUCAAAUAAAAUGAAUCAAGAAAACAUUUCACCCUAUGUAGAAGCCAGGUCAAAAGUCGAGCAAAUUAAUACAAACCAAAAGCAAUCUCCCAAGGUCUUCCCUAAAGUGGAGUCCCCUAAAACUCCUUAUUCAUAAGAGCUUUCACCCCUGUGUUACGUCUCUUGUUUGGACAUGUUAAGGACUCAUCCAUGUCUAAUUCUUUGCAUUUAUACCAAGAGUUAAAAAUUAACUCUGCAGACUCCGAUAAAGAAAUGACAGUAUGUUUCAAACCCCUAUUUACAUGAUUUUUUCCUAUCUGGUUUCGAGACAUCUGUGAUAGUUGCUUACACAUGCAUGUGCAGCAUGAAACUGUGGGGAAAAGAAAAUGCUCGAAGGCGGAGCCUUAUUCAAUCAUUAGAAAAAGGGUAUGUCUGUACAAGUCACUUUCUAGUUUCUAAUAUAGGAGGUGAUCAAAUUUUUCUAAAUCUUUUCGAACAAUGACAGUUCUCCGAAUAAUAGUGAUAAAUGAAGUCUCAGCUGCAUUUCUCUCCCAUUGUAAGAUAAGUCGACUGCUCCAUCAAGGACACCAAAAGAUUUUGUCUGUCCAAUAACUGGACAAAUAUUCAAUGAUCCCGUCACCCUUGAAAUCGAUCAAACAUAUGAAGGGAAAACCAUCCAGGAAUGGAUAAAAAGAGGUAAUACAACAUGCCUCAUUACUAGGCAGUCUUUAUCUGCAACUACUCUUCCUAAAACCAAUUAUGUCCUGAAGAGGCUGAUAACCUUUAGGAGGGAACUGCACCCUGAUCUAGCUCAGGAGUUUUCGUACUCGCAAACACAGCGAAGUUAUUUAAACAUUUCGUCUUCAAGAGAGAGAUCAUCUGAGUCUACUCCAUCUCUGACAUUUCAUCAUCCCAAUCAUAGGAGGAUAGAGGAAAUCGUGGAACAAAGAUCACGAAGAUUUAUGCGAGUAGCUGUAUCAAUGUCGUCUCUUACUAGUGUAAUUUCUCAAGCAGCAACUAAGGCAAUUAUCAAUAACUUAAAACCUUAUGUUUCAUGUAUGUGCACUUCAGAGGACUUACAAGAAUGUGAAGCAAUAUUGUCUAUAACUAAGAUAUGUAAUGACUCGAAACUAGAAUCUAAAGGAGUUCACUCUUAUUUGUCAACACUAACAAUAGUGAAUGAAUUUGUAGAGGUAUUAUCAGCUUCCAUAAAGAGAGAUGUCUUGAAGAUGACAAUUUAUAUCUUGUCUGACCUACUAUAUGCAAAGGAUAGUGUUGGCGAGAUCCUCACAAGUGUGGACUCGGAUUUUGAGUGUCAUGCUACGUUAUUGAAAGACGAUCUUCCUGAAGCAGCAUUACUUAUUUAACUACUCAGACCAUCAUUCUCUCAACUUUCAGCUCAUAAUUUUGUACCCUCUCUUACUCAGAUUAAAUCAAACAGAAAUGAGUAUUCUAGUGAUUUUCAGUUCACAAUAGGACCAAAACAAAAAAAGAAAUCCCACAAAUCCUCGCAUAUCAAAAAUCCUCAAAUCACUUCACUUGAUUUUCCCAAAUUAAUUUUUACCCAGAAUCAUCAAUCAUCUUUUCACAAAACCCCACGUAACAUUAAUCAUUUUACUUAUUACAUCCAAGAAAGAAGACCCCCCAAAACAAAGAAAUCACAAAACCCCAUAACCAGCAUACAAAAAAGUGAACCAUCAAACAAGAUAAAACCCAAUACUCAAACAGUAAAAAAAAAGUACACAUAAUAAACAUAUAUCAAAAACAGAGAAAGACUCACAAGUUUGGAGGAAUGAUUUUUCUCCACCGCCAAUGAAUUGCCAGUCGUUUCUUGGCCGCUACAGCAAUCAACUUUCCGGUCUGAUUUUUCUCCACCGCCGAUGAAUUGCCUCCAUUGCUUGUCUCUUCGCCACCGCACUCGAAAUAGACAACGCCUAUUCUGGGGAAAAUUGGGAAAAACACUGAUUUGUUACCGUUACUAAAGAUGUGACAAUUAAAACUUUACAUUAUUCCAUUUUACAUUAAAACUUUGAUUGGACACCAAAUUUUAAAAAAAUAAUAAAAGAUUUUUUAAAUUUGUGAUCUUAAGUAAUAGUUUUGAAUUUCAAUACACUACACUAUAUAGUGAUUUUUUUUUAUGUGUUUUAGGUUUAGGUUUAUUUGAACCAUUAUCUAAAUACUGAAUAGUUUGUAAAUUCGGGAUAAACGAAGAUAGUAAUCUGAAAAGUAACUAUUUGUCAAUUUCUCCCAAAUUUAGAGAUUCAAAAAGCAGUUAAUAAUGAAUUUGAUGAUUUUAUUGUUGCUAGACAAUAUUGAAGUUCAAUUUGUAAAGAAAAAAUUGCACAAGUUUCAUAAAAAAAAUAUUGCCCACCUUUGAAAAGGAAUAAUAUUUUAGAACUUUUAGUUAACGUACUCAAAUCUCUAUAUUAAUAAAUUAUUUUCUUGUAACAACAUCUAAAGUAAUAUACAGUAAACACGUGGCUAAUAUCUUGUUAACUUAAAUCGAUACUUACACAUAUAAGUAUUAGUAUCAUCAGGUGAAUUUAAAUAUUUGAUGUCUUGUAAGAAUUAUUUUAUGAAGUUAAAUAUUUUAUGUCAAGUAAGAAUAUUACAUGGUAGAUUAUAACAUGGCAGAUUAUAACUUUGAAAAAAAAGGCUAAAAUUAUUCUUAUACUUUCAUUUAUUAGCUAAGUUUGUUCUUCGAUGUAUUAUUUGACUAUGACACAAAAAUUGUAACAAACAAAUAUGGAUAUAGCUUUAUUCGAAACAGACGAACGUCGUCAUCGUCAUUUCCUCCAAUGGGGAAAAACUUUACUGAUUUGUGACCGUUUAAUUCGGUUCAAAUUGGACAGGUGGUAUUUUUAAUUUAUUUUUUAAAAAUAUUAUUAUUUUCUUUAUCUUGUAUUUAAAUUGAGUUAAUACACAUUUUUUGUAUCCAAACUAUUUUUUACCUUCAUUCAUUAUUUUUUUCUCUUUUAUUUUUCAAUUGAUUUUAUUUUCUUCGCCUUUUGUUUUGAUUUGAUUUCAGAUUUAAUUCCAAAUGUCUUGUAUUUAAAAUAAGCUAAUUUUAAAUAGAUAUCAAAAUAAGUGAAAUCAAAUAAAACAUAAAAAAAAUUAUAAUGUUAAAAUUAAAGGAAACUUUUAAAUUAUUUUAAAUAAAAUAAUUAAAAGUGAAAAGAUAAUAAAUUAAUUUAAAAAGUUUAAAGUGAAAUAAAUUAAAAUAAAUAUUUUAAGAAGAAAGAAAUAUAAAUAAUUUAAUAUAUAUAAGUUUUAAUAUCAAUAAAUAUGUGUACUAACUAAUAAUAAACUAAAUAUUUUUCGAAGAAAGAAAUAAAAAUAAUUUAAUGUAUAUAAGUUUUAAUAUCAAUAAAUAUGUGUACUAACUAAUAAUCAAAAAAUGACAUUGUCCAAUUUAUGCAGUCAUGGCUUGCUUUCAAGAGAAUGUGCACACUCUCUAUGCCAUGUCAACAUUUGUGGUGUAUUUAUUUCAUUUUAAAUUAGUUUAGGAUGGUAAUAUAUAGGACCCUAGUUAAGUUUAUGCGUGUCUUCGGAAUUUAAGUCAUAUUCGAAUUCGAGAGGGUAUUUGUAUCUUAUCCCAAAUACUUUUUGCAAAAAUUAUAACCAAGUACAACUAUUUUAAACUCCUCCACAAAUUCUAACUAAAAUGAAAAAUAUUUAUAGUCUACAAUCAUACGUCUACUAAGACUAUUAAUUUGAAGUGAAGUUCAUUUUUAAUCCAUAGGGUUUGUUUCAAAAUUUUGGAAUUACAUUUGGAGAUUAUUUUGAAUUAAUUUUUGUUUAUUAAACUAGUCACAUUUGAAAAAAAGCUUCCUGAAGUUCAUUGACAAAAAAUUGAAUUGUAUUUUUACGUCCAAACACAAUAAAAAGAAAUGACCUAUUUUAGGUCUUAUCUCUAAGUACUUGUAUUUCAAUUUAUGUGAGACAUUUUUAAUUUAUUCAAUUCUGGAAAGAAUGUAUUUAUUUUUCUUGAUUGACAAAUAUUUGAGAAAUUAUCAAUUUUUGCUCAUAUUAGGUCUCACUUAUUUGACAAAAAGUUCAGUAAUGUUAUUCUUCUAUUUAAAAAUUCAUUUCCUAAAGAUAGUUUUGACAAUUAUAAUUUUUUAUAUUUCCUAAUAUUCAUGUUCAGUCAAUUUACAUAUAUUAUAAAAAUAAGAACAAAUGGAGUAAUUACUAUGAAUAAUUUGUCCUAUGGUUCAUAUUGAUACUCUACAAACUUUCUAUAAAUAGAAUUAUAUUCUUUUUGAGGUUUUAUUUCUCUUAAAAUAAUUUCAAAAAUGAAAUUGUACGUUUCUCCAUUCUCUAUAAAAUAAUCUGGGAGUUAAUUUUUGUCAAUUGCAUACUAAAAUUACUUUUGUUUCAUAAAAUGCCAACUAAGAGAGAAGAAAGUCUUUGAAGUGUUUAGUGUAUUUUUAAAAAAAAAACUAGAAAUACAGUAGUUGAAUGAUAUUCACAAACAUUUUUUAUAGACAAUUCUCAAAAUACGAGUGACCAUCCAUGCAAACAACUCGUUAAUUGAAAUGUAAAACUUCUUUUCUUAAAGAGAAGUAAUUCUUCCUUAGUCUGAACAUAUAUCAUAUACUUCAAUGUCAUAUUUAUAUUGAUUAAAAAUAAUUUAACGUUUACAUUAAUAUAAUGAUUCAUAGUGAUAGAAAUAUCUACGAUUUGUUUUAGACCAUAAAUUUUAAAAGUAUUUUUUUUUAAAAAUAUUAUUUUAAAUUAAACGAUACCAUAUAAAUUGAGAUGGAGUAAUAUUAUAUAUAUAGUACAACAUUUUGUCAUACGAUACUUCAAGAAAUGCUCAGGAAAGUUUUGUCAUUUUUGUAGGUCUUAUCCAAUGUAAGAAGCUAAAAAAGCUAUGAACAUUGUUUUGCCAAUUAAAAAAAUAAAUAUCCGUAGAUUCUCUCUCCUUUGGAAAAGUAAUAAUUCAAACAAUGUUGAUCCAAUAGAUUGCUAGUUGUCAUUUGUUAAGUAGUAGACAUAUGUUUCAAUUUAUUUGUCUUAUUUUUUUUAGUUUAUUUUAAGAUGCUUUUUUAUAAUUUUUUAAUUCUAUUUUUUCACGUAACAUAUUUUGAAACCACAAAAUUAAAAGACAUUUUGAUAUAUUUUACGUAUUUUUAGUUUAAGAUCGUAAGAUUCAAUUUUUUUUAAAAAAAUUAUCUUAAAUUUCGUGUCAAGUUAAAAUCAAUAACAUUGAAACUGUGAAAGUAAUGUAUGUGUGGAAUUAGAGAUAUUUGUUGCAUAGACGAAAAAAUGACAGAGAUAAUCUCUUAUAUUUAAGAUAAGUUUAAGAUAGACCUUUAAAUUCGGAGUUGAUAUAGUUUAGACAAAAUCAAAAUCCUAUUUUUUUUUUUUUAAUAUUUGAUUUGCAUUUCAAAAUCAAGUAUUUUAAAAUUUUGUCCAAGAUUUUAAAGUUUUAUAAAUCUUAAUACUAAUUGCAAUACUCUACUAAUCAAUCAAUAUACUCACUAGGCUAGAUGAUAUAUGCUAAAAACCACAACUUUUUUUUUAUUAUUUAAAGUUUUACCUCAGGUUAGUUAAGUAACUUCUCGAGCAAUUUUAUAUUACAACUCAAUAAUAAAAAAUAUUAUAAUAUACUCCUAAUCUAGAAAGCUAAACAGACUUCACAAUAGGUUACAUAAUCCAAGCCUAAUCAACUCAAGAACUAAAACAAUUUUGUUAUUUAUAUAUAUANNNNNNNNNNNNNNNNNNNNNNNNNNNNNNNNNNNNNNNNNNNNNNNNNNNNNNNNNNNNNNNNNNNNNNNNNNNNNNNNNNNNNNNNNNNNNNNNNNNNUAAUAUAGCUUAAGAUCAUACAAAAAUAAAGUUUUUUCAUUGAAAAAGAAGAAAUAACUUUGAAUUUUAAUAAUAAAAAAUUUAAUAAAUAAAUAUUAUUCCCCCGAUUUAUUUUUUUCUUUAGGCACUAAUUAGCUUGAGCCUCCACUGAAAAAUUAAGCUAUAAUGUUGAAACCAAACACAAGCGGAACAGGGAGAAACUAAAUGGAAAUAAAUUACCUUUUCCGAAGCAGCAUUCUGGAAGUGAUAAAAUGCUUCCACCACCACGAGGCCUGACUCAAGAAGCAGAGACCUGAUGCAAAACUUGAGAGUUUAAAUGUGAAGGACCAAUCAAGUGAAGACACAUAGGGUAAUGUGUCAUUUUGGGUGAUGGGUGAUGAAGGUUCACUAUAAUACAAACACAAUUUUUUAUUUUUUUAAAAAAAAAUAAUUUUUCUUAAAAAAAUAUUGUUCCUAAAAAUGGAUGUUGAGUAUUAUAUAUAUGUUUAAAAAAAUCCUAUUUAACACGAAUUAUAUACAUGUAAAAAUAACUAAAACUAUAACAAUCGCAGGUAAUAAUUCACCACUUCAAAAAGAUAAGUAGGUUUAAUACUCUUAUAACUACUAAAUUCAUAAAAUUUAAAUUAUAAAUUUAUUUUUAUUUAUUCCCUUCUAAUUAUAUAUAUUCACAAUUUUUUUGACAGCACAUUUAACAUGGUUUCAUAUUCGAUUUAUAUUAAUAUGUAAAAAAAAUUAUUUCUUUAUUGUUGUGUGUCAUUAAUAUAUUUUUCUAUUAAGAUUAGAUUUUUGGAUCCUACUUAAGUCAAUGGCUAUUUACUGUGCAUAUGAAUGAUUUGAUUUUACUUAAAAUUUAAAAUUUUGUAGAAUUGCAAUUUAUGUUAGAACAUUAAUAUAUUUUCCUAUUAUGGUUAAGCUUUGGAUUUGUUUUUGCUAAAGUAAAUUAGGAUUCUGAUUUUGCUUCUUAUAAAAGAAAAAACUAAAGAAUUUUGGUAUGUAAUUUAUUUUACAGCUAAUUGUAUUCGUAUUUGUUAACUUCAACAAGA